This 95625-nucleotide long non-coding RNA is filed under the name Eutrema salsugineum. RNAcentral describes it as "long non-coding RNA (ESAL_LNC000269)". Lineage: Eukaryota; Viridiplantae; Streptophyta; Magnoliopsida; Brassicales; Brassicaceae. The record is from RNAcentral.
GACUAUGAGCUUAAACCUGGAGGACGAAACAUACGAGUAACAGAAGAAACAAAACAUGAAUAUGUUGACCUUGUAGCCGGCCACAUACUUACCAAUGCUAUUCGGCCUCAAAUCAACGCCUUCCUCGAGGGCUUUAAUGAGUUGAUACCUCGUGAGCUCGUAUCCAUUUUCAACGACAAAGAGCUCGAGCUCCUAAUCAGUGGAUUGCCUGAGAUUGAUUGUAAGUUGGAUCCUGUUGUUCAAUAUUGUUGCAUGUAUUUGCUUAUGCAUCAGGUUAUUUUAACAGUCUCAUGUUAUUUCGUUGUUUAGUUGAUGAUCUUAAAGCCAAUACCGAGUAUACCAGCUACACGGCAGGAUCUCCUGUUAUUCAUUGGUUCUGGGAGGUCGUUAAAGCUUUUAGCAAAGAAGACAUGGCUAGAUUUCUUCAAUUUGUCACCGGAACAUCAAAGGUAAACCAAAUAGUAGCACCGCUUCCGUCCAAGUCACUUGAAAUGCAUUUCCUGAUAUAUCCGUAUUUGGCUUCUUUCUGCUGGUGGAUGAUCUCGAUCUCCUCCUGCCUCGCUCUUGUGUAACGAUAGAUAAUCGCAAAAGAGGGAAAUCAUCUUUUGUUUUACGAAGUGAUUGGGUCUGUUUUUUUUUACAGGUUCCUUUGGAAGGUUUCAAGGCUCUGCAAGGUAUAUCUGGCCCUCAAAGAUUACAAAUCCACAAAGCGUAUGGAGCUCCGGAGCGGCUGCCAUCAGCCCAUACAUGGUUCGAAAUCAAUACAAAGCCUUUCCUUAAUACAAAACGGUUCAAUCUCGCCUUGAUUCUCAUUGGUUACGUCUGUUUUGUUCUGUUGCAGUUUCAACCAACUAGACCUCCCUGAGUAUCCAUCCAAGGAACAGCUUCAGGAACGCCUGCUACUUGCCAUUCACGAAGCCAGUGAAGGUUUCGGGUUUGCUUGAGCUACGCUUCUCGAAACCGUCACACCUUCAGAACCAGUGAAAACCCCCUUCAAUCCUUCAUUCUUUCGGCUCCCCUGUACAUGUAAGUAAGCUUCCAUACUUGUUUGAUACCCAAAGAAAAAAAGAUUGACCAUAAAGUGCUGGUUUGUUUGCCACACAAAUCUCAAGUUUUCAUUGGUUCCGUGGCAGAGACCGAAGAUUUUCUGGCAGGAUAAGGAGAAGAGCUUUCGAGAAAGUCUGCAGAAUGAAUACAAAACUCAAGAGGCUAUUUUUAUAUGUCCAUAUAUGUUAGUAUUAGACCAUUAGGGUUUAUGUUUCUCUUUAGAUUUUGUAAAGCAAAAAUCUUUGAAAUAAUUGCUGGCCUUUCUUUUGAGUUUGAAUACACCGGCUCUCUCUUUCCAUUACAUAAACGCGAUACAAGUGCAGGCGGAUAAAGCUAAGACAACUGAUUUAACUGUCACGGUCACUGGCAUUUUCCCUUUGUCGUUCCUCAACAACAUGCCUUGAUACAGAGGCCAGUUUAGUACCACAAGUACUCCUGUUAUCACAAUCUGCAUGCCCAUUGUCUGAAAAUGUUCACCGUCUCUUGAAGUGAUCAGUCUCAUAGCCGCUGCAGCGAAGCAGAAGAGAUUGAGCAUCCCGAGUGUUCCGAGGAGGAGAAACAUCGGAGACUCCACUCCAAACUCCAUUACCUCUUUCUCGUAUCUCUCUGCUGCUUCUUCCUCUGCUACUUUCGCCGUGAUUACAAAUGCAGACUCCGAAGCCCCAAGUUUCUUCAGAAUCGUGUCCGUGAAUCCGAAUACAAACGAGCUUGUUCUUCUAUAAAGCCACAUCCUUUGCUCGUUCCACCAUCCACGGAACGUUCCUCCGCACCACAAGAACUCGGCUAGGCUAUAGGAAUUAACUGCGACAGUCACGUAUCCAAAUGGGAAAAACCACGAGCUUGAGACCUGGAUUCAAAGACCAGAUCAGUUUUACCUGAAUGAGAUUCCGGGUUUAUGACAAACACAUAAAGAAACAGAGGGAAAGCCCUUUCUUUACCUUUGGAAACAGAGGAAUGCCUUUGAGUAGACAGAGAGAGGUCAAAACAGAGUAAACAAGCACAGGUACUGAACUUGGUGCCCAAAGGCAAAAGCAACAGUAACCAAGUAUCAGUCCCAAACCAAUCUUUCCGUGGCCAUACCAAACCGGACUAUACUCUGAAAGCAGAACCUGAAAGUCUCCCUCUGACUCUGCUGCACAAGCAUUUGAUGCAAAUUUGUCGGCGCUACCCCGACAAAAAGCUUUCUUUUUUGGGUUCAGGUACGCUAAUUUCCAUCCAUGGCAUUGAAUCGCUAAACCGGUUAUUACAUCUUCUACCGGGCAUAACCAUAUUUUACACCCAUCUGCAAUGGAAACAACCAUGGUUUACUUGGUUUUCAAUGAAUGAGACACUGGUUUAAUUCCGGUCCAUAUAUAAAUUUUCCAUACGACGAAAAAAAAUAUAAUAAUACAUAUGUUUUUGAGCAUUUUGUCCAUCCAUAUAUUAAAUCAUCAUUUACAACAUACCAAUAUAUUCUUUUUCAAUGUGCCAAUACACAAAAUCCUCAAAAAUCAACAAAACAAAAAAUAUUGAUUUAAUAACGUGAUACAUAGCUUACCAUCAACGAUGUUCUAUACACCAAAAUAAACUUUAUAUACAUAAAAAUAGAAAUUCUAUACACAAAAUAUUCUUAAUUUGUUUCUUGAAGAACUAACAAUGCUUAUAAUUCAACUCAAUUCAAUAUCUAGAUCUAUAUUUUAAGAUUUAACAAUUUAAAAAUCACCAAACGCAUAACAAAGGUUCCAUAGUUAAAGAUGCAAUUUAGAGAUGUUUCGUUCUUUUCAAGCUUCAUUCUUGGGUGAAAGGGUUAACAUGUUUGUCGACGGGAGGAAUCAGGAGAAAACGAGUGAGGCCGUAAACGAGCUAGGCUAGGGAUUAUAAGAAGAGGAGGAAGAUGAAGUAGAUGAUAGAUUUUCACGGGAGGAAGAUUAAUGAAUUUAAUGAAUAAGAAGAAAAUAGUUCGAAAGUGAAGCCUCAUAUAUACAAAAGGAAUUGGCUUGAUCGGGACCUUGGGUUUAGGGGAGGAAGGAUCUGCUAGACAAAUUGAUUAUAUAGUGUGAGAAAACUUGACAAAAUGCAAUGGAACGGCCAGAUGCUAAGCAGCCGUGGCAAGAAAAGAGAACAACUGAUCGGAUAAAACUAACGACGCUUAUACCAAAUUCGUUUACGUCUUCGUUAUUUUCUCUUCCUUAACAAUUAAGAUCCGAGAAAACGGUGGAGGUGGUGACAAUCCAAUUUUAUUAUCAUAGGAUCCAAUUGAGUUUUGUUGGAACCUUGCACCGCCAUGGUAAUUUACACCGUAUCUGUGUAAGGGAAAAAUAAAUAGAACAAAAGAGAUAAAAGAGAAGAGUGGUUUACACUCAACGACACUUUUUCUACUUAUUUUUACAAAAUGGCACUUCUAACUAUUAUAGUAUUUUUUUUUUUUUUACACCAAAAUAAUCCAAAAUUGCUUUUCGUGUUGACGAUAAAGGUGAAGGCGAACUUGUGGAUACCGGAUUACGUCCAGAUUUUAAAAAUAAUAAUUAUUUUUUUUCAUCUCUUUUAUUUUGUAUUUUUCUGUAUUAUGAAAAAUAGAAAAUAAUUUUUUUUGUUAAAAUGAAUUAUAAUUUUAUUUUCUCAUAUUUUUUUUAAAAUAUACUAUAGUUUGUUUAUAUUUUUUUAAAAGCAUUUAUAAAAAAUUCAAAAAAAAAUUACAAGUAUAGUUAGAUAUUCAUUCACAAAAUACGAUGUGGAUGAUUCAUGAUGGGUAUAUAACAUGGACAUACUAGCGUGAAUUAGUUUUAAUUGAUAUAUUCGACGUGAAUAUAUAGUUUACAUUAUCUACAAUGUAGACAUGAUUGCGUGGAUAUGUUUUCAUUAAUAUAUUCAACAUGUAUAUACAUUUUACAUUGUCCAUAACCUAUCCACAUGGUCAUGUCCACGUUAUGGACAAUGUAAAGUGUAUAUCCAUACGAAUAUAUAAAUGAAAACAUAUCUAUACAACCAUGUCCAUAUUGUGGAUAAUGUAAAAUGUAUAUUUACGUCGAAUAUAUCAAUUAAUACUAAUCUACGCCAUCAUGUCCAUGUUAUAUAUAUGUCCAUCAUGCAUCAUUCACUUGUGAUUUCUUUUGAUUUUUUUUUUGUAAAUGUUUUUUGAAAAGUUUUUUGUUUGAUAAAUAAACUAUAGUAUAAUAGGUCUUAAAACAAUGGAAAAUAAAAUUAUAAUUUAUUCUAACAAAAAAUUGUUUUCUAUCUUUCACAAUAUAGGAAAAUACAAAAAAGAUGGGAAAAUAAUUUGGUAUUCAUGAGUUCAAUUCUACCGUUAUCGUGAACACGAGAGGCAAUUUCAGACUAUUUGGGUAUGAAAAUUAAAAAUAAGAAAAGUACCCUACUAGCUAGAAGUGUCUUAUAUUGUAAUAUGUAUUUGAAAAAGUGCCUUUUAUAUGUAAUUGUCUCAAAAGAGAAGGAGGGUAUAUAUGUGAUUAAAGUUAAAUUGAUAUUAAUACAUAAUUUAGAGAGAAAUUGGUUACAGAUUAUUUUUUGUUUAGUUUAUUAAUUAUAAUUUGUUUGAUGGAUAUUGGAUGCAAUUUCUCUUAAAACAAAAAAAAUUACACAAAAAUAACUAUUCAAAUAAAUAAAAGCCAAAAAAUUUAUUGAAAAUGGAAAACUACAUUUUUGUUUAGAAUAUGGAAAUUUUAUUAUAUAAAAUAGAAUGUUUCAAAAUUGCUGAUUUAUCUCGCCGUGAUACAUCAAGUUAAAGUUGGAAAAAUGAAAUUAAUUAAUAAAAAAUUAAAACUUUCAAAAAUUUAAUAAUUGAUUUUAUAUUCUUAAAAAACAAAGUUACUAAAAAAUAAAAAUAUAAUAUAAAGAAGAAAGCAAUAACAUAUAUAGUCUUAAGCUUAGAUUAAUACUAAAAGGAAAAGAUUUUUAAUUUACCACUUCUAUAUAAACAACAAUUUGAUAUGUCAGUUACACACUAAAAAAAUAAAAACCAAUAAGCAUAUUCAAAACUACCAACUGUAUUUUUUCUACUAAAUUUUCUUUCAUUUUAUAUAUUUAUCUUAUUAGAAUUUUUUUUUUUAAAUAUAAAUAAUAUUAUAUAUUUUUCUGGAUGAUCUAAUUUUUUUUUUCAACAACCCAACUAAUACAUCACAUUUGGUCCGUUAAGGGAUAGGUCUGAAAACCGUCCUCAGCUGGUUCAGUAUGAAUGAUUUGGGAAAAAAUACUGCUUCUUGCUCGCGUUCUUUUUGCAAGACUAUCCGCUCGGGCGUUUUAACUUCUGGAGAUAUAGGAGAGAGUGAAAUCCAAGAAGUUUUCCCGAAGUAUGCGGAAGGCUUCCAACUCUGAUAAGAAAGAUGGUCAAUCCAAUGGAGAUUCAGACAUGUUUACCAGAUCCGAGCAAUCGGUCUGAAAGUGUACGGAUAAAAUUUGUCUAUCUUUUACGUAAGACAUAGCCCAUAAAAGGCUCUACAAUUCGGCAUGAAGAACCGAUAGGCUUCUACGACAGCCCUGAAGGCCAAAAGUCUCACCACCCCUGCCAUCCUUCAGACUCCACCGAACCCGCUAACCAGGCUGUUGCCUAUCCAAGAUGCAUCAACCUGGCAGAUCGGGAUCCUCUGGGCCUCGGGUAGAGAGUUCAGGAGCAAGGGGGUGAUCAGCAAAGUCCCGUCUGAUCCGUCCUCUUCUUCUUCCGGUUUGAUUUGCAAACUUUUAACUUUUAGCUUCAACCUUAGUGUGGCUCAACGUAUCUACCAGGGAGAUUUUGUCAUUUCUCGCUUUCCAAAUAUACCACAAGAUCCAAAGAUAAAAAUCUUUUUGAGGAUCUGUCAUGCCUAUCUCUUUUGUUUUUCAAAAGAGAAAGCUCAUAUUUUGGUAAAUAAAGGUACUCGGGAAGAGAUCUGGAAGGGACGGAAAGUCCGAUAACGCCCAGACUUAUAAAGCCGGAAGAUAUAAAAACAAAAGAUGGUUAAUAGAUUCUUCAGGAUUCCCACAGCGGGGGCAACUCUUAUCCGUUCUCAUAUGUCUGUAGGUUAGGUUUUGGCAAGUAGCGAUACAUCUUGAUAAAGCUUGCCACAUGAAAUGCUUUAUUUUUCUAGGCGUCCGUACUUUCUAAACGUAGUUUUGAAGUGCUGUGAUAUUCAGUUCACUCACGACAUCCAAAUUCUGUUCAAGUUUUGUUUUCCUAAUCAGAUCAUAUCCAGAUUCAACCGUGUAUAUUCCUGAUUUAGUAUUGUUCCACGCAAAUCCAUCAAUGGUACGGUUCUUACUAGGUCUCAAUCCAGGGAUAAGAGAGACUUCCUUAGGUUGGAAAAAUUUUCUUAGAAGAGGCUCAUCCCAUUGCUUCGUAUCUUGACGGAUAAAAGAGUAAACUAACACUCUUGGAUCUUGAAGUCCAAUUAGAGGGGUUAUUUUUGGUGGGCGAGCUCUGAUGUCGGAGAUCCAACGCUCACUCCACGCUCUCGAUUUAAGAAAUAAUUUAUGAAAUUACUUGGUAUUUUAGUUUUUGUUUUCAUGAAUUAUAAAAUAAUAAAUUAAAAACCUGCAUAUUACGGAUACUUAAUCUAAUAUAUCAUAAAACAAUAGAUAUUAACAUAUAGUUUUUGUACGUCAAUCCUAAUGAUAAAAUAUAGUUACAGACCAUAUAGAAAAUCGAAACUCAAAUUAACAUUAGAAGAAGAAAAAAGGGUAUCAAAGAAAAAGGGAAAAAAAAAAAAAGCUAAACCGGCAUUGGAACGAUUUUCGCUUCUGUAUAUAACACAAAGCGCCUUAGCUUUUUAGAAUUCUUCUCCACUUCUCUCUCUCACCGUCUUUCUCUCUCUCUCUCUAUCAAAUCCCUCUAUACGCGAUCCUCUUCAAAACCCUAGUUUCGGAUCGCUCCAGGCUUGGAUUAUUUCCAAGAUCGUUAAUUCUUCUCCUCCUUCUUCUUCUUCUCGUUCGUCUGCGUCUGCGAUCGAUCGCCAUCCGUCCAAAUACUGGACCAGUUCACCGGUGGUAUUUUGAUUCGAUUUCACAAGUGAUUCUUCAGUUCUCGAUCGGUGUAUUGAUCAAUUCUCAAUCUUUGGUUUGCUUCGGGAGAUGCCCUGUCUCUAAUCAUGAAGCUCAGAAGGAGGAGGGCUUCGGAAGUGGUAAGUGUUCCAAAACCGUGUAAUUAAACCCUUGAUCAGUUUGGAUUACUAUCCGUGUCUGUGCAUUAUCGUGUAUUUGUGCUUUCUAGAUUACUCUUUUGUUUUCUGCUACUUGUUAUUGCUUUUUAACUGUCUUUGGCUUCCUUGGAACUAGCGCUUGCCCAAGAUGUAUUGUAUAUUUGCUCGGUUAUUUAUAUGAUCUUCAGUCCUUGAUUGAUUGAUUCCUUUGAUUGUUAUUAUGGGGUUUGAGUUCUUAAACCAAACCUUGGAAGCGGUGGCAAUGGUUUUUUGUUUUUGUUUUAAUGGAGUGUAUGUUAACCUUAGUUACUUUUCCAUAAAAUGUUUCUCUGUAUUUUCCUUCUCCUUUUUUCCUGAAUGUGUGCGAUUCUAUUCUAUCUGAUGUUGUAUUUAUAGGCUGUGUUAACCUUUCUUUGAUUCAUUUCCACCAGCCUCCCAAAAUCAAAGCUUUCAUCAAUAGUGUCACUGCUGUUCCACUCGAGCAAAUACAAGAACCCCUUGCAUGUUUUCGCUGGGAAUUCGACAAGGUACCUUAUAUCCAGUUUGUGAUGCUCUUCUUCUUUUUUUUUUUUAAUUCUGUCAACUCUCGUUUUGAUCUAUGGCUGUUUUUCCUUUAUAUAGGGUGAUUUCCAUCACUGGGUGGACCUCUUUAAUCAUUUUGACUCAUAUUUUGAGAAGCACGUAAAAGGAAGGAAAGAUCUGCAUAUUGAGGAAAACUUCGAGGAAGCUGGUCCUUCUUUCCCAAAGGAUGCUGUUCUUCAAGUUCUCCGAGUUAUCAGAGUUGUCUUAGAGAAUUGCACGAACAAACAUUUUUAUAGUUCUUAUGAGGUAAAUCCAUGCCACAAUGCCCCUAAAUGUCAUUUGAUAUUUGCAUGGUUUCUUUCUUACUGGUGUCACAGUAUACAAGUCGGUGAUAUUGUUUAUUAACUCAUAUUCUGUAUUGGAUUUCUGGUUGUUCCUCGAGAUAUGUCGUUUUGUAUGCUAAUUCUUGAUAUGUCUACCUGACUAUUUCUCACACUCUUGUUCCUUCAUAACUGCAGCAGCAUCUUUCUCUCCUGCUUGCAUCUACUGAUGCAGAUGUCGUUGAAGCCUGUCUGCAGACGUUGGCUGCCUUCUUGAAGAGGCAAGUUGGAAAAUACUCCAUACGAGAUGCUUCUCUGAAUUCAAAACUAUUUUCCCUUGCACAGGGGUGGGGUGGAAAAGAGGAAGGUCUUGGCUUGACAUCAUGUGCCACAGAAAACAGUUGUGACCAGGUUUCCCACCAGCUAGGCUGUACUCUUCAUUUUGAGUUCUAUGCUUCUAAUGAAUCAUCAAGUGAGCUUCCUGGCGGUUUACAAGUUAUCCAUGUUCCUGAUGUCAGCAUGCGUGCAGAGUCUGACCUGGAACUUUUGAACAAAUUAGUCACUAAACAUAAUGUUCCUCCCAGUUUAAGAUUCGCGUUGUUGACCAGAUUAAGAUUUGCGAGGGCGUUCUCAUCUUUGUCUACCCGGCAACAGUAUACAUGCAUUCGCUUAUAUGCUUUCAUUGUUUUGGUUCAAGCAAGUGGUGACACCGAGAAUGUUGUUUCUUUCUUCAAUGGAGAACCCGAGUUUGUAAAUGAGUUAGUUACGCUGGUAAGCUAUGAGGAUACUGUUCCAGGGAAAAUAAGGAUACUAUGCUUGCUUUCCUUGGUUGCACUAUCCCAAGAUCGAACUCGGCAGCCAAUUGUUUUAACUGCAGUCACCUCCGGCGGGCAUCGUGGUUUGUUGUCUGGCCAAAUGCAGAAAGCGAUUGAUUCUGUUAUCUGUAAUACUUCUAAGUGGUCCCUGGCUUUUGCGGAAGCCUUGUUAUCCCUUGUUACAGUCCUGGUUUCAUCAUCGUCUGGAUGUUCAGCCAUGCGAGAAGCUGGUCUUAUUCCGACCCUAGUGCCUCUCAUCAAAGAUACAGAUCCUCAGCACUUGCAUUUGGUCAGUACCGCUGUGCAUAUAUUAGAAGCCUUCAUGGAUUACAGCAAUCCAGCUGCUGCUUUGUUCAGAGAUUUGGGUGGCUUAGAUGAUACGAUCUUUCGGUUGAAACUGGAAGUCUCUCGUACUGAAGACGAUGUAAAAGAAAAAAAUUGCAGUUCAGAUAGUAAUGGGAGGGAUGCACUUGUUUUCGGUGGUUCUCUUAAUCAGCCUGAUACCGAACAGCUUCCCUAUUCUGAAGCAUUAAUUUCGUACCACAGGAGAUUGUUGUUAAAAGCCUUGUUACGUGCAAUAUCUCUUGGAACUUAUGCUCCUGGUAACACUAACCUCUAUGGUUCCGAGGAGAGCUUGCUGCCUGAAUGCUUAUGCAUUAUCUUCCGGAGAGCAAAAGAUUUCGGUGGUGGAGUAUUCUCUCUUGCUGCCACUGUCAUGAGUGACCUCAUUCAUAAAGAUCCCACUUGUUUCAAUGCUUUAGACUCGGCUGGUUUAACUUCUGCCUUUCUUGAUACUAUAUCUGAUGAGGUCAUCUGCUCUGCAGAAGCCAUAACAUGCAUUCCGCAGUGUCUGGAUGCUCUGUGCCUCAACAAUAGUGGUCUUCAAGCUGUAAAGGACCGAAAUGCAUUGAAGUGUUUUGUUAAAAUAUUCACUUCGUCGUCUUAUUUGCGGGCUCUUACUGGCGAUACACCUGGUACUUUGUCAAGUGGGCUUGAUGAACUCUUAAGACACCAAUCUUCGUUGCGCACUUAUGGAGUUGAUAUGUUCAUUGACAUCCUGAAUUCCUUGUUGAUUAUUGGAUCUGGGAUGCAGGCCACCACUUCUGACUCAGCAGAUGUGCCUACUGAUGCUGCUCCCGUUCCUAUGGAAAUUGACGCUGAUGAGAAGAGCUUAGUGGUUUCGGAUGAAGCGGAAUCAUCUUCUGAUACUUCUCCAGCAAACAUUGAGUUGUUUCUUCCAGAUUGUGUGGGUAAUGUUGCUCGUCUCUUCGAAACAGUUCUUCAGAAUGCAGAAGUAUGUUCCCUGUUUGUUGAGAAGAAAGGUAUCGAUGCUGUUUUGCAGCUAUUCUCUUUACCUCUUAUGCCUCUGUCAACCUCUCUUGGUCAAAGUUUUUCUGUCGCUUUUAAGAACUUCUCCCCUCAGCAGUCGGCUGGUCUAGCCCGGAUAGUGUGCUCCUACCUAAGAGAUCAUCUGAAGAGCACACAUGAGCUUUUGGCUUCCAUUAAAGGCACUCAGCUUCUUAAAUUAGAGUCUGCGGUCCAGAUGAAGAUUUUGAGAUCUCUUUCCUGUCUAGAAGGCAUGUUGUCCCUCUCCAACUUUUUGUUGAAAGGAACAGCUUCAGUUAUCUCGGAAUUGAGUGCUGCUGAUGCUGAUGUACUGAAAGAACUUGGUCUAACAUACAAGCAAGUGAUUUGGCAGAUGGCUUUGUGUAGUGAUACCAAGGAAGAUGAAAAAAAAAGUGCUGAUCGGCAGCAUGAUAAUUCAGUUUCAGCAUCAUCUAGUACCGUUGAAAGAGAGAGUGAUGAGGAUUCAAGCAAUGCUUCAGCAGUUAGAUACACAAACCCUUUAUCCAUUAGAAGCAGUAGCACUCAGUCCAUUUGGCGUGGUGAUCGUGAAUUUCUGUCUGUAGUGCGUUCUGGCGAAGGUAUUCAUGGUCGUACACGACAUGCAAUAGCCCGAAUGAGGGGUGGGAGGAGUCGUCGACACCUGGAGUCUUUUAAUUUUGAUUCCGAGAUUCCACCUGAUCUACCAGAAACGUCAUCUUCCCAUGAGUUGAAAAAGAAAAGCACUGAUGUUCUCAUUGUUGAAAUUUUAAACAAGCUGAAUUGUACACUACGUCUUUUUUUCACUGCCCUUGUGAAAGGAUUCACCUCUGCUAAUCGUCGCAGAAUUGAUGGAGCACCAUUGAGUUCAGCAUCUAAGACGCUUGGUACUGCCCUAGCUAAACUAUUUCUUGAAGCUCUUAACUUCGAGGGGUAUGGUGCUACUGAUGGCCAUGAUGUCUCUCUCUCAGUAAAAUGCCGGUACCUUGGAAAAGUUGUAGAUGACAUCACUUCCCUGACAUUUGAUACUAGAAGGAGGGUCUGUUUUACAGCUAUGGUGAAUAGUUUUUAUGUCCAUGGAACCUUUAAGGAACUUCUCACCACAUUUGAAGCUACAAGCCAGCUGCUUUGGACAUUGCCGUUUUCUAUCCCUGCAUCUGGUACUGAGAAUGAGAAGCCAGGUGAAAGGAACAUAUGGUCUCACAGUACGUGGCUGGUAGAUACUCUGCAAAACUAUUGCCGGGCGUUGGACUGUUUCGUUAACUCUACAUUUCUUUUAUCUCCAGCCCCCACAUCUCAAACGCAGCUUCUUGUCCAGCAAGCUUCAGUUGGUUUGUCGAUUGGACUUUAUCCUGUACCAAGGGAACCUGAGACUUUCGUGCGAAAUCUGCAGUCUCAGGUUCUGGAUGUCAUACUACCUAUAUGGAACCACCCUAUGUUUCCUGAUUGCAAUCCCAGUUUUGUGGCAUCAGUUACCUCCCUUGUUAGACAUAUAUACUCUGGUGUUGUGGAUGCUAGGCAAAAUCGAAGUGGUGUUACCCAGGGUACAAACCAAAGAGCCUUGCCUUUACAGCCUGACGAAGCCAUUGUUGGUAUGAUCGUUGAAAUGGGAUUUUCAAGGUCAAGGGCGGAAAACGCGUUACGAACAGUUGGAACAAACAGUGUUGAAAUGGCUAUGGAGUGGUUGGUUACAAAUCCUGAGGAACAUGUGCAGGAAGAUGACGAGCUUGCUCAAGCACUUGCACUCUCUCUUGGAAAUCCAUCUGAAACUCCAAAACCUGAUGAGACAGAAAAGGUUGUAGAUGUUCCGCCGGAAGAAGCUGAUCCAAAAGAACCAUCUGUUGAUGAAGUUAUUGCUGCAUCAGUGAAGUUAUUUCAAAGUGAUGAUUCUAUGGCUUUCCCUCUUAUGGAUUUGUUUGUGACACUCUGUAGCCGAAACAAAGGGGAAGAUCGGCCAAAAAUCGUGUCGUAUCUCAUUCAGCAACUGAAGCUAGUCCAACUUGAUUUCUCCAAGGAUACUGGUGCUUUGACUAUGAUACCACACAUUUUAGCGUUAGUUCUCUCAGAGGAUGAUAACACUCGAGAAAUUGCUGCACAGGAUGGUGUUGUGGUUGUAGCAAUUGAUAUCUUGACGGAUUUCAAGCUUAAGAGUGAAUCUGACAAUAAGAUUCUGGCUCCAAAAUGCAUUAGUGCUUUGCUUCUUAUAUUGAGCAUGAUGCUGCAGGCACGGACAAGAAUCUCGUCCGAGUUUGUGGAAGGAAAUCAAGGUGGAUCUUUGGAUUCACAAGACUCAGCAGCAGCUUUAAAGAAAGCGUUAUCCUCUGAUGUUGCUAAAGGGGAGUCAAACCUGGCUUUGGAAUCGAUUUUUGGUAAAUCUACAGGCUAUCUGACCAUGGAAGAAGGUCAAAAGGCUCUACUAAUCGCCUGUGGCCUCAUAAAACAGUGUGUUCCAGAAAUGAUCAUGCAGGCUGUUCUUCAGUUAUGUGCUCGUCUAACGAAAACUCAUGCUUUAGCUAUCCAGUUUCUGGAAAACGGAGGCUUAUCUUCACUAUUUAAUCUUCCGAAAAAAUGCUUUUUCCCUGGGUAUGAUACUGUUGCAUCUGUUAUUGUACGGCAUCUCAUUGAAGAUCCUCAGACUCUCCAAAUUGCUAUGGAAUCAGAAAUUCGACAGACCUUGAGUGGGAAGAGACAUAUAGGUAGGGUAUUACCUCGGGCAUUCCUGACAACAAUGGCACCUGUAAUUUCAAGAGAUCCGGUGGUUUUUAUGAAAGCUGUGGCUUCUACUUGUCAGCUUGAGUCAUCAGGAGGGAGGGAGUUUGUGAUACUGUCAAAGGAAAAAGAAAAGCCAAAAGUUUCAGACAGUGAACACGGAUUCUCUAUGAAUGAACCCCUUGGAAUAUCCGAGAAUAAGCUUCAUGAUGGGUCAGGAAAAUGUUCAAAAAGUCACAGAAGAGUCCCUGCUAACUUCAUCCAAGUUAUUGAUCAGCUUAUUGACACUGUCUUGAGUUUUUCUAGGGGGAAGAGGCAGGAAGAUGACGAGACCAAUCCAAUUUCGAUGGAGGUUGAUGAGCCAACAAUUAAAGUGAAGGGUAAAUCAAAAGUUGGUGAUCUGGAGAAAGCAGAACUUGGAUCUGAAAAAUCGGAAGAAUUGGCAAGGGUAACAUUUAUCUUGAAGUUGUUGAGUGAUAUUGUUCUCAUGUACUUGCAUGGUGCCAGUGUCAUACUGAGACGGGAUACAGAAAUAUCUCAUCUUCGGGGAUCAAACCUACCUGAUGAAUCACCUGGCAAUGGAGGGUUAAUUUACCAUGUCAUUCAUCGCUUACUUCCCAUAUCUCUUGAUAAGUUUGUUGGAACUGAAGAAUGGAAGGAGAAAUUGUCUGAAAAGGCUUCAUGGUUUCUGGUCGUUUUGUGCAGUCGUUCCAGUGAAGGGCGUAAAAGAAUUAUCAAUGAGCUUUCGAGGGUUUUAUCUGCGUUUGCUUCCUCGGGAAGCAGUUCUAGUCAAACUGUUCUAUUACCUGAUAAAAGAGUUCUUGCUUUUGCUAACCUUGUUUAUUCGAUCUUGACGAAGAAUUCAUCUUCCAGCAACUUACCUGGUAGUGGUUGUUCACCUGAUGUUGCAAAGAGCAUGAUAGAUGGGGGAACUAUCCAGUGUCUGACCGGCAUCCUUCAUGUGAUUGAUCUCGACCACCCUGAUGCUCCAAAGCUUGUCACUCUUAUCCUCAAGUCUCUCGAGACACUGACGAGGGCUGCAAAUGCUGCUGAGCAACUAAAAUCAGAAGGACCAAACGAGAAAAAGAGCACAGAUUCUAAUGAUAGACGUGACAGUCGAACUUCAACUGAUGCGGUUGUUGAUGAACUGAACCGAAAUAAUAGCAGUCUACAACGAGUAACAGACGUAGAGAAUGGACAGGAGCAGCCUCAAGUUUCCUCUCAAAGCGACAGAGAAAGGAGUCUGAGUCAAGCCCAGGCUAUGCCUCAGGAGAUGAGGAUAGAAGGCAAUGAGACAAUACUGCCUGAACCUAUUCAGAUGGAUUUCAUAGGAGAAGAGAUUGAAGGUGAUCAAAUCGAAAUGAGUUUCCAUGUUGAAAAUAGGGGCGACGAUGAAGGAGAUGAUGACAUGGAAGACGAAGGGGAGGACGAUGAAGGAGAUGAUGACAUGGGAGAUGACGGGGAGGACGAUGAAGGAGAUGAUGAGGAUGCCGAUUUAGCUGAGGAUGGAGCUGAUGUUAUGUCUCUUGCUGGAACCGAUGUGGAAGACCCUGAUGAUAAUGGCCUUGGAGAUGACUAUAAUGAUGACAUGAUUGACGAAGAAGAUGAGGAUGAUUUCCACGAGAAUCGUGUAAUAGAGGUGCGGUGGAGGGAAGCUCUUGAUGGGCUGGAUCAUUUUCAAAUUCUUGGGCAAUCUGGUGGUGGAAAUGGUUUUAUUGAUGAUAUUACAGCUGAGCCGUUCGAAGGAGUGAAUGUGGACGACCUAUUUGCUCUGCGGAGACCCUUGGGCUUUGAGCGUAGACGACAAACAGGCAGAUCUUCUUUUGAUAGAUCUGGUUCAGAAGUACAUGGUUUUCAGCACCCGCUCUUUUCCAGACCUUUGCAAACUGGCAAUACAGCCUCAGUUUCGGCAAGUGCUGGCAGUAUACCCAGGCAUUCAGAAGCUGGCAGCUACGAUGUAGCACAGUUUUACAUGUUUGAUACACCUGUUCUACCUUUUGAUCAAGUACCAGGUAAUCCUUUCAGUGAUCGCUUAGGAGGUGGUGGGGCACCUCCUCCUUUGACUGAUUAUUCUGUUGUGGGUAUGGAUUCAUUAAGAAGAGGGGUUGGUGAUAGUCGGUGGACUGACAUAGGUCAUCCUCAACCAAGUAGCCAAUCUGCUUCAAUUGCCCAGUUGAUAGAAGAACAUUUUAUUUCCAACCUGCGUGCUUCUGCCCCAGCAGAUACUGUCGUCGAAAGGGAAACUAAUAGCACAGAAGUCCAAGAGCAGCAACACCCGGAUGUUCAUCCAUCUUUCGGAAGCGAAACCGUUUUAGGGGAUGGUAACAACGGUGGUCAACAUAGUGAAGAGCGUGAAGUGUUGAAUAACAAUGAUAAUAACCUACCUGAUGUAACGGCUGGAAGUUUCUCUCAAGGUCAAGCUGCUGUAGCUUCUCCUGUCCUUCGAGAUGCAAGUGAAUGUCCACAACCGCAUGAAGUCAUACAGCCUCUUCCUUUAAACAGUACACCAAAUGAGAUUGACGGAAUGGAAGUUGGUGAAGGUGAUGGAGUACCUAGUGAGCUAGCAGACCUCCAAGCUAUGCAUCUUGUCUCCACUGCGCAGGGUCAACCUGAUACUUCCAGUAUUCAAAAUGUGUCUGUUACUGGGACGCCUCUUCCAGCAGAUGAUCCUGACUCUAAUUUUCAACCAAGUGUAGAUGUAGAUAUGAGUAGUGAUGGUGCAGAGGGAAAUCACAGUGUGGCACCUUCACUAUUGGCCCGUGACAACAAUGACCUCUCAUCCAUGGAAGCUACACAAGAUGCAAGGAAUGAUGAACAAGUUACUGAAGGUAGCUUGGACGGUGGGGCACCAGAAGCGAAUUCCAUUGAUCCUACAUUUUUGGAGGCACUCCCUGAAGAUUUGCGGGCAGAAGUCCUUGCUUCUCAGCAAGCUCAGUCCGUUCAGCCUCCAACUUAUGAACCACCUCCAGUAGACGACAUAGAUCCUGAAUUUUUGGCAGCUCUUCCCCCAGAUAUCCAAACAGAAGUUCUUGCUCAACAAAGGGCACACAGGUUGGUACAACAGUCCCAAGGACAGCCAGUUGACAUGGAUAACGCUUCAAUUAUUGCUACUCUACCUGCUGAUUUACGUGAAGAGGUUUGUAUCUCUACCUUUCUUUGAGCUAAGUUAAUUUGGAUUCGGAAAUGGUGAUAACAUUCUGAAAUAUGCUACUUUCAGGUUCUCUUAACUUCUUCAGAAGCAGUUUUGGCAGCUUUGCCUUCAUCUUUGAUUGCGGAAGCGCAGAUGCUCAGAGACCGAGCAAUGAGUCACUAUCAGGCUCGUAGUCUUUUUGGGAGUAGUCAUAGGCUGAAUAAUCGAAGGAAUGGUUUGGGCUACAAUAGGCUGACGGGGAUGGACAGGGGUGUUGGAGUCAGUAUUGGUCAGAGGGGUGUUUCAUCUUCUGCAGAUGGCUCGAAAAUGAAAGAGAUCGAAGGAGACCCUCUUGUUGAUGCUGAUGCCUUGAAAUCACUAAUUAGGCUACUACGACUAGCACAGGUAAGAGGCAUUCCUCUUUUUUUCCUACCCUCUUCUAACAAGAAAUAAUCAAUGAUCUUGGGCCUCAUUUCGCAACUCCUAAUUGACUAUUCUUACGGAAGUAUCUUAAGUAAUUGUUUGUCGCAUCUUACAAUGAAGUUGUUUUGAUGUAUCAGCCGUUGGGGAAAGGCCUUCUGCAGAGGCUUCUAUUAAAUCUAUGUGCUCACAGUGCUACAAGGGCAAAUUUGGUUCAACUUAUGCUGGAUUUGAUUAGGCCAGAGAUGGAAACAUCACCGAGCGAGUUGGCAGUAACUAAUCCGCAAAGACUCUAUGGCUGUCAAUCAAAUGUGGUUUAUGGACGAUCCCAGCUGUUGAAUGGUAGUACUUCCUCUCGAAAUUCGUUGUUCGCUAUUCUCGCCAGCUUCCAUAGUACUUUAUGACUGACUUUCUUUGUUCCUAACACAGGGCUUCCUCCUCUAGUGUUCCGGCGGGUGCUUGAGGUUUUGACGUACUUGGCUACGAAUCAUUCGGCUGUUGCUGACAUGUUGUUUUACUUUGAUUCGUCACUUCUGUCCCAAUUUCCAUGCCCGAAACCCUCUGUUUGUGAAGGCAAGGGUAAGGAGAAAGUUACUCAAGUGACAGACUCCCGGAAUCUGGAGAUACCUGUGGUUGUCUUUUUUAAACUGCUUAAUCGGCCUCAGCUUUUGCAAAGUACAUCUCAUCUUGCGCUGGUAUGUUACUAUGUUUAGCUCGAUUUUCAUCAUAAAAGUAGGAAUCUUCUCGCUACAAUCUUCAGAUAGUUGUUUUGGUUGUUAUUUUAUCUGUAUAUCCACAAGAUCCGUGUUCUGUUUGUUUCAGGUCAUGGGUUUACUACAAGUAGUUGUCUACACAGCAGCAUCCCGAAUUGAGGGAUGGUCUCCGUCAUCAGGAGUACCUGAGAAGUCUGAAAAUAAGCCCGUUGGUGAAGAAGCUUCAAGUGAAACACGAAAAGAUGAAUCUAAGCUACUGGAUGAAGCUGAGCUAUCUGUUGCAAGAAGGAAGAAUUGUGCUGACAUAUACAACAUAUUCUUGCAGUUGCCACAGUCCGAUCUCUGCAAUCUUUGCAUUCUUCUUGGAUAUGAAGGGUAAGAGAUAGCCUCCUAUCGUUUUUGUUCAUUGCUUUCCUGAGAUUCCUCUUUCCUCUUACAUUUAGUAAUGUACAAAACAUAGGUCGUUUCUUAUCUUUGUUGUCAAUGAUAUCUCUGAAUUGCUUGGACUGAUUCGCAUGUUUUAAUAUUUUAAUAGGUUAUCGGAUAAAAUAUACUCGUUAGCAGGAGAGGUACUAAAAAAGCUGGCAGCUGUAGAUGUGGCUCAUCGCAAGUUUUUCGCGAAAGAACUCUCAGAAUUGGCAAGUGGUUUGAGUGCCUCAACUGUCCGUGAGCUGGCAAAACUGAGCAAUUCACAGAAGAUGAGCCACAGUGCAGGUUCCAUGGCAGGUGCUUCAAUUCUCCGUGUUCUACAGGUGCUUAGCUCACUAACUUCCCAUAUUGAUGAUAGCCAUGCGGGAACCGAAGGGGAAACAGAACACGAGGAACAAAACAUCAUGCAGAGACUAAACGUGGCAUUAGAGCCCCUGUGGCAAGAACUUAGCCAGUGUAUCAGCAUGACUGAGUUGCAGCUGGAUCAUACUGCAGCUACAACAACCGUGUCAAACGUAAACCCCGGAGAUCAUGUCCUAGGGGUCACUCCUCCGUCCUAUCUUUCUCCAGGAACUCAGAGGCUCCUACCUCUUAUUGAGGCUUUCUUUGUUCUCUGUGAGAAAAUUCAAACUCCGUCAAUAUUACAGCAGGAUCAUGCGAAUGUGACAGCAGGAGAAGUAAAGGAGUCUGCUCAUAGUUCAUCAUCUAAAACCAGUGUAGUUUCUCAGAAAAAAACUGAUGGCUCCGUUACAUUUGCAAAGUUUGCGGAGAAGCAUAGGCGACUUUUGAAUUCAUUUGUUAGGCAAAAUCCGAGUUUGCUGGAGAAGUCCCUUUCAAUGAUGCUCAAGGCACCAAGGUUGAUUGAUUUUGACAAUAAGAAAGCUUACUUCAGGUCAAGGAUAAGGCACCAGCAUGAUCAUCACAUUUCUGGGCCAUUGCGUAUUAGUGUCCGCCGAGCUUAUGUGUUGGAAGAUUCAUACAACCAGUUGCGUAUGCGCUCCCCACAGGAUCUGAAAGGACGUCUGAAUGUGCAGUUUCAAGGUGAGGAAGGUAUUGAUGCUGGUGGUCUUACAAGAGAAUGGUAUCAGUUGUUGUCAAGAGUUAUAUUUGACAAAGGAGCGUUGCUGUUCACUACCGUUGGAAAUGAUGCCACCUUCCAGCCGAAUCCGAAUUCUGUUUACCAAACUGAGCAUCUGUCAUACUUUAAGUUUGUUGGCCGGAUGGUAAUAGUCAGGACCUUGUGAUUGUAAUGAUCCUAUUGUUUAUUUUUGAGCCUAUCUGAUGUGUUUGUGAUGUCACUGCUGCAGGUGGCGAAGGCAUUGUUUGAUGGGCAGCUUUUGGAUGUUUAUUUCACUCGUUCCUUCUAUAAACAUAUCCUUGGUGUGAAGGUGACCUAUCAUGACAUUGAGGCGGUGGAUCCUGAUUACUAUAAGAAUUUGAAGUGGCUGUUGGAGGUUUGUGGACUUAGUCUUAAUUUACCUUUUACCUUAUAAAAGCUUAAAAAUCGAUGUUUACAGAGUCCUGCCUUUUAGAGACUUAUCUUUGAACCUUUUUUUUUUCUUUACAGAAUGAUGUGAGCGACAUACUCGACCUCACAUUUAGUAUGGACGCAGACGAGGAAAAACACAUUCUUUACGAAAAGACCGAGGUCUGUGAUAUUAUUAAAUGUUUGUUUUUCUCUUCAUUACCCCAAAGGGUAUACCAUAUUGAAUUUGAUCAUGUUAUACCUUUACCGAAAAGGUGACGGACUAUGAGCUUAAACCUGGAGGACGAAACAUACGAGUAACAGAAGAAACAAAACAUGAAUAUGUUGACCUUGUAGCCGGCCACAUACUUACCAAUGCUAUUCGGCCUCAAAUCAACGCCUUCCUCGAGGGCUUUAAUGAGUUGAUACCUCGUGAGCUCGUAUCCAUUUUCAACGACAAAGAGCUCGAGCUCCUAAUCAGUGGAUUGCCUGAGAUUGAUUGUAAGUUGGAUCCUGUUGUUCAAUAUUGUUGCAUGUAUUUGCUUAUGCAUCAGGUUAUUUUAACAGUCUCAUGUUAUUUCGUUGUUUAGUUGAUGAUCUUAAAGCCAAUACCGAGUAUACCAGCUACACGGCAGGAUCUCCUGUUAUUCAUUGGUUCUGGGAGGUCGUUAAAGCUUUUAGCAAAGAAGACAUGGCUAGAUUUCUUCAAUUUGUCACCGGAACAUCAAAGGUAAACCAAAUAGUAGCACCGCUUCCGUCCAAGUCACUUGAAAUGCAUUUCCUGAUAUAUCCGUAUUUGGCUUCUUUCUGCUGGUGGAUGAUCUCGAUCUCCUCCUGCCUCGCUCUUGUGUAACGAUAGAUAAUCGCAAAAGAGGGAAAUCAUCUUUUGUUUUACGAAGUGAUUGGGUCUGUUUUUUUUUACAGGUUCCUUUGGAAGGUUUCAAGGCUCUGCAAGGUAUAUCUGGCCCUCAAAGAUUACAAAUCCACAAAGCGUAUGGAGCUCCGGAGCGGCUGCCAUCAGCCCAUACAUGGUUCGAAAUCAAUACAAAGCCUUUCCUUAAUACAAAACGGUUCAAUCUCGCCUUGAUUCUCAUUGGUUACGUCUGUUUUGUUCUGUUGCAGUUUCAACCAACUAGACCUCCCUGAGUAUCCAUCCAAGGAACAGCUUCAGGAACGCCUGCUACUUGCCAUUCACGAAGCCAGUGAAGGUUUCGGGUUUGCUUGAGCUACGCUUCUCGAAACCGUCACACCUUCAGAACCAGUGAAAACCCCCUUCAAUCCUUCAUUCUUUCGGCUCCCCUGUACAUGUAAGUAAGCUUCCAUACUUGUUUGAUACCCAAAGAAAAAAAGAUUGACCAUAAAGUGCUGGUUUGUUUGCCACACAAAUCUCAAGUUUUCAUUGGUUCCGUGGCAGAGACCGAAGAUUUUCUGGCAGGAUAAGGAGAAGAGCUUUCGAGAAAGUCUGCAGAAUGAAUACAAAACUCAAGAGGCUAUUUUUAUAUGUCCAUAUAUGUUAGUAUUAGACCAUUAGGGUUUAUGUUUCUCUUUAGAUUUUGUAAAGCAAAAAUCUUUGAAAUAAUUGCUGGCCUUUCUUUUGAGUUUGAAUACACCGGCUCUCUCUUUCCAUUACAUAAACGCGAUACAAGUGCAGGCGGAUAAAGCUAAGACAACUGAUUUAACUGUCACGGUCACUGGCAUUUUCCCUUUGUCGUUCCUCAACAACAUGCCUUGAUACAGAGGCCAGUUUAGUACCACAAGUACUCCUGUUAUCACAAUCUGCAUGCCCAUUGUCUGAAAAUGUUCACCGUCUCUUGAAGUGAUCAGUCUCAUAGCCGCUGCAGCGAAGCAGAAGAGAUUGAGCAUCCCGAGUGUUCCGAGGAGGAGAAACAUCGGAGACUCCACUCCAAACUCCAUUACCUCUUUCUCGUAUCUCUCUGCUGCUUCUUCCUCUGCUACUUUCGCCGUGAUUACAAAUGCAGACUCCGAAGCCCCAAGUUUCUUCAGAAUCGUGUCCGUGAAUCCGAAUACAAACGAGCUUGUUCUUCUAUAAAGCCACAUCCUUUGCUCGUUCCACCAUCCACGGAACGUUCCUCCGCACCACAAGAACUCGGCUAGGCUAUAGGAAUUAACUGCGACAGUCACGUAUCCAAAUGGGAAAAACCACGAGCUUGAGACCUGGAUUCAAAGACCAGAUCAGUUUUACCUGAAUGAGAUUCCGGGUUUAUGACAAACACAUAAAGAAACAGAGGGAAAGCCCUUUCUUUACCUUUGGAAACAGAGGAAUGCCUUUGAGUAGACAGAGAGAGGUCAAAACAGAGUAAACAAGCACAGGUACUGAACUUGGUGCCCAAAGGCAAAAGCAACAGUAACCAAGUAUCAGUCCCAAACCAAUCUUUCCGUGGCCAUACCAAACCGGACUAUACUCUGAAAGCAGAACCUGAAAGUCUCCCUCUGACUCUGCUGCACAAGCAUUUGAUGCAAAUUUGUCGGCGCUACCCCGACAAAAAGCUUUCUUUUUUGGGUUCAGGUACGCUAAUUUCCAUCCAUGGCAUUGAAUCGCUAAACCGGUUAUUACAUCUUCUACCGGGCAUAACCAUAUUUUACACCCAUCUGCAAUGGAAACAACCAUGGUUUACUUGGUUUUCAAUGAAUGAGACACUGGUUUAAUUCCGGUCCAUAUAUAAAUUUUCCAUACGACGAAAAAAAAUAUAAUAAUACAUAUGUUUUUGAGCAUUUUGUCCAUCCAUAUAUUAAAUCAUCAUUUACAACAUACCAAUAUAUUCUUUUUCAAUGUGCCAAUACACAAAAUCCUCAAAAAUCAACAAAACAAAAAAUAUUGAUUUAAUAACGUGAUACAUAGCUUACCAUCAACGAUGUUCUAUACACCAAAAUAAACUGCGAGAACCCAUCACUGUACUUCAACCGCGCCUCCUCAGGUACUCGCCGGAGUUUCGUCGCUGUUUCAAUCCUCGCCGCCAUUUCUCUAUACAACUCAGCCACCUCCUUGGCCACAGCAGAAUCAAGAACAUUUGCCGUGGAAGACAAGUAAGCCGCUGGAGAUCUCGGCUCAACGUUGAAUCUCUUACAGAAUGGAACCCAAAUUCCGGCAAACUCAGCUGCCUCCGCGAGGGCAUAGAACGUGAGCUCAGAGCCACCGUCAUCUGAGAGAUAUACGGCGAGUUUCUCCGGUGGAUAAUCGAGAGCCGUCACAGAUAAGAAAGUGUUAACAACCAUCAACGGCGGCUCAAUCACCGGAUCCGCCGUGCAGACGAAAACGUCGAGCGUGGGAAGAUCGUUCCCGUACCUCCGGGAGAGUCUGUCGGUGAAGGUAAAUCGCCAAACCGGAUUCCACCGGAGAGACUGUACGACUACCCAAUACAAACCGAACCAAAUCUCCAUGAUUAAGAUAACCAACCAGACAAUUGGAACGAAACUGGUCCGGUUCUCAUCAAUCUCUACCGGUAUGGUCACUCUGUAGAACCAAAUCCAACAGAUACAAAAGAAAACCGAGGCUGAGAAAACCCGGUACGAGAUCACUCUUCCGGUUUUCCUCCUGGUGACAAAAAGCGGUUCGCCUUGGUGAACCGGUCUAAACGGGUCAUCUUCUUUUCUCAUGUUUUUUGUCUCUCUGAGUAGGAAGGGAGUGGGAAAGAUAAGAGAAGCGUGUCUCUUGUUCGCUAUAUAUCCAAAAUACAGAGAUUAGUGGAGGCUGUAAUUUUGGACAAUUUCAAAAAGACGAAUAGAGCAUUCUCUUGACGUCAGCAAUUAUUUUUUUCUUUCCUUCGGACAAAAACAGGUCAGAGAUUAGAGAUAGCGUCCAAUAAUCAAAGAUGAGACUUAUCUCUUUUUUUCUGAACGAAUAAGAUGAGACUUAUUAAACAAAAGAUAAAGGCUGAAGCUGAUGUUUCUUAGGCUUUUAGCAAAUGGUUGGUGAUGAUGAAUAAAAGUAUCAAAAUGGGCUGUCCAUGUCUAUUUAGGCCCGUCCAAUUGUCCAAUUUGAUUGUGGACAAAUGGUGUUCAUAUCCAUUAACGACUAUGUCCAUUAACAACCAUAUCCAUUAACGAUCUAAAUGGGCUGUCCAUCAGUAUCUAUUGGACACAUAGUAUAAUAUAUUGUUUGUUUUUGUUUUUUUCUUUGUUUUAUAGAUAAUUUUUUGUUUUUCGCAUUUUUCAGAAAAAAAAACACAUGAAAAAAUAAUUUUAUAUUUUUGCAAAAAAAAUGAUUUUGCAGAUUUAACGAGGAAAUUGUUUCUGCGUUUUGCCGAGAAACUGGAAUUUUGAGUUUUUGGCAGAAAAUCGAGAUUUUGCGUUUUUGGCAGAAAAUCAAGAUUUUGCAUUUUUAGCGGGAAACCAAGAUGGAAACCAAGAUUUUUCGUUUGGUAGAAAACUGAGAUUUCUUAAUUUUGCGUUUUUGGCAGAAAAUCAAGAUUUUGCAUUUUUAGCGGAAACCAAAAUUUUUCGUUUGGCGGAAAACUGAGAUUUCUUGAUUUUGCGAGAAAUUGAGAUUUUAUGGUUUUAGCAAAAAAUCAAAAUUUAGUAUUUUUUAGUAGGAAACUGAGAUUUUUUGUUUCCGUCAAAAAAUAGAAUUUUUCUCAUACUUGUUGUAUUCUUUGUACGAUAGAGAAUUUUUCAUUUGAUAUUAAUUAUUAUAAUAAUAAUAAUAUUGGACCAAAAUAAAAUAAAUAAAAAUUAAUAGUUUUGAUGUAGUAUUUUUUGUCCAAUAGACGGAAUGUCCUAAGUGUCCAACUCUAUUUUGUCCAUUAACAAAAAUGGACGAAACCUAUUUUAACUUGUUUCGAAAAUGGAUUUGUCCAUGACUAGUCCAAAAUACGUUAGACAUAGAGAAACUAUGGGCUUCCGGGCCCAUUUUGACACCUCUAGUACUGAUGAAUAUCAACAAUUAACAAAAAAAAAUUCUCAUCUAAUUUUGGGGAGUACUGAAUCAAAUCAAGAAUCACCAUGAACGCGUAUGACACAUGAUGUUGCGGAGAUCUUGGUUUCAUAACUGAAGAUUAAAGGGUCUCUGCAAAGACUGCAACAGUGUUGAUUUUGAAGAAGUAACUGCACUAAAAAAAAACAAGAUGAACGCAGAUUUGCAAUCUAUCUUAUGUGAAUGACCUGUUGUUAUUGAAAUUCAAAUUCAGGCUAUCCAUAUCGAUCAAUUCCAUAUCGGAAGGUUGUUGUUUGUAACACUUGUGUUUAUAUGCAAAGAUAUGAAAUGUUAAGUUUCAUAUGGGAUGUCCACUUCAUAUGGGAUGUUCUAAUAUUAAUAUAGCGCUGACAGAUAGCAAGAAGAAGCUUCUCUAUUUGCAAAUUGAUGUAAACAGAAAUGAGUUAUUUUUAUAUAUAUUACAUAACUACUUGACCAUUAUUUUUAAUACAUUUGACACUCAUUUUCCUUUACAAAAACGCAAUACAAGUGCAAGCAGAUAAAGCUAAGACAACUGAUUUAACUGUCACGGUCACUGGCAUUUUCCCUUUGUCGUUCCUCAACAACAUGCCUUGAUACAGAGGCCAGUUUAGUACCACAAGUACUCCUGUUAUCACAAACUGCAUGCCCAUUGUCUGAAAAUGUUGACCGUCUCUUGAAGUCAUCAGCCCCAUAGCCGCUGCAGCGGAGCAGAAGAGAUUAAGCAUCCCGAGUGUUCCGAGGAGGAGAAACAUCGGAGACUCCACUCCAAACUCCAUUACCUCUUUCUCGUAUCUCUCUGCUGCUUCUUCCUCUGCUACUUUCGCCGUGAUUACAAACGCAGACUCCGAAGCCCCAAGUUUCUUCAGAAUUGUGUCAAUGAAUCCGAAAACAAAUGAGCUUGUUCUCCUAUAAAGCCACAUCCUUUGCUCGUUCCACCAUCCACGGAACGUUCCUCCGCACCACAAGAACUCGGCUAGGCUAUAAGCAUUAGCUGCGACAGUCACGUAUCCGAACGGGAAAAACCACAAGCUCGAGACCUGGAAUCAAAGAUCAGAUCAGUUUUACCUGAAUGAGAUUCCGGGUAUAUGACAAACACAAAAAGAAACAGAGGGAAAGCUCUUUCUUUACCUUUGGAAACAGAGGAAUGCCUUUGAGUAGACAUAGAGAGGUCAAAACAGAGUAAACAAGCACAGGUACUGAACUUGGUGCCCAAAGGCAAUAGCAGCAGUAACCAAGUAUCAGUCCUAAACCGAUCUUUCCUUGGCCAUACCAAACCGGACUAUACUCUGAAAGCAGAAUCUGAAAGUCUCCCUCUGACCAUCUCCUCUGCUGCACAAGCAUUUGAUGCAAAUUUGUCGGCGCUACCCCAAGAAAAGCUUUCUUUUUAGGGGUCAGGUACGCCGAUUUCCAUCCGCGGCACUGUAUCGCUAAACCGGUAAUUACAUCCUCUACGGGGCAACCAUAUUUCAGACCCAUCUGCCAUGGAAGCAAAACCCGGUUUACUUCCCUAUCAAGAAACCAGAAACCGGUGGAGUAAGUGAAGUAUUAAUCAAUGCUUUUACCUCCUUUCCCCAUUGAGAGUUUUCUUCAUAAGUGCAGCUCGCGAGAGCUUUAAUCAUCUCAGGCUCUAAAAUUUCUUGAAUUUCCUCAGAUUCUUCUUCUUCUACCUCUCCAUACUUUCUUCCACAGAUCACGUCUCUUCUGUGAAAGCAGCCAGUCCCAAUGUACAGCGGUCCGCCAUUUCCAUCCAGUCCAUUAAACUCCACCUUUUGUUUUUUCACAUCCCAAAACACACAGGUUAGAUAAGACAACAACAGAAUCAAUAUAUCAAAAAUCCAGAAUCUAUGUUGUGUUUUCUACUGUCUCUGUCUCUAUAACUUACAUCAGCUAUUACUCGCAUCAUGCUUCCAUACAAAUCAUUCCUAGUAAUGUUCUCGUAACACUGCGGAAACUGCACGAAGGCAAUCUCCUUUCCCUCUUUCUCAUCAAGUAGGAUGCAGAGCGCGUCUAGUGCUGACUUUGAGUUGUUUGAGUACAUAUCGCAGUCCAGGUUAAGUAUGAUUCUCCCACAGGUUAUCUUCGAAGAAACCCUUAUCUGAUCAAAGAAACAACCAUAUCAAAAGGGCGACCAAUCGAGGAGAAAUCAGAAUGGCUUGUGGAACAAGAAACCAUUACCAAUGCGUUCAUAGCUCCAGCCUUGAAAUGAUGAUGAUGUUGAGGUCUCUUCUCCCUUGAUAGAUACACCAACGUUGGUAUUGCUACUGUGUUCUUUUUUCUUCCGUCUACCAAAAUCUGAUGCAACAAAAUAAACAAUCUAAAGAAUCCACUUUUCCGAUUGCUGAAUAACAGAACAUAACCCUAAAAAACCCUAUUGCUUACUUGAAGAAUGGUUCCAUGGUUUCUCUGAGUAACGUCAGAAUCCCACUGCGAGAACCCAUCACCGUACUUCAACCGCGCCUCCUCAGGUACUCGCCGCAGUUUCGUCGCCGUUUCAAUCCUCGCCGCCAUUUCUCUAUACAACUCAGCCACCUCCUUGGCCGCAGCAGAAGAUUCAAGACCAUUUGCCGUGGAAGACAAGUAAGCCGCCGGAGAUCUCGGCUCAACGUUGAAUCUCUUACAGAACGGAACCCAAACUCCGGCAAACUCAGCUGCCUCCGCGAGGGCAUAGAACGUGAGCUCAGAGCCACCGUCAUCUGAGAGAUAUACGGCGAGUUUCUCCGGUGGGUAAUCGAGAGCCGCCACAGAUAAGACAGUGUUGACCACCAUCAACGGCGGCUCAAUCACCGGAUCAGCCGUGCAAACGAAAACGUCGAGCGUGGGAAGAUCGUUCCCGUACCUCCGGGAGAGUCUGUCGGUGAAGGUAAAUCGCCAAACCGGAUUCCACCGGAGAGAUUGUACCACUAACCAAUACAAACCGAACCAAAUCUCCAAAGUUAACAUAACCAACCAGAUGAAUCGAACGAAACCAGUUCGGUUCUCAUCAAUCUCCGACGGUGCGGUAACUCGGUAGAACCAAAUCGAACAGAUACAUCCGAAAACCGAGGCCGCGAAAACCCGGAACGUAAUCACUCUUCCGGUCCUCCUCCUGGUCACAAAAAGCGGUUCACGGUCGCCUUCUUGAACCAGUCUAAACCGGUCGUCUUCUUUCCUCAUGUUUUUUUUUUUUUUGAUUAUUUUUUCUCUGUAAGGCGGCGCCAAGUGGGAAGGAUAUGAGAAGUGUCUCUCUGGUAGGUUACUUUACUUAUAAUAUGUAUAGAGAGAUUAGUGGAGACAUUGUUGUCCAAAAAGGAACGUGGACUUCCCUGACGUCAUUAGAAUCGUCAGCAACUAUGUUUCAGUUUCAGACAAAUGAUGACAGGUAGGCGUCAAGGAUCAUGAUUAAACUUCUUAAUCUUAUCAGAUGACGUUUUCGUUGACUUUAGCACUUGGUUUGGUUAGUGAUUAAAAUAAUAGUCAAAGAGUAACAAACUUCAUUUCAAUUUCUUAUAAUAUUAUCUUGGGAGUACUGUAUGCCUCUGACUCGUGAUGUUGCAGAGAUCUUGUUUUCACAUUUGAAGAAAAAGCGCUCUGCAACAAUGGAGAUUCAUAUAUGAAGCAAACAGAGUAACAAGAAGCUUCUCUACUUGCAAAAGAAGGUAAACAGAAAAUGAGUUCUAUAUAUAUAUAUAUAUAUAUAUUCGAUCAUAAGAUCCAUUUCGAGGAAAUUGUGUUUCCCUUUCUUCUUUUUUUUCAAACAACCCUGCAUCUAGCUGAUGCAAGCAAAUCUAGGAAUACAAUCUUGAGAUGCUAAACAAGUAAAGCUGACUCUUAUCUUAAAUACUGCUCAUAAACUUUAAACCAGAGAAAAUUCCGGUUUUUGUUUCAUCUUGGUCGGCAAACUCGUGUUAUAAGACGGCUCAAAUGAGGAAUCAGACCUUCUGGUCAUUUCCAAGCUUCUGGAACUCAGAUUCUAAGGUAUCGAAUAUCUUGGUGCCUUCCGUGUCUGGCUCAGGGAACCUAACGUGGACCGAACCAUGUCUGAUCGGUGCACUCGACCCUUUAACCAGAGCCUGUUGCUUGACAUAGUUGUAAAGCUCUUGGUGGAAAGAGUGAUCCAAUGAGAAACAAUUGUCUACUGUUCCAUUUGAGAUAUGCCUACCAGAUCCAGACCCUUCUCUUCUACAGAAAUGUGGCAGAGACUCGUAGUCCAUUAUCUGCAUUAGGUUUAAAACUUUCAGCAAGAAGCUAUACUUUGAAUCGAUUUUGGCAAUGAGCUUCGCUUGUCAAUUGCUUACCUUUAGCAACUCAUCUUUCCCGCAGCCUUUCAGCACUUGAAUCUUCUUCUUUGUUCUCUCCUGCAACAGAGGCUUUAUGGUUUUCCAACAAGCAGAGAAUAUGUAAGGGACAUUGACAAUAUAAUAUGUCUCUGUCUUCUCUGGGUAGUUUAAAUCAUCAAUUGUGGUUAUAGCUGUCAUUAACUGCGCAAAAAGAAAAGAAACACACCAUGUGAUGAAUAAUAUAAAUACAAAUAAAAGCUACAUAAAUCAUAAGCAAAUGUAGAUUACUAAAUUUAGCUAAAGAAGACAAAUAUGUAGAAUUAUUACCUUAAUUUGACUUAAAGCUGAAAGCUUUAAACCAGACAUAUCCAAAAUUUUCAAACAAGUGCAAAUUGGUCGUCCCUGUUUCUUUGUAGCAGAUGGCUACCAGACAAGAAUAUCACACAAUUAAGAUUUAUGAAAACAAGCAUAUGUAGAAAUGAAGUAGUAGGAGGAAAAAGCUAUUAAAAUAAAAAGAAAAGUUUUGGUCAUACCAAAACGACACGAUCCCGGAACUCAUUCAUUUGAAUGUGAGACUGUACAUAGUAGUGAACCUGAAGGAAGGAUCAGGAAGCUAUAUGGUCAGAGUUUCAACUUCAUAUCUCAAGUCUUUGUGUGGAAGAUGGAGAGACUUAAAAUGAACAGAGAUGCUUACGGAGGCUUUGUCAUAUGUGCUAAGCCCCACACCAAUGGCAAUGACAGGGAGACCCUUAAAAAGUUGAUGAACAUUUCAACAAAGUUAGUUUUGAUCAAACAUGCCUAGUUGUGAUGCUUGUUGAAAGUCAAAAGUCAGAGAAAGAAAGAGACUCAAAACAAGUUAGAACUAACUAGUAGUACCUCUUUUGAAUAACCAGAGAUACCGACAAGCUGAGAUUCUCUGAUUGCUCUGUACAGGUCAACAGGAACGAUGGGUUUCUACAAAGAAAGAAAGAAACCAAAAAAAUUCAAUUUAUCGGAUGAGAUAAAAAGGGUCACAGAAGUUUAUCGUUGAGAAUAAUUUCAGUGAAGAAAAGCAGAAGACUCACUGUAAGAAUCUUGUCAAUCUCGUUUUGAGUCCUCCAUUCUAAACACUCAAGCAACUGCAAACAUAUAGUUUUAAGCCCCAAGAAGGCAAAUAAUAUAAGAAACAAAGCAUCAAAGACAAUCUGGAUUAGGUGAAAGCAAACAGAUUUAUUAAACCAUUUUAUGAGCUUUCUGGACAUUCCAAUCCCUCGCUUUUAGAAAGCGCAACAAAGUCUCUGUUGGAUACCCUUGAUGAAUGUUCUGCAGCAUAACACAGGCAUUUUGUUAAAUCCACCAUUUUUAUUUAUUAAGCUCAAUAAAGAUCCAAGUUACAUUUUAACACCCAACUCAAAACUCUGGAUCAGCCAAUAUUCUAACUACAAAACUCCACAGAUCCAACAACAUUGAACCAAAUGCAAGAGAGAAGUGUCAACUUAGAGCUUGAUUCAAAUAUAGAUCCAGAUCAUUGCCGAUCAAAUACUCAUGACAAUCAGAUUGGUUCCAAUUGACCCCAACGAAAAAAAGGUUUUUUUUCUUUUCCGUUGCUACUUCGGUUUAUAGCCCGAAAUACCAAAUCAGAACAACCAAUCUUUGGCUCAAUAAGCAAAGAGUUGGAGUUGAAUCAUACUACGCAUCUAAAGAAAGAGGAAAGCAAGAAAAUUACUAACCCGAUACGACUCUCUCAGUGAUUCAUCAACUGUCAAUACCAGAAGAAGAAACCAAAACAAAAAAAAAAAUUAGGAUUUCGUCGGCGAUCUUGGAACAAAGCAAAGCUUAAAACAUGAAACACACAAAGAGAAAAAAAAAAAAAAAACCACACCAUCUUCCAUUAAAGUACGUAAUUGCUUGAUUGCUUCCUCACUAGAGAUGCCCAUUUUCUCUCUCUCUAUCUCUAGAGAUCUCAGCUCAGAUGUGAAAGAAAACAAAAAACCUGUAAACUCUGGGCAAAAGUUUCUGCGGGAAAUCUAAAGAGAGUAAAUCUCUGAUCUUACGGACAAUAGUUCCUCCGAGGAAGUGAGAGAGAAAUAAAGAAAUUAAAAAAAAAUGUGCACUUUUUAUUUUUUAUUUUUCUGUGGAAAUGGAGCGAAGAAUUAAGCUUUUAGAGAGAGAGAGAGAGAGAGAGAAAACUCUAAAGUUCUCUCUCUGCUUAAAGCCUUUCUUCUCCAAUGAGUUAGACAAAUAUCAUCUCAAGUUCUCUCUUGUAAUAAACACAAGAGCAAGUGAUUUUGGAUUUUCUUUUCUAAACAAAUACAAAAAGAAACAAUGAAUUUUCCGAUCAUGCUUCUUUUUUCCAUUUUUUGGAGAUUCCAAAAACAAUGAAUUUCCCUUUCUUUAUUUGGAAAUCUCCACUCAAAUUCAACCAUCUAAGAAAAGUCAAGGGAGAAUUUAAUAGUUUCACUUCAUUUUCCUCAAACUUUACUUAUUUUCUGAUUAUCGAUUAAAGUAAAAAUAUUCUUCCCGGAAAGAAAAAAAAUGAGAAGCCUGAGAUGGAAUUAUUAUUUAAUGACAUUUGCAUGCUUGAAACAAUUGGCCUUCCAUUAAUUAUUAAUAAUACUUAAUGUAGAUCAAUCGAUCGAUGAAUAGAUUGUUGGAUUAAUUUAGUGUAAUUAAUAAUAAUUUGUCAAAAGAUAUGAAAGGAAAACUCCAAAACGAGAACCAAUGAAUCUGAUUCUUUCGAAUUUGAUUGUUGAUAUCCAGUACAUACGCACUAGUAAAGAAAGAGAAAAAAAAAGUGAAUGUAAAUGAAGUAGGACUAAGUAAGUUUUCUGAUUAAUAUUUGAUCAAGACGAUGCCCAUAAUUAAUAACCGUGUGUCAUCUUCUUUCGAUACAGAAAAUACGUUUAGUUUGGCUUGAGAAUGCAACAAAAAAAGAAUAAGAUGCGUGCACCAAACAAUGUUUUAACGAGUAAAUAACAAAACUCAUUAUUUUAUGCAAAGAUAAAAAAGAAAUAAAGAAACAUAAAUGUCCAUCGUCAUGUGUUAGUUCUCCUCAUUCAAUCACAAAAUUAAAGACCCCAUAUGCCACAUGUGACAUGCAUCAUCGAUCGUGAACCAUCUUCCUUACUUUUUUCUUCUUUGUUUUAUUUUAUUUUCUGUCGGUUUUCUACUUAUUUCAACAAAUAUAAAAAUCCCAUUUAGAUACUCUCGAGUCUUAACAACAUACUAGAUUUUGCUUCCACGCUUGUUAAUAAAAAUUAUAUGCAAUCAAUUGUAUUUAUUAAGAUAUAAAUUUUAUAUAUUAGUAAUUUAAUAAUAUAUUAAAAAUAUUAUAAUGUUAAUAUAAUAAUUUUUAUGUAAAUUUUGAGGUUUUAACGGUUUUGUUUUAAAUCUAUAUACAAUAUGUCAUAUUUCAAAAACGUAUUAUUUAAUCAAACACUUAUAAGUUAAUACAACCAAAUCAACUAAAUUUUUUUAUAAAUUUGUCAAAUGGUACUUAUUAAACAUAAUAUUGACAUGAUGAUAAAAUAUUAUACAUUACUUCUUUAAAUCAUGAAGAUAAUUUUUUUAUCAUUUUCACUUUCCUUCAAUUAUAUAUGUAUUUUUUAAAAACAAUAAUAAAUUUAAAAUUUAAUUAUUUUUCUUCUCUUGUUUAACCGAUACAAAUUUUUAUUUUGUUAUAUUAAUUUAAAAAACAAGCUAAUAAAUAAAAUAUUUGCUUUGAGAUUAAUAACAACUUUAAAUUUGAAAUCAAAAUAAUAUUUGAAUAUAAAAUAAAGAAAAUCAUACAAAAUUUGUGAAUUAAAUAUAUUUUUAUCAAUUGGUUGUGUAAACGUUUAAAUACUUUUUCAAUGAUUAUACGUCAUUGAUUCUAAUAAGAAUGAAUUUUUUCAUCAUGUUCAUUUUUAUUCUUGUUAUAUCUGUUUUUUCAACUAAUAGAUCAUAUUUAUUUAUUUCAAUGAUUUUUGUAUGAUUAUAUUCAGUUUCAUCAGAUUCAAUCUUACUUCUUUUAAUUAUAUUUAAGUAGGCAGCCGGUACAAUUUAAUACAUAUAAAUUUAGAAAAACGAAAUAACAAAUUGAAAUCUCCUCAAAACUAAAAACUUCUACAUUAAUCUAUUGUAAUUCCAAGCCGAAUAUACAAAAUAUAAUUUUUUCGAUCAUUUUUUCAUAAUAUAUUACAUGAAAUUAUGUGGAAAUAUGUUUUGCAUAUGUGAAAAAAUUAAUAUAAAUUAUAAUUAUUAGUUAUUUAAAAUUUUACAUGAAAAGCCUUAAAAUCAAGUGACAUAAACUUGUAUAACUAAUAUAUAGUUUUAUAGAUAAUAAAUUAAAUUUCUAAUUAAAACAGAAAUAAUGAAGAUUUUAAUAGUAUGUUUUUUAUUAUUAGAGAUUUUUUAUUCUUUAAUUUACUUUCUUAAUAGAAUUAGGAAAUUUUUUUAAAUUUACAAUUUUGAUAUAUACGAAUAAAAUUUAAUUUUUAAAUGCUGAUGUGAAUGCCUUGAAAAUAACAUACCUUUAAUUUUUAUUCAUAAUAUAAUAGUUUUAAUUAACAAUUUUUUCUAUAUUGUUUUGUAUUAAUAAUAUAAUUUUAUAAUUUACUUUUUUUAAAAAAAUUUAGUUAUUGAUGUACACUAAUAAAAUUGACCUUUUAAAUCUUAUGUGGAUGUCUUUAGAGGCAUAUAGCUUCUAUAUUUAUUUUUCUAUAAACAUAUUUUUUGUUAACUAUAUAAUUUUAAAUUUUGAAAAUUUUUCUAAUUUGAAAUAUUGAUGUAGACCAAUCAAAUUGAACUUUUACAUCAUAUGGACAUUCUUAGAGGCAUAUAGCUUUUAUUUUUUUUUUAAUAAUAGAUUUAGAAAUCAAAGCUGGAAGAUCCCACACGAGGCAAGUGAUUAUGGUUUUAGGUUUACCGAAUGUAUUCGCAUGUUGCUUGGUCAGCUAAUUGUUACACUUUUGGUUAAUGUUAGGUUGUUAAAACCCCAUCAAAUGCCAUGUUAUUUCAAAAAUCUUCCUCGGAUACCUCAAUUUUCGGCUUAAUGACAGAACUUCUUUCUCUAUUUUCAGUGCUUCGUUUUUCAAAAGUGUCAUGAUUUUGGUCUUGCCUCCUUGUUUUUGAGGCUUACCGAAUGUAUUUGGAUGCUUCUUGCUCAGCCAAUUGUUACUUUUGUGCUUAAUGUUAAGUUGUUAAAACCGUAUCAGAUGCCAUGUUAUUUCAAAAAUCUUCCUCAAAUACCUUAAUCUCCUUCGUCUUAAUGACGGAACCUAUUUCUCUAUUUUCAGUGCUUUUUUUUUUUAAAGUGUCGAGUAUCAAUCACUUGACAUGUUUCUCGGAUUGCUUGAAAUUUAUCAUUCUUCUCAAAUUCGGUGGUCAAGCUUAUUUUUCGGUCUCUUUUUCGAUAUUAAAGCAGCUUGUAAUGGUUUUGUUUUAUAUAUCGUUUCAUUAUAUUCUUUGUAAUUUAGCUAAUAGUUAAACUUAUAGUUUAGCCAAGUUGGUUAUUUUACGUUGUAAUGAUUCAUUUUUUUGGGAAACCUAACUCUAUUUUUUUGUUUUUUGUUUUUUUGUUUUUAAUUUGAAAUGGUUGUACACACAGAAAAAAAACUUAAAAAUUAUUAUAGUUAUGUGACAAAAAUUUGGAUACUAAUGUAAGAAUCUCUAAAUAUGUGUGUAUACAUCUAAUUUAAAUUUAAAAUUUUCUUUUUUAAUAUUAUUUAUUUUAGUUUUUUAUUAUUAACAAAAAAAUUAUAUAUAAUUUCUUUAUCUUUAAUAAUUUUUAAAAAUAAUAAUGGAAUUUGAAAAAAAAAAAAAUUUCAAUGUUGAGGUGGACCAAUUAAAAAUUUAUAUAAAUUUUUUUAUUCAGCAAUAAUUAGAAUUUGUAAACUUUCUUAAUUUAUUUAGUUAGCAAUAAUAUUAAAAAUUUGUAAACUUUCCUUAUUUUUGAUUGUUGAUGUGGACCUCAGGAUGCCAUUUAUAGCUUCAGAUUUUAUUUUUCUAUAAAUAUUUUUUUGUUAACAAUACAGUUUUAAAAUUUGAAAAUUUUCUUAAUUUUAAAUAUUGACAUGAACCAAUAGAAUUGAAAUUUUAAAUCAUAUGUGGACACUUUUAGAGGCAUAUAACUUCAGGUUUUAUUUGUAAUAUAUUUAGAUAUUAACGCUGGAAGAUCCUACAUGAGGCCCGUUACGGCAAGUGAUUUUGGUUUCUCCUCCAUAUUUUGAGGCUUACGGAAUGUAUUCUGAUACUGUUUGGUUCAGCUAAUUGUUACCUUUGUGGUUCAGGUUGUAUUGCUAAACCUUUGUCAGAUGUCAUGUUAUUCCAAAGAUUUUUCUCGGAUACCUCAGUCUUUUUUGUCUUAAUGCAGAACCUCUUUCUCUAUUUUUAGUAGUUCGUUAUUCAAAAAUUUUGGGUAUCAAUCACUUGACAUGUUUCUCGGAUUACUUGAAAUUUAUCAUUCUUCUCAAAUCUGGUGGCAAAACUUUAGAGAUUUUACGGUCUCUUUUUCAAUAUUAAAACAGAUUGUAGUGGCUUUGUUUUCAUCAUAUUCUUUUUAAUUUAGCUAAUAGUUAAACAUAUAGUUUAGUAAAAUUGGUUCUUAAUUUUACAUUGUAAUGAUUCAUUCUUUAGUGAAACUUAACUCUAUUUUUUGCUUUUUUAAAUUGAAAUGGUUGUACACACAUAAAAAAACUUAAAAUUUAUUAUAGUUAUGUGACAAAAAUUUGGAUGCUAAGGGCAGGAUUAUCGCGGUAUACAACAGGGUUUCUAAAUAUUAUUUUAUAAUUUUUUAAUCAAUUGGUUUGAAAACUUUUCGGGAACGUCUCUUAUUUUGAGACUAAAAGAGACGUCUCUACUUUCUCUCUCCCUCUUUUCUUCUUCCACGUGGUCAUUCUUCUCAAUUUAAUAAUAAAAAAAAACUAAGAGAUCCAAAUAAGAGUAUCAGCGAUAAUUAUGGUCUAAUGUAAGAGUCUCUAAAUAUAUGUGUAUACAUAUGUAAAUAAAUUUUAAUAUUUUAUUUUUUCUUAGUUCUUUAUAUAAUUGAAACAUCUAAUUUAAAUUUAAAUUUUCCUAUUUUAAAAUUAUUUAUUUUAUUUUAUUAUUUUAAAUUUUAUAUAUAAUUUAUUCAUCUUUAAUAAUUUUUUAAACAAUAAUAGAAUUUAGAAACUUUUUUAUUUUUAAUGUUGAGGUGGACCAAUAAAAAAUUUAUACAAAAUUUCUUUAUUCAACAAUAAUAUUAGAAUUUGUAAACUUUCUUAAUUUUUUAUUUAACAUUAAUAUUAAAAUUUAGAAAUUUUCUUAAUUUUGAAUGAUAAUGUGGACCAAUAAAAUUGUUAAUUUCCUUAUUUAACAAUAAUAUUAAAAUUUAGAAAUUUUCUUAAUUUUGAAUGUUGACGUAGACCAAUAAAAUUUAUCUUUUACAUCCUAUGUGGACACCCUGAAAAGCAUUUAGUUUCAACUUUUAUUAUUAAUAUAUAUAUAUAUAAGAUCCCCUAUAUUCCAUUUUUUCUUUUCUUUUUUAUUUUGUUAAAAUGCCUAUAUAUUCUAUUUAUUAUUAUUAUUAUUAUUAUUUUUCUAAUUAAAUGCAUGCAUCUAAAAUUGGACCUAACAUCUGGCGUACGAAAAAAUCCCUACCACCCUUCAAAAGAGAUAAUAUUCUCCAUUAUGUGUCUAUUGAAUUUAAACCCGAAAAACAAAAGAACAAAAAAAACUCAUCCCGUGAUUAAUUACUCAAUAUAUAGACAGACGAAGAAGUUAUAAUUCUUCUGUACAUGCAAUCUUGAUAGAUUUUUUUAUUUUUUUUUAACGAAUUGACUGUAAAUAAGAUAUUACAGUCUACAAAAACUUGAUGGUAGUGAUUAAUUGGGUUUUUAUUACACUGGACAGAUAUUGAUUCAGUUUCGGAGACAGAAGUAAGCACAAGACGAUAUCCAAAUGUCAUUGCAAGAAGAAUCCAAACUUGUUGAACACCUAUAUAGCUCCUUUCAGAGUUACUGUGUCGAACGACGACGAGCUCUGCAAAUGUUCUGCAUAUCCUCCAUUAUAAUGCUUCCACAUUCGAAAGCUUCUCGCUUGAAUACCGAGCUUUGAGCAGCAGUCUAAAGCCGUACGUAUAGUGCAUGAAUGAUAAGUACUUCAACUUUCGUAUGUGCUGCAUAAACCAAUAUACUGUAUACCAAGAAAAUUAAUGAGUUAAUUAGAGCAAGUACAUUAGUGAACCCCUCUUUGGGGUUCACCAAAAUAAAAUAAUAGUUUUUUUUGUUUUGAGUUUAUUGAAGAACCUGUGCUAUAAUUAAAAUUCCAUUGGUGAACUCUAGAGAAAGGUUCAUCAAGAAUAAAAAAUAAUUUUUGAAGAAGAAAAUUAAUGAGUUAAUUAGUAUCACAUGCAUGGAUGAUGGAUAUCAUAUCGUCUUGAAAUAUUUAAAAACUUUGUCAUAAAUUUUGACUAAGUAGUAUUUAAAAAGUUUUUAUAUAGAUACCGACAAGCUGUAAUAUAGAAGCGCAGCAAAAUGGAUCAACUAUAUAACCAACCUGCAACUUUUCUUUCUUUCGUUGGUUCGUUCUUUCUGUGUUAGUUUGAAGCAAAAGAAAGACAAAUAUUUUACUAAAAAAGGUACUUUUUAUUUCACCUUUACUUUAUCGCUUCGCCAACGAAAACGGCGUCGUAUAGCGGGUAGUUGACAAAUACAGUAGUGUUCCUUUCUUCUUCUUUCGUUGUUCGUCUUUUGAAGGAAGAACAACACAACGCAGAGAAGAAAAAUGGACGAUUCGCGGGAUAUAUUGAUGUCGACAUUGAUAGAAUCUGGGGUGUUGAUUCCCGGAGAUUUCUCUUCCGUCGGAAAAUUUUCUUCAGAAGCUUUGGUAUCGAUCUGCGCUCAGUUGCUUAAUCUCAUUAAUCCAUCGGCGUCGUUUUGCGAUGACUUACCUGAUUCUCUCCCCGAAAGGUUUAAGAUCUGCACCGAUAUCGCUCUGUCUGUGACGAACCUAGGCUACAUCGGCGACAUGAGUUAUUAUAAGGUACCCUGUUCCCUCUUUAGAUCGCAAGCAGAAUGUGUCGGAGAAUCUAUGAUUAAGCAUAUCUUCUUUGAUUAAAGGAAACAACUUUAGGAUUUAAUAUACCUAAAGGAUCAUGCUUUUACAGUGGAAUUGAUAGAUGAUGCGUGGUGGUCAUAAGAACUGAUUGCAGUGGAGUUUGUAGAUUAGUGACAAACUAGCACCCAUUCGUCUUUCAUAUAUGAAGUAUCGAAUGAAGCAUUUUUUUCUUUCUGCAUUUGUGAUUCUGCAAUAUCAUGAGGGUGAUGUGCUGUGAGACGAUUCUCUAGAGCUGUGAUAGUCGUUUUGGUUUAAUCUGUUGAAGUUUACUUUCCGUUCUGGCUGUGUGGCUUUCCUUAUCUGUUUGAAAUCAUGCUGAAACAGAUUGUAUGUGUUGCUUGCGGCAGUUUCUGCAUCCAUCCCAAGAUGACUCGUAUAGGUUGAUUAGAUUUUUGGUUGAGAGGCUUUCGGAGGAAAAUGAAGGAAUAAAAACUUCUACGGCUGGUGAUAUAGCUAGCAGGCCAAAGGUGGAGAAUUUCACAGAUAUUUCAGAUGACAGAAUGGUGAAGGAGGACAAUGAUGAGACUUUUGAUAUGCAUAUACAGAAGGUUGAAGCUGUCCUAAAAGAUCUUACUAUGACUACUGAAAUCUCUCAUGCAAAAAGUUCUUCAGCCAAUGGUUCAACCAUUGUUGACCUCUUCUCCAUUGCUGAUGAAGCAUCGGGUCUUUCUAUGAGACACGAAGAAGAUUCCUCUGUUGACCCGUCUGAGGUACUGUUUCCCCUGCUUAUCUUGACCUUAUCUCCUUUUACUGUACACGGGCUUAUGUUUGAACAUAUACAUAGGAAUAGUGAUGCCAAACCUUUAUGGAGAAGAGAGGUUAUCUCCUUUUAAGGCUUAACCUUUAUCAUUUUUAUGCUUUGUAGACAAAUUAUGAGACUUUUGAGCUACAGAAUCAGCAUAGUUUACUCUUGGAGGAACUAGAAUCUGGAUGUUCAGAGCUCUGCAGUCUUGACAGUGAACUGGAGUUGUUGAAGAUGGCUGCAGAGAGGUUAUUGGAUGAUAAACAGCCGGGUGGGUCAUGUCUCGAGCAGCUUAAUCAACAAAUAGUGGUCAAAAAGUGUAAUAUCAUGGAUCUUAAAAAGCAAUGGUAUGAAUAACGAUUGUUCUAUAAUUUUUCAGUUGAAAGCAUUCAUGCAUUCAAUUUCAUGGACAACACAGGAUAUGAUAACCUGGAAUAUAUAUAUAUAUAUACAACCCGUGUUUAGCAUUACGAAUAUCACGAUUAUGUAGUAUAUCAUGUCUUCCUCCAGGGAAGAUGCGAGGCAGACUUUGGAAGCAAGAAAGCUACGUCUUUUGGACCAGCUUCAUGUGGAGGAGUCAGAGGCUAAAGCGAAAUUCCAUAAGCUGAAAAAGACUGAACUGGAAUUACAAUCUGUCUCAUCAGAAAUUCAAAAGAGGUAAGCAGAGAACUCCUACCACAUGACCCUUCAUUGUCUAUUUUGGAAAUUAGAGAUGUAUAUACUUCUUAAGUUCAUUUGUUGAGUAAUAACUGUGGGACGAAUAAUAAAAAUCUAUAAGAAGGAAAAAGAAAUAAACAAGUGUUUGCAGGUCACCUCGAACAGGGUAUUUCAUUGACUCUCGUAUCAUAUUAAUGUGUUAAUUUUUUUUUCCGACAGGGAAGAUGAAAGAUGUAGCCUGUACACUGAACUUGAGAGGCAGCCAAAAGCAGCGCCGCGGAAGUCUUAUAUACAUGGGAUUAAAGAAAUAACAAAAAAUAGCCGUAAACUGGACAGUGAUAUUCAGAGGAUUUCAGGGGAGACGAGGGAGCUACAACUAGAGAGUAACUCAAUCCAAGAACGCCUGCACCGAUCAUAUGCUGUUGUAGAUGAAAUGGUUACAAGGUAUGAAUUUUUGCAUUGUCUGGUCAAAAUCGUCCGAUAUGCACCAAAAGACAAGGUGCCAUGUCGCUCUGCUUUAGAGAACAUGUAUUUCCCGUUGUACGUACUGAGCUGAUGAGGAUGGUUUUUCUUUUUUUUUUCCUGGCAGGGAAGUGAAAAAGGAUCCAGCCGUACGACAGGUCUACAAGCUUGUGACCAGUAUCCAUGGUAUUUUUGAGCAAAUUUCUGAAAAAAUCCUUAUGACUGAUCGGUUAAGAAGAGAAACAGUCGACUACGAGAAAAAGCUGGGCUCCAUCACAGCUCGGGGCAUGAAUCUGGAGAAUUUACAAGCAGAUCUCCAUGCCAUCAGAAAAGAGAACGAAAGUCUUGGGAAAUAACUAAUUCAAUGUGGUUUUGAAAUUACUAAAAGAUGUACAUUUUAUAGAGUUUUUGAGGCAGUGUUUGUUUAUAGAGUGAGUAAUCUUUUUUCUCGCAUACUAAUGACUAAACAGAAGCAAAGGCUUAGUCAUAUAUGAUAUUCCAUAUGAUUGGGAAUAUCAGGCAAAACUAUUCCACAGGGGAAUACAGACAAAAGAGACAUCAUCAGUUUCACAAAAACUAUUCCAUAGGGAUCUUCUUCCUAAGCAUUCAUUCUUCAUGUAUUGUUUGGAUGGUCUCACACCAAAAAAUCAGGCAAAACAAUUUCUACUUUGAAGCACAUCUUCUUCCCUCCCCUCUUGUAAUUGUCAACCUAAAUUCCACUGGGAUGAUAUUUCCUAAGUAUUUACACCCAAAAAUCCAGACUUUAACACCUCUUUUACACGUUUGAUGUGUAUCUUUAUAGCUUCUUCCCACCGGCCUACUAGUUGUUGACCCGGUUCGUUACAGCAACUUGAGGAUAAGCAAUGUGUGAGUGUCCUAUGGGUUCAGCCAUAGCCAUUGUGGUGUGUGGCGGUGGCGUUACUGUCUGAUAUGUAGUUGGCUGAACGGCCAUGGAGUGCGAUGGUUGGUGUACUCCCAUGAGCCCAUUAUGACCAGCCUGCACGACUGGGAAACCAAGUGGCUGACCUUGCAGGGCUAGGUUGUACAUUGGAUUCACCUGCAGGUUGCCAAGUCCCUGCCCAAUCCACGCAGCUGCACUUUCAGUCUGCAACAACAAUAUCAUGAUUACCAAUUAGUGUUAAUAAUACUCACCAACUACAUCAAUGCAAAGAUAAAACAGAAAACAAACAAAAAAACUGACCAUUGGUGGUGAAGUCUGUUCUUCACUAUGGAUAGAGUUGAAGGCGGUUGCAGAUGGGAUGUGAGUAGCAACUGUGGAAGAGGCAUGUGGGGAUGGGUUUGUGGUAGGAGGGUUCUCAGUGUCGCCUACUGGUGGUAUAUGGGUAGGUGCUGCUAGAGCAGCUCCUGGUGGAAAAUAAGACUGCUGAGGAAUCCCAUUUGGGCUCAAGAACUGGUGAAUGUAUGGCGGUGGCAUAUAAAACGGUGAGUAAUAAGGACCAUAAGGGAAGAAACUGGGAGGGUAUUGUUGCCUAAAAAGAUGAGUCGCCUGCUGAGAGGCUGCUGCUAUGGAGCACUGAUCUGGCGGAUAUGAUACUAAUGAUAUAGCUGGAGCAUUCGAAUUUCCAGGCUGCAAUUUGAUAAAGCAGUUAUCAGGAAAAUCUGAAACAGAUAUUGUUUUGAGUGCAUACAUAUUGACAAGAUAUACCACAUGCCUGAGUCUCUGCGGCUUCCGUAUUUACGGGUUGGCCUAUUGCUGACAACGAAGGAACAAGACCAUACACACUGAAUGGGGCUUGGCCAUACGCAAUUUGAUGAGUUUGUGUGUUCGAUAAAACUUCCCCCUUCAGUUCAUCUUCGACAGAUGCGACAAUAUUAUCUGAGCGCCGCACUAGCUCAGCUCCAGGAGCCGAACUUGAAAUCCUAUGAUCCUUAACUUCAAAAAAAGAUAAUGCUCCUUCUCUGCACAAAAAGUAUUGGUAAUGAGCAUGGAAAUCAUAUCUGAACAAUCUCACUCCACUGAGAAUAGCGAUUGCAGUAGAUCAUAACUAAAGAAGAGAACGUGUAGAGUCAAAGUAUUUCAGUCACCAACCUGGCAGAAGCAACCCCAGGAAUACCAUUGGUAGUGGGAGAAGAAUCUCCCUCAUCAUCCCCUGUCCCAUGAGAAGACUCAAAAGUUGAGUCAUCACCGCCACUAGCACCAUUGUUAGAAGAUGCCUCUUUCACAAGAUUAGAAUCAAAACUGCCAAACGUCAGACCAUUUUGCAGUACUUCGGCAACCUGAAGGUGGAAUGGAAAUGUUACAUGAGACCGUUUGCCAACAUCUGACUUGAGAAGCGAUUGAGCUUUGCCUUUAUUAGAUGCAGUCUCAUUUUCGGUGGCUGUCAAAAAGAGAAACAGAGGCUGAAUCAAAUAACAAACCACAUUUGCUGCACCAUUAGUGACUUAACAAGAUGACAAGAGAAUGAAAUUAAAGCUACGUCGAUGCAUACUAAAAAUUCAAGAAUAAAAAGGCCGAGAUACCUUGAUCUGCCUGGCUACUGCAAUGAGACGCAGAUAUCAAAGACGGAUCCUGAAGACCGAGUGUAGAUGAUUGCAACUCUGCUGGCUGGUUGUUCAUAACAGGUUGUGAGAUCUGAGCAGAAGUUGCAUCUUGCAUAUGGUUUUGUACAACAGAAACUGAGACAGGUGCAGCAACUGAUUCUGAAAUUGCUCUAGACGUCUCUGGUUCAACUUCAUCCACGGAGGAAGAAGUCGACUUGGAAGCACGAUUUUUCUCUGCAAGUCCCUUGUUCACAGUUGCAGUGAAAUAAUCCUGAGCUUUAUGAUUGCUUAACCCCCUAAAAGGUAUCCUUUAAUCGUGAACAACUUUAUAGGAUUAAAAAGAAAAAAAAAAAAGCUCCCAGAGCUGAAAAGAAUCACACACAGCUGAUAAGUAAAAAUUACUUUUUUCCACGAGGUACUGCGAGAUUUCUUGCUUUGUUAGUGGCAGGAAGAGAAACUCUAGGACCUCCUGAUACAUGGUUAGCUCCAAUCUCCCUUUUAUAAGAUGCACUUCUUCCAUUACUUGCAUCUGCAUAUCAACAAAGAGCUAAGAACAGGGAAGAGGAAGAAAACUACACUUGUCACUCAACGGUACCAGUAAAGGAAACAAAAAAAACUACCUUGAUGAGUGUUACUUGAAGCAACGUUCCUCCGGCCACUUAGGUCACUUCCUUGGGUAAUUGGCGCUAGAUUCUGCAACAGAAAAUAGACAGUAAUCAUAUGAGAUGGUGAAAAGCUAUAAGAGCAAGUGAUGGACCAGGAUUGCAAAGUGAAUCUACAGAUCAUGCACCUGAUAAAUCUAUAAGAAUAAAUUAAAAAAACCAAAUAAGGGGUUCAUAACAAACAAAAAAAAGAAACACUUGCCUCCUUCUUUUUCUCCCUUUUACUUUUCACCUCAUGAAAUGUAUCUGCAAUAUUUCAAAAAUGAUUGAGGUACAUUAGAACAAACAAAAGCGCCACGAAAACCAAAGUACAAAAAGCAACAGUUUUGAUGAGCAAAAUGAGAAGACAAUUUUGAAAAAUGCUGACAUAUAGAAACAGAAGAAAUGAUCCAUACUCAGAUGCCGACUAGAAUCAUACUAGUACGAACUCUAAACAGUACUAAAAAAAACAAAGAUUCCAAAUUCGAAUAGUUCCAGGCACCAAAGAGACACUUAUCCCAUGAUCUUCCGAAACAGAACAAAAAAAAAAUCAACAAACCCUAUCGGACAGACGAAAUCGAUGAAAUGCAAAAGAAAAAACCAAACCGCAGAGGCCCAUUCCAUUAAACAAAAUACAUACAACAAAAGAGGAAACCCUAAAGGAGCAGUACCUAAAAAGAGGAGCUUCUGGGCGGUCUCGUGAGGAUCAUUGAAGGAUUCCUUAUAGACGGCGAAGAUAUCCUCGUCGGAGUGCUGCUUGCCGGUAAUCUCUCUGAUACUCUGAAGGGUUUUGCGGAGAUGGUGCGGAAUCGAAACCCUAGAGGAGCCGCCAUCGGCGAAGCUGUUCAUGGUGUGUAAUGGGGAAAGAGAAGCGGGAGGAGAGAGAAGCAAAACCAAACCAAAAAAAGAAGACAACAAUUGAAAUUGAAAUUGAAAUUGAAAUUAGGACUUGCUUUGAAAUUACAAUAACAAUUCACAGAGAGUGUAAUUUCUUUCUUAUAUAACUCUCAUUGUCGGUAACUUUAUACGCUGACGUCACUUCACAACACUUCUUUUAGACUCACGCGCCGUAAAUUUAAAGUUUUGUUUUUUAACCCUAGAGUAGGCGAUUUAGCAAGAUUUUUUUUCUAUUUCGCCCAAAAAAAAGAGCAAGAUUUUUAAUUUACAACAUUCACACCAUUCACAACAUUCACAUGAAUGGUCUAAGUCUAAGGUUACUCAACUUCUUCUCCCAAAAUUACAUUGCAGCAAGAAUGCCAUCAUCGUCUAAGUCUCUUGCUUGCUCUGGAAAGUAGCGGUAAGAACUUGGCGAGUCUUCUCUUUGCACAACUCAUCAACUCCUGACAUUCAAGGUACUCCAUGGUGACUCGAUUAUACCAGCACAAAGGGCAGUGAAAGUUGCCGUCUUCAUCAAGGUUAACCGGGGAAUUCAAGCAUUCCCUGUGAACUCUAGCUGCACACUCGCUUCUGCAACAUAUCAACAAAGUUCCUUCUUUUUCACAUUUCCAGCAUACAUUCUCAGCUCGACCUCUAACCAUAUCUGACUCUUCAUCGCUCCCACUGAUUAGCCACGUCCCAUCUUUUGUACAUUUUACACGUGUAUCCUCUAGCCUCAUUCUUUUACAACUUAGAGGAAAUGUCCCGCCAGUAUCGAUCGCAUUUUCUUCAUCUUUCUCGUUUGUCUGCAUUGGAUCAUCCUUAUCAUCGAUCAAGAUUGCUUUACCCUUGUCGUUUAUAUUCGUCUGCUCCAAACCAAUUUGCACUUGCUGCUCAUCUACCGGCUUCUCCUCACAUACAUCCGUGUGCAAUGUUCCAUCAUCUCUAACAAGUGGGUCAUUUGCUUCCAUGGGAGGAGCUGCACUUGUCUGAUUCUCCAUUAAACUCACAUCUCUCAGCUACAAGAUCCAAACGAAAAAGAGAGAGAUUUGUGCAUCGUUGUUUCAAUAUAGUUUUGAAAAGGAAAAGCAUGAAACAAAGGAAAGGUGAGGUAUAAGAGAGUUUUACCUUCUCCAGUGCACAUUGUGGCAAAGACAUGUUCUUGUGAGCAAUAAAUGGAAGAACAUUGAACUUUGAUAGCUCCGGCAUUCCCGUUCGUAAGCUUGAUAUUGGAAUCUCAACAUUUGGGAAACAAACUACUAAGAUUAGAAACUAAUAGAUUCCUCUAAUUCUACUACUGCUAAUAGAUCAAGUUAGUUUACGGUUUUGCUCAUACAUCUUCACAAAUGGCUUUGAGAACAUCGGUGUUGCUCAAAGAUAAAUCGAACUCAACUCUUGACUCAGCGACACCGACGCCCGUAGCAUCAUCACUCUUGCUUGGAUCAAACAUGAACUCCAAGAUUCUAAGAGACAGGAGUUCAUUAAUCCUCCUCCCAUAGUCAUUUGUGCAGGGAUAACCCAUGUUCAUCAAAUCUGAAGCAACAGAGAUUUUCUGUUAACAUACACAAAAACGGUCCAUAUGUAAAAGAGGGGACUUUCCAAAUCUAAAAGUUACCGAGUAUGCAGCGUAGAUCCUUGACGAAUUUGGCUACAUAUUCGAUACACCAAAACCAUUCAGCGAUUUGAGGGGGUAGAGAUGAAUAUUCAUCAAUCAGAUCCUCAAGACUCAAAUCAGAAGCUCCAGCGUCAUCACUCUCUUUCUUCUUCUUCUUCUUCUUCUUCUUCUUCUUCUUCUUUCUUCCGUCCUCUUUCCAUUUCCCACCACCCCAUUCGUACAACGGGUCAAUCCACGGUGGCAGUAACCUGCCUCCUCCGGAAGUUACCGUUUCUUUGUCUGAAACUCUACUUUCGAGUCCUUCGGGAUUCAAAGGAGGAGGAAACUCCCAAUCGCCCAAAAUCUGUGUACUCUCUGUGUCCGAAUCCUUCUCCAUUCGGAAAUGGCGCACUGUAAACAAAACAAAAAGAAAGACUUUACGCUUACUUUUGAUUUGUAGGAUUAGACAACUUAGAGACACGUUAAUACUGAUUCCAGAAAACCUAAAUGGCUAAACCCUUUUCCUCUAAAACCCUCAAUUCCAAGUUUUCAACAUCACAAUCCCACUAAAGACAAGCCUAGAGCUCCGAUGCACUAGAUUUAAAUUCACUGAUGCGAAAACGCUAUCGAACAUACUAUAGAGACAGCGACAGAGAAAAUGUAAAGUAUUUGAAGAAAGCAAAAAGGGAAUCACCAAUAGGCUUAAAGCAGCGAGGAAGACGAAUUCGAGGAACCCUAAUAGCGAAUUUGUGUGCAAGCUUUCAGAUUUUAAACAGAAGAACAAAAGCCCAGAAACAGAGAGAAAGAGUAUUUAGUCACCAAUAUUUGUUGAUUCGCAAAUCUCCCGCCUCGAAUUCGAAAAUUCGAACUCGACCUUCUUCUUCGGUCACACCAUCCCGAGUCGAUUGCUUAAAGACUAAAGAAGAAAAGAUAACUGUAUUUGGGCCGUAUAGUGCCCUUAAAUAACUGAUCCACACCGUUGAAAUUCCUGCAUAAUAUCGCAACCGUCAAAUUAUAUUUAACUUUUUUAAAAAGGCAUACUAACUAAAAAAUGACAUCACAAUAACUUGGGCCUGCGCCAUUAAUGUGGGUCCAUUCUCAUGACUGAUCUCAACGGUUGAAAUGAAAAUGAUUUAAACAAAAAUGCUGCGUUACAAGUUAAUCAGAUGAUUCAGAUCAUCAUUUUCUAAAAACUGUAGUUAUAACAACAGUUCUUACUCUCAACCAAUCAGACCACAUGUUUAAGAAUUCUACAAAACCCUCUCACCGAGGUAGAAGCUUCUUCUUAAACUCAGUCAACAACAAUUUGUUCCGGUAUACAAAUAAAUAAAUGUGUGUAGGAAUCCAUGCGAUCGUAAAAUCCGUAUAACAGCUCAAACCAAAAUCAUCAAGAAUUCCAAAAUUUUCAACUCAAGAUUCUGAGUUAACAAGGAAGGCUUGUUGUUGCUUGCUCACUCAUCAUCCGUGCCAAAAUAGCGGUCUCCAAACUCGCCCAUGCCAGGAACGACUCGGAACUCAUCGUUUAAACCGAGUUCUAUCUCAGAAGUCACAAUCUUUAUCCUCGGGAACCUUUUGCACACCACAUUUACUCCUUGAGGUGCCUGAAGAAACAGAACCAGACUUGUUGUAAGCUUCUUAGCCUAUCGAGAGAAGAAGCGAGGUUUCAGUUUAUGUUUUGGUUUUCAACUUACAGAAAUGAGAUUGAGAAAGAUGAUGUUGGUUUCAGGUACGCCUUUGCUUAUGAGCAGUCUUAUAGCUUGCACGGCCGAGUUUCCUAUACACACACAAAAUACGAUCUUGUUCAUAUCUUGUCUUUAUACAAAGAGUAAGACCGGACUCUUGGCAGAACAAUAAAAAGCAGACCUGUCCCGAGGAUUGGGUCCAGCAAAAGAACGUGUCUUUCCGAAAUGUCUGAGGGUAGCUUCUCGUAGAUAAGCUGCCGGUUGCCAUUUGUUCAGAGACAUAUUUUGCCAGGAAGCAGUUAGGACAAAGUGAUGAUGAACAGGCAAAAGAACACAAACCUGCUGACCGUUGUCGCCUUCUCUGUGGAUCAGAAUCUUCCCAAUCUUGAUGCCUUUGCAGCAUGCUCUUAGAGCAUUCUCCAUACUCUCACCGCUGUUUAUCAACAGUUUCGAAGACGAAAUCAUUUUAUCUGGUCUUUGAUAAUUACUAUCUGUCUGUGUUGAGUAUUUGUGGGUGUUUUUUUACCUUCUGAUAACCGAGACACCACACAGCCUCUUACAGAAGUCCACACCCGAAUACACAGAUCCUAAAAUUACAGAAAACAAAAGAAAAAACAAUUUUAACAAUUGGAGAUUUCUGCUGCACAAGAUAUAAGAGCAUCUCCAAUGUAUGACUGCAUAUUUUUCUUUAUUUUGGAGUAACUCCAAAAUGGAGUUGGGUUUAAACUCCAUUUUUUACUCCAUUUUGGAGUUAGAAUUGGAGUAGGGUUGGAGAUAAUCUUGCUGCAAAUUCUAUUUUGCAGUAAAAUUUGGAGUAGGGUUGGAGAUGGUCUAAGUGUUUCAUUAGCUUACCUGUGGGAGUGACCACUUGCUUUUCUGCGAAGGGAAGGUGCCCGAGGCCGUGCUCAACGACCUGGCGCAAAGACAUUAUUAGGACCAACUUAGUAAAAAAAAAAUAACACGAAACAGAAAUCUAAUUUUGCCACCCACCAAACGAAUCAACCGAUCCGAGUAGAAGAUGAAGUCAUGCUUUGUUGUUUUAGAGUCUCUGAUUAGAGUGUGCAUCCCUCGUAUCUGCAAUCAAUGGCUAAAAGGAUCAGUCACUAAACAAGAAAAACGAUUGAUUGCCGUUGGUUAGACGAGAAAGGGAGGGAAUUAAGAAAAAACCUGAAAAGUGGACUGAAUGACAUAAAGAUUUGGAUAUAUUUUACAGAGAUCAUGUUGACCGAGCUUCGUGUGGAUGUGUUGCACGAUCAAAUCAAUAGCAACAUGGUUGUCACCACCACGGGGAAUUAUUAUAUCUGCGUAUUUCUUUGUUGGGAGUAUGAAAUCCUCAAACGCUGGCUUCACAAACUUUGAGUACUGUUUCAGAGUAACCCAAAACAAAACAUACAAACAAGAGUCAGCUUGACGUUGCUGUGACAAUAUUGAAGAGACUCUUUGCAGAGACGGUAACCUGGUCAAGAACAGUCGCGAUAUCUCUGGCCUUCUCAACAGUAUCGCGUUUAAUCCUUCUUGCUAAACGCACAUCGGCAUCUACAUAUAUAGAUAACGCCAAUUAUAUAACCAACAUGAGUAUAUACUAUAUACACUUGUUACAUGCAAUGCACAAGUACUCUAGAGUCUCUGCACAUAUGCUACGGAUUGGCUAGAUAUGUGUAAACAGUUUCGACGUGGGAAAGACCUGCAUCUACAAAUAUCUUCAUGUUCAUCAAAUCUCUCACACGAGGGUCAUGGAAAAUGAGUAUCCCUUCAAGGAUUAUAACAUCAGAAGGAUUUACCUGCGAAUAAUAUCAUUAAUAAAGAGAGUUAUUAGAAUAUCAUUAAUUCUUAAAAAGUGAAGCGUUCUGAAAAGAAAAAGCGCAUAUAGAUAGUAACGAAUACACAAGAGAGCUUAUCACUCCAACAUGAGUUCAAUCUCCAGAGAAGAGAUGCAAACUCCAAAUAGUCAGAACCAAGUGACCAUUCGACGACGAUAAAGUAAAGAUGCUAAUUAAGAGGCUCCCUUACCCUUCUAGGUGGAAAAACAUUGUUCUUGUAACUUUUGAAGUCAUAGUUGGGGAUAUCUACAGCUUGUCCUUUUCUUAACUUGUCCAUGGAACACAAUAAUUGCUCGGUAUCGAAAGCGUCUACGAGACAGGGAUCAAACUUCAUAUUUACAAGCAAGCAUAUGAUAGAUAAUUUUGGAGACUCAAAAGGCUAUAUAAGCGACACAGAACAGUCGGUAUUAGAUUUAGAGACUUGCUAACCAGGAUGGUCAAAAUUGUAAUCAUGAACUCUUGCAAGCUCCUCUUCAUUUACAUUAUGGUAGAAAGAAUCCUGCAAAUUGAUAAGAUCGAUCAAGCUCAAUGUAUUACAUAUAUGACCUACUACAACCACUUGUGAUCUCUUAUCAGAAGUAAAAACCCGUAAAUCAACAUUUAUUCAGAAUUUUCGAGUACAAGCACCUGAUUGACAACAACGGCUCUCUGAUCAUGCAGUUGCUGCAUAAUCAGAUCGCAGACAGUUGUCUUCCCGGAUGCUGCUCCUCCAGCAACUCCUGAAAACAACACAAAAAUCAAUAAGAAUCCACAUCCUAUUCACAUUUUUUCUGAUUCUAACUAUCCUCAGCUGGAGGUAAGAUAAAAUCAGCAGCAUCUCUCACCGAUAACAAAAGGUUGCCCAUGUUCGUCUUCAUCUUCAGCAGUAGCCAUUUGGUCUGACCUAGUUGAAUCUAAACCAUCCGUUUGAUGAAAUCCUGAGAAAUGAACCUUUGUGGAAGUUUCUAUCAUAUCAACAGUCGAUUUUGAAGCCAUUCCUACAUCCAAAAAUAAAAAGCCAAACAUAGAUACGUUUUAAAAUCACAUGGAAACGCCAAUAAGGAAUACAGAAGCUAUCACCUUUUGUUUGUCACCAUCUAGGAGUAAAGGAAGAACAAAAAGGACUCCUGCUUUUUUUGCUUUCAGUAAAAAAAAAAUUCCUUUCUUUUUAAAAAAAAAAAGAAGAAGAAAUAUCCAACUUUUGUAGUCAUUUAGAUUCCACAAGUGCCAAUGCCGUGAUACCCAUUUCCUCAAAUCCCGUUGAAAACACAAACCAAGCAACAAAAAGGACACUUGAAACGCGUUAGCACGAAUCAAAUCAACCAGAUUCAUCUUAAAAAUGUAACGCCGAUCCUAAACGGAAAACGCGAUCAUUUCCCGGGGAAAAGAAAGAUUAUGACGGAGAGCAAACAGAGAAGAAAGACAGAGAUAGAUAGAUCAAAUCCAUGCAGAAAAUGAAAACCCAGAACCAGAAGAAACGUUCAUUGAUGGAUCAUCGAAAUCAAUAACCGAACAUUCACAAGAAGAAGAAGAAAAGAAACUCACGAAAUUUAAAAAAAAAAAGGGAUUGAAUUAGCUUCCAGAUCACCGAUGAGCUACACAAAAGCUUCCAGUUUCAGAUAAAGAAUCCAACAUAGAUAGAGAGACACGCACGAGCAUUGCCUGUUAAACUCGAUGCACAGACAUAAACUGAGUUUUAUACAUAUAGUAACGUAUAUAUAUAUAUAUAUGUGUGCGGUGAAAGAGGAAGGGAGGAUGCAGCGGCGGAGACGGGUUAUUUACGAAAACCGGGAAGUGGUUUCUAGCUAUUGACGAUACUACCCUUCCCAAUGCAAUGUAUGUAACUGUCGAAUAAUGUGUUUUCGUUACUAUAAAAUAUUACUUAUAAUAUAUUUAUAUUUAUUUUGUUACCAAAGAAGAACUAUUUUUGGAUCGCAUCUGCAAUAUAUUUUCGUUUUUUCCAUUUCUAUUCAUUUUCAUAUACGUAACCUCCUACGUUUCCAAAUUUUCGCAAAUGCCUGAUUAGCUCUGAAUAUUUUAACCAUAUAAAAACAUCAUUUCAUCAUUUAUAGGCAUUUUUCAAAUCGGUGUAUAGUUUAAGGUAAUUUAUUUCUCACAUACAGUCUUGGGGGUUAUUUUUGGGCCUUGGGGGUUGCCGAUCGAAAAAUAGGGGGGUGAAAUUUUGGUAUUUCGAUUCUUUGGAUCCUCUUUUGUAAUAUUCUCAGAAAUGAGAGGUGUUGUUAUUAUAUUGGUAAAUUGGUAGGCGUUAACACGCAAUAACGCCUUUUAGGGAUAAGAAAAGUAAGCCAAUAACGACGACGUUUCUUGGGGUUUCGAGGAUCCAACUCUCACGGGUACAGUGGUGGUCAUGUUUUCGUCUUCAACUAGGUUAAUCGUAUCGGGUUUUCACCGGACUCGAACCCUAAAAUCGCCGGUAAAUCCUCCGAGACUCUUACUAUCCGUGCCUAGAUUCUUCCAUUCCGAGUCGAAAUCGAGCGACAGGAGAAUCGGGAUGAGCAGCGUAGAGAAAACCGGGUCGGAAUCGGGGGCAAUCGAGAAUCGGGCGAGCAGGAUGAGGGAGAAGCUGCAGAAGGAGCUCGAACCGGUGGAGUUGGUAAUCGAGGAUGUGUCGUAUCAGCACGCCGGUCACGCCGGUAUGAAAGGUAGAACCGACGAAGAGACGCAUUUCAACGUGAAGAUCGUCUCAGAGGGAUUCCAAGGAAUGAAUCUGGUGAAGAGGCACAGGCUAGUCUACGAUUUGCUCCGGGAAGAGCUCGAUAGUGGAUUACACGCGCUUUCCAUCGUGUCCAAGACGCCGUCCGAGUCCAAUCGUUAGGACAAGGUCUAUGAAGAGUUUUGUGUAAAAACUCUCCCUUUAUCAUUGAUGUUUUCCGAACCCAAUUCAAAGGCUCUGCUUUGGAUUUGGAUUUGAUUGCGUUUCGUGUUUCCGGAACCCACAACCAAAUUCUUCAUCUUUACAUACGUUUGAGGGUGUUGAUGUUUCUUAUGCUUUACUUUCAGUCUUUUCUCGAGAUUUGGCGAAUUCUCAAGAGAAUUUAGCACCAAUGUACAUUAGGAAAUGUAACACUUUCAUUCUUGAAACGGUUCUUGGUAAAGGGAGGCAAAAAAAUUGUUAGUGAAAAAACUGCAGGGAAAUUGAUAGUGAAGAAGAAAGAAUAUUGGAUCAUGAUUAUGUAAACUAAACGGUAUCAAGAUGGUUUUUUUUUAUAAUGGAAUCUUCUGUUACCACAGAAAGUCAGAAACUAUAGUCUAUAGACUUAUGAAACGUUAAGCUAGCUCCGAUUUAGGUUAGGUAGCCUUUGAAUUGAAACACAUUCAUGUCAUGUGUUCUCUUCCAUGCUACAGCAUGUUUUUCAAAACGCUAGAAACAGUACGCUCUUUUUUUCAAUCAUUAUUACUCGAGACCUGUCUAUGGGCGUAGAUGUUCCUUUUCUUGCAAGUUGCAACAAAGAUUAUGCUAUUACUUGCUCUAUGGAUGUAAACCAAAAACCAAUUAGUGAAGGCCUGUUGGGUUUCGUUUUGUGAUGUAAACCGAAUCGUCAUUUCUAUUUUUGAUAGGAAACUGAAUCGUCCCUCUUCUUUAGUUUAGCUCUAACAGUAACGUUACUUGCUACAUUUUGAAACUCAAAAAUAAAAUAAACCCAGAAAAAAAAAACACUGUCCUCCAAAGUAUCCCUCCAAUGGCGACGACGGUGCUUGACCUCUCGAAGUUUAUCAGAGACGAUAAUGAUGAUGAUGAAGUAUGGGUCACACACUAUUCAUCAAACCAGCAAAUACUUCUCGUCGGUGAAGGAGAUUUCUCAUUCUCCUGCUGCUUAGCCACUCGCUUCGGCUCUGCUUCCAAUAUCUGCGCUUCCUCUCUCGAUUCAUACGGUAACAUUUCCUUUGCACUCUUUCUUAGAGUUUCUAGGGUUUUGAUUUUCUUUUUCUCGUGAAUUUUCUAUGGCGAGAGUUUAGGUUUUUUUUUAAUCUGUGGGUUGAAUCGAAAUCAAUUUCUAGGGUAAACAGCUACUUAUCGUGGAGCUUAUUGGUUUCAAGUAUUGCAUUGUUCUGUUUACAUAUAGCUUAUAAACCUGGUAAAAAGGUUUUGGCUUUAUUAACUCUGAUCUCUUGUGCUGUUUCAUGUCUCGUCUCGUCUCCUAUGGUAAUUGUACGUAGCAGAUGAUGUGGUUAGGAAGUACAAGAAGGCAAGAUCAAACCUUGAAACUUUGAAGAGGCUUGGAGCAAUCCUUUUACAUGGAGUUGAUGCGACCAAACUGCAAUUCCAUCGUCAUCUUCAUUUCAGAAGAUUUGACCGAGUCAUCUUCAACUUCCCGCACGCCGGUUUCCACAGCAAAGAGUCCGAUCCCUGUCAAAUACAGUGAGUGUCAUGUUUUUCUUCUUUUGACUCAAAUUGUAGACUUUAGGGAAUUUUUUUAAAAAGAUUAUCACAUUAUCUUUGCCUGUGUGUUGUGUAGGAAGCAUAGGAAACUAGUGUUUGGAUUUUUCCAUGGUGCAAGCCAUAUGCUAAGGGCUAAUGGCCAAAUACAUGUCUCUCACAAGAACAAUGCACCUUUUUGUCACUGGGAGCUCGAAGAACUCGCUAGCAGAUGCUCUCUUGCGUUGAUUCAUUGUGUGGCAUUCGACAAGUGCAAUUACCCUGGUUAUGAGAAUAAGAGAGGAGAUGGAUCCAGAUGUGACCAACCUUUCCCUUUGGGAGAGUGCAGUACUUUCAAGUUCAGAGUCUCUAGCGUGGCUAAGGAGCUUUAUGCAGAGAAGGUGAAAUGGAGACGAGCAAAGGAACGAGAAUCAAAGUUUCCCCAAGCCUCAUCUGAUCCUUUGUAUCCCCUCCAUACACAAUUUCAAGGUGUUAGCCAAAGACCUGUUUCAUUGGAUGUCAGCUAUCACCACCAGGACCAUAAUAAGCUUAGGCAACUCCAAGAUCCUUAUGAAGAUGCUAGCUUUAUUCAAAGAUCAGCGUCGUUUGCUCUGGAAAGAAACCAUGCCCGGUUUCAGGACACUCUCAGAUACACUGAAAGAAGCAGCUUCCAAUAUCAUGACUUUCCUUUUCUAAUUAGUCAUCAUCAUCAUCAAGAACGAUUCCUUGAAUGCUCUAGCCGCUUCAAUGAGGUUAUUUAUAACAGGGAAGGACAACGAAUGUUGACAAGGACGAGCUUUCUUCAUCCGUACAAUGGAGAAUCACCAGAAAGACAACGCCUGCUUCGUCAAGACUUUCCGGUUCAAGCUAGUCAAGAACCGUACUUUGAACGCUCUUACCGCUUCAAUGAAGUUUAUAACUGGGAUGGACGAAGGAUGUUAACACGUACCAGCACAAGAACAAAGCUUGACUAGGCAGAGCGACCUCAACAUUUACACUCCACAACACUGGUAAAAAUCAUUAUUCUCUGUGUAUAUUAUGAAAUCGAAAGCUAAGUCGAUAUGAAAAGUUUUCCAGGUGAGUGAUCUUCAAAGAAGUUGUCAUGAUAACUUUGAUGGAAACAAGGUGACUGAAGCUUGGACUUGGUAACAAAUCUUUAAGAAUUGCAGUUGGCUAACUAUAUUUUGACAGCUAAAAACCACGAUGAUCUCAGUUAUGUAGAUGAUAAUUAAGGGUAAUUUUUUGUGUAUGUAUUUAGUUUUUGGAGAAUGUGCGUGGUAGAAGUGGUUGUGAGUCUUGCAAAUUAAACGGUCUCUCUUGAUAUCUCCACUCUAAGACACUACCUGGGCCAGAUAGUUUGGUACGACACGUUUUUGUUUGUGUUUUUACUUACUUUGCUAUCUGGUCAAACAGCUUAAUAUAUGAUUUUUAUUAUUCCGCGUAGACUAGUAUAAACUAUAAAGUAUAAACUUGACCUUAGCCGACAAGGCGAAGACGAUCACUAUCCGAGCGACAUAAACUCUAAUCAAAUCAAAUCAAAUUAUAUAAGCAAGUAAUUGAAUAAUGAAAGUGUCAGGGUAACUGCAAGGAAAUUGAUAGUGAGAAUAAAUAAGAAUAAUAAAAAUGCAACUGGUGACUUUCAAGGAAUUUGCUUAUAGAGUUACUACGAAUCAAAUCCAAUUUGCGUUUAAACUCUUAUACCUAUUAUAAUGAUUAACGACCAAUAGCAUAAAUUUCAUACUAAUUAAUAAAUUUUAGAGAAAUAUGUUAUAACCUUAAUUGAGAGUUUUGUCAAUACUAUAAGAUUGUUUAAAUUUAAUGCAAAUUCUAUAAAUUAUUCUAUGAUCUAAAACAGAUCAUCCAGAGAGAGAGAGAGAGAGAGAGAAUUUUCAUGUUAUUUUUUUUUCCAAAUUAGGAUUCUGGAUAUUUCUCAUUCAUUGCGUUUGACAAUUGCUCUCAGUAUAUAUAAUCAGUAGAUGAUAUGACAUUCAAAAAUCCCUAUAUCGAUCCGAGUAUUCACUAUAUUACAUUUAAAAUCUUGGUUUCUCUCCUUACUCAAAACCUCAUAUCGGAAUCUUCUCUCCGGCAGUAAGAUGAGGGUAAGUAAAGUGCAUUUUUUUGUUUUCCUCAUGUCUUCUCUGUGGUGAACCUACUUUCUUGCAAAACAUGGAAUAUAUGCAUAUAUUAUAUAUGUAGGCGAAUUUUGAAAAUAUUUGUUGAUGAGUUCUAUAAUUGGUUAUAUCAUCGUUUAUUUCUUCAGCAAAGGAUAGUUUUGAAGAUGGAUAUGAGUGAGAGUGAGAAAUCAAUGAAGAAAGCUAUGAAAAUCGCAUCUGGAACAUCUGGUUAACAUCUCUAUAUAUAUUUGACUUUUUUUUUUUGCAAAAACUUGCAAGCCAAGUUAGGUCAUGUGAAUCGUUUCAAGCAAGGUUUUGUUAAUUUAUACGUGCGUGUAGGUGUGAGAUCGGUCUCGAUUCAGGGACAGAACGAUCAGUUGGUUAUAUUGGGAGAAGGAAUUGACACGGCAGAGCUAACACGUGAGCUCCGGAAGAAAGUUUGUCACACGACCAUCGUCGCCGUUCAGGCCGCGCCGCCGCCGCCACCGCAGCAACAGCGACCACCGCAGCCGAAUCAUAUGGGACAUCAGAACGAGAUGGCUCCGGCGAGAAGAUGCAUAUGUGAGAUACCGAAUUCGGGUUUCUGCGGAUUUUGUAGAUCUAUGAGUGAAACCCCUUACCACCAGAUGAUAGCUCCGCCGUAUCCUCCUCCGGUGAACUAUGUUGGUUACCGUGAUGAUCCUGAUGGUUGCAGAAUCAUGUGAUGUGAAACUACUUCUGAGUGAUUUUUGUUUGUUCUUUUUUUUUUUCUAAUUUUUCUUAGUUUUCUGAUCACGUUAUUCUGUAGAUACAAAAUUUAAAAAUUCGUGGUGCUGUAAAUAUUAUGUGACAGACACUCUAGGAAAAACAGAUUUUUCACUAAACCCAACAAAACAAAAAAAAAAAGAGAGUGAAAUUUAAUGUUUCUUGAUCGAAGUUACACUCAAACUAUGUAAAUGUUCAACAACAAAAAAAAGUUACACUCAAACAAACUAAAUAAAAAAAAAAAUUAUAUGUGUGCUAACACUCGUUCAUCUUGGUCGUACUUUGUCACAUGUCAUCAAGUGAAAACUUCUGCGUCUUAAAAGCAAAUGUAGAGAAGAAAUCAAUUUCAAAUUCUUUUCAAAUAAAAUAUUAAGCUGUUUUUUCCUGUCUCAAGUUGUGCUUAUGUAUCUAUCUAUAAUGUAAUGAAGUCAAGUCCACUAUUAUAAACAAAAUUUAAGGACUUUGCUUUGGUGAAUGUCCAAAGACUAGUUCCUCGAAAUAUAUGUCAACAUUCCAAAGAAAAUUGGUUUAAUUCCCACAGAAGUAAAGUAAUUAUUAUUAUUAUUUUAGAAUACUAAAAAUAUUCCUUAAUCUUUACGUAUAUUCUCGGCCUCAAACGCGGGAAACGUGAUCGUGUCAAUUAGUCAAUAUCAAUUGUUUUUCUUCCAUUUUUGGUAACUCAAUAUCAAUAAUCAUUCAGUGCGGGAAAAUCUCAAAAGCUGAAAAAUAAAAUAACAAAAAGGCUCGAUUCUCAGUGUAAGAAACUUUAAGGAAACUACAGAAAGGAAGAGAAAUUGUAAAUGAUGAAACUUAAUUGUUUGCUGUAAAACAAAAACAAAAAAAAAGAAGAAGAAGAAGAAGAAGAAGAAACUGGAUUGAUUGAAAAGAUGCCGAAUUAAAACAGAAGAAUAUGUAUACUGCAUGAACUGAUAAAUAAAUAAUUAUACUACAAAAUACAAUCUUUAUUCUUUGACCUGAAGCAUUUGGUUUAGGUCUGGAUCAGAACUAGCAGCAUCUUAGCCCAUAUCCUCAUUCACGCGAAUAGGUCCAAUCAGCCGGUAGGCUCAUUUACCUAUCGGCCCAAUCGGUUGUUAUUUACUUAUUUGAUUUUCUGUUUUGCAGUUGCAAAUUUCCCGCCGAAUUUUAAAGGUAAAUUUUGUUUUCCAUUUUAAUACAAACAAAACUACUAAAAUUAGAAUUCUUCAACAACAAACAAAAACGAUAAACAAAAUUCGAUUUAUCGUUUUGGAGGUUUCAUAUUUAUCAAAUAUAAAAUCUUUCUUCAUCAACCACAUUCCUCAAAUCAAAACCCAAAAGAUGAAGCAAUUCGCCGGACUUCUCUUCCUCUGCAUCGUUCUUCUCUCCUCACUCGCCGGAAAUGCUGAUUCCGAUCUGAUUUCCGAUCUGUGCAAGAAAACCGACGACCCAAAACUCUGUCUCUCGAGCAUACAGUCGCGUCCCGAGUCCGGCGAGUUCGCAGCCACCAGCAACCAGAUCGAGAUCAUAGCUAUCUCCGCCGUGUCGGCAAACGCCUCCGCCACAUCCGCCUACAUCAAGGAAAAGCUCAGCCGCGAGGAUCUUGAGCCGGCCACGGAGGACACGCUCGAGGACUGUCAGAAGAACUACCAAGACGCCGUUGAGCAGCUCGACGACUCCAUCUCCGCCAUGAUCGCCGACGCACACGCCGACGUCGACGUCUGGCUAAACGCGGCGAUCAGCGCCGUAGAGUCAUGUGGGAACGCGUUGGAGUCACGCGCCGGGAACGAUGUGGAGCUUUCUCAGAGGAACGAGGUUUUUCUCAAGCUUUGCAAAAACGCUUUGGUGAUUAACAAGAUGUUAACUUGAGCAGAUUUAAUUUUAAUCUCCAAAAAUUUGAGAGAUUAAUAAUAUUUGGUUCUUCUUUUUUUUUCAACUUGUUGUUGCUAUGAUUAAGAUGAGUUCGUUUGCAUCAAAGAAAAACAUCAAGAGCAGAUUGUUUUAUUAUUGUUUCAUGAUCAAAUACAAUGUCAUUUUUUUGUCAACCAAAGAAAAACUAAAACCUAAAUUAGAAAUAGUGAACCCAAGCAUAAUAUUAUAUUUUAUUUAUUUUUAUUUCUAAUAAAUAUAUAUAUAUAUAUUAUUUAUUUGUUUUAUUUCUAAUAAAUAUAUAAUAGUGAACCUAAGCAUAAUAUUUAUUUGUCUUAUUUUCAGAAUUUUAAACUUUGAUCUCUGAAUUUUAAUUUUUAAAUCCAAAAUUCUAAUUUUUAUACUCUAAAUCAUAAUCUAUAAACCUUAAAAAAAUUAAAAUAAAAACUAAAUCGUAAAUUAGAAUCUUUAUAUAUAUUAUUUAUAUAUAUAUAUAUAUAUAUAUUUAACAAAAUCUUUGAUUGAAUAUUUAAUUUUUUAAUUUUAAUUUUUUAAUUUUCUUUAAAAAUAAUAUUACAUGGCAGAUUCUCAUUGGCUUAAAUGAAAGAGGGUGAAUGAAUGAAUUCACCCAUAGGGAUGAACCCAAAAAUUUUCCAUAAUUUUUUAAUUUUAAUUUUUUAAUUUUCUUUAAAGAUAAUAUUAUAUGACAGAUUCUUAUUGGCUUAAAUGAAAAAAGGUGAAUGAAUGAAUUCACCCCUAGGGGUGAACCCAAGAAUUUUCCUUGUUUUUAUUAUUGUUUCAUGAUCAAAUACAAUGUCAUUUUUUUUUGUCAACCAAUGAAAUACAUGUUUUGACAAGAAAAAAAAAAUACUUGUUACCAUUUUAAAACCCGACCCGAAUGGACACUGUCUAUUGGGCUUAAAUUGUGAAAGCCGCUAUUUGGUUUAUAAUCGGGUCCAUCUUAUAUUUCCAAUUGGUUUAAUUAGAUGAUAAUUUUGUCUGGAUAAACUUUUUUGAAAAAAUAUCCAUUUCGAUCAAAUGAACAAAUGAACAAUUCAGUUUCUAUCCAUUUAUUUGGUCUAAUUAAGAUGAAAUUGGAUCGAUUUGGUUUAUUUAAUUUAAACAUCCUUGCCUUCAAGUCUUCAACUAUAAAAUCUCAUGGACAGUAUGAUUAGGAGGUGUGGAAAAAAUGUGUAAAAGCAAAACAAAGGUGGAUAGUUGAAAUCCAAUAAAAACGGAACCAAUGGUGGAAACCUACUCGACCCAUCAUGAAAUUUUUCUAGUCAAAUUGUUUUACCAAACUCCAACUUCAUCGUUGACCUACCACAUUCAUAACGUAAUCAAUUAUUUUGAUCUAUCUAUAUUAAACCAAUAUUAAUAAACAACUGUUUUCUAACAAAAAAAAAGGUGCAUUAGGAUAAUCAAUUGUCAAGUUUUGAGAUACAUAUUCAGGAUUCAAGUCUGAUAUUUUUCGGAAAUAUACGGACACGAUCCAUUUGGACAUCAUUUCAAAGAGGUUGCUUGUAAGAUGGGGUGUUGGAUAGAUUCUAGAUUCAAUGUCCCACAAAUAGACAAAACACAGAUACCUUUCUUCUCCACCUGGAUAAAUUGUAUAUAUACACUUGUUCUACGCUUUAAUAUUUUAUUUCCCAAAAAAAAGUUAUUUUUUCUUGUUAUUCAUCACUCAAGAUGUAAUUCACAAUCACAUUAUUAUAAAGCUUACUAAAUAUACAGUGGGUGUAAGAAAGAAGCUUUAAUUUUAAAUACUAUUAUUAGAUAUAUACCUAUGUUCACAUAAUUCAAACAACUUGCACAUCAAAGAUGAGAUCAUAAGAGAAAACUUGCACUCUUGUAAAGUAAUUCAAGAUUCCACUAAGACCCCACCUUGUUGCAUUUCCUCUUAACAAUGAUAGAAUCUUGCUUUUUAUUUGCUUUUUUUUUCAAUUAUUUAUGGAUAAAACUAUAUUUUUAUCAACCAACUUGAUUAUACUUAAUAUUAGAAACAAUCUGGUUUUCAAGUAUAUGAUAUCCGAGAAAUUCUUGUAGUUUUUUAUAACCAAAAAAAAUCGAAACACGAUUGCAGUUAUAGUGGUUACUGGUUAGUUAAGGAUUUGAAUUUUACUGACCCCAGAAUCAAGUGUGGUGAAGGACAUGGAAGAAAAUAUAAAUAUGCAUAGAUUUUGAUUCGUUGAAUUUCGAAUAUGUGGGAAAUGGAUGGGAGAUUCAAGUUGAAGAAGACGAUGAAGUUUGGAAGUUGCAAAGGAGUGGGCAAAGGAACCAAGUUGACAUAGAAUGCACGCAAAUCUAUGCGAGUGCUGAAAAGAACACUUCUCUCACAUUAAUCUAUACAAUUCUUCUGUCACUCAAAUUGAUUUAAACAAUUUUAUAUGUACAAAAUAUUUGUAAAGUAGAUAGAUUUGCCUAUCUUGGAAGCACACAAAUUCCAAUUGCUUCCAUCACACUCCAACGCCAAUCUCACAACCUAUGGUAUUAAAUUUAAAACGCAUUGUGAAACUCUAGAUUUAGAUUCAUAAUAAAUCAAGAUUUUCAUAUGUAGACACUAUCUAAGCACUCAGUAUCAAGUUAUUAUGCAUCAACAAUAACUAAUUGGAUGGUUACAUGUAGUGCACACUGUUUUUAGGCUAAGAUCAUUAGAAUAGUUUUAUGGAAUUAAUAAAGUUAAUACCAGAAAUAUUCUAUGCUAAGAUCAAUCUAUACUUUGAAAAGGAGAAAAGAAGAAAAACAAAGAAAAGGAUAAUUCAUUCGUUGGGGGUAAUUAUGUAAAUGAUAAACCACAUCGAACCCAAGAAAUGUUGAAGUAUCUCUAAAGUCUGAAAUUACGUUGGAAGAGAAGAAGACUAGAGAAGUAUCCAAUAAAUGGGACACACGCCCCAUAUUAGAGAAUAGAGACUAGUGCCCAGUUCGUGAAAUAAGACAAGGAACAUAGCACCAAACACUUCACUUUCUCAGUUUCUCUCUCUCUCAACCAAAAAAAAAAGGAAACGAAACCUUUCAAAUGACGUAAAAGCAAAACACUGACUUUGCUUCCCCGGAAUUACCAAUCCAAGAAACGCUAAUGAUUCCUCCCUCCAUUAAACAACUCCUCUCUCUAAACCCAAAUCUCAAUCCUUCUCUCUUUUGAUUCUGUUCGCUUUUAACCCACACAUACAGAUUAUACAUAGUUUCGUAUGUGGAAGAAGAGUGUAUGCCAGAAAAAUCCCCCCUUUCUCUCCAUAACCUAAAUCACUCGAUCAUAAGUAGAAGAAAAAGGUAAACUUUUUUUUUGGGUGAUUUUAUAUGGUAAGAAGAGGAGAAAAGAGCAAACCUGGGAAAGUCAGGGGAGAAUUUGCUGGAGGGUUUAUUGGAUUGUAUCCAUGACAUCACAUCGGCUUUGGCUUUCGCUAGGAUGACUGAUUCUGCUUAUAGAGUUGACACCAUUUCCAGGCUCGCCCAAUGGCGAAUCCACAACCUUUCUUCCUCCACUUACCGCAAGUCCGAUCCUUUCAAGAUGGGUCUCUGGAAUUGGUAUCUCUCUCCUCUCUCUCUCCUUCCUUCUUUCCUUUUUUCAUGACCCGACAUGAAUGAUGGCGAUGAAUGAAACAAAAGUGGGCACCUUUUUUUCUAAUUGAUGUGUUUGGUGAUUGAUUUUGACAAUUUGGUGUGUUGAUUAUAUCCAAGGCAUUUGUCUGUGGAGAAAAGCAAGAUGCUAUUAAAUGUUAAGUUGUAUCCAGAGGUAUCAAACCUCACCAGAGAGAAUCCACCUGUUGCCUCCUUUGCUCUUCGUGUUGUCUCUUCUGCCGGUGAAAGGAAAGCUUUAUCUCAUCCAGGUCAAUAAGAUCUUGCUAUUUGAUUUUUUGGUUUCCCCUGCUUUUGUUCCUGUUCCACUUAAGAUGAAUCAAAAUGCUGACACUAUUUCUUUCACGAAUUUGUAUACCCGAAUGCAGAAGUAAUAGAUAAGCGGAUCAAGACAAACGAAGAUUUUCUUUGGACGAUUGAAGUUCCCUUAACUGGAAAAAUCAUCAUCGAUGUUGAGUUUCUAGACCUGAAGGUUCUGUCUCAAGAUGUAAGUGUUUCCAUCACUUCAGAGAUGUUACUAAGAAGAACCUUAUAUAUGUUUGGUGUGUUUAGUUGAUACUUAACUGAAUAUGGCAGAGUGGAGAAUUCUACUCAAUCUGGGAAGACGGUUCAACGCAGAAUCAAUCCAAAGCGUCAGCAGUAACAUCCCUUGGACGUAUGUUGGAAGAAAGCAUUUACACAGACAUAAUGAUCAAUGCCUCUGAUGGAAGCAUUGGAGCUCACCGAGCUGUUCUUGCUGCACGUUCACCUGUUUUCCGCAGCAUGUUUCUACAUGACCUUAAAGAGAAAGAGCUCUCAGCGAUCAACAUGCCCGACAUGCCUCUUGAUGCUUGCCAAGCGUUCCUCAGUUAUAUCUAUGGCAAUAUCCUGAACGAAGACUUUCUUAUCCAUAGAUUAGCUCUCCUCCAAGCAGCAGAUAAAUAUGAUAUUGCUGAUUUGAAAGACGCGUGCCACUUGAGUCUUGUAGACGAUAUCGACACAAAGAAUGUUCUUGAGAGGCUUCAGAAUGCUUAUCUCUACCAGUUACCUGAGCUCAAGGCUAGCUGCAUGAGGUAUCUUGUGAAGUUUGGUAAGAUAUUUGAGAUCCGUGAUGAGUUCAACAUAUUCAUGCAGUGCGCAGACAGAGAUUUGAUUUCUGAAGUUUUCCACGAAGUUCUCAGUACCUGGAAAGGAUUUUAGGGGGGAAUCAGAAAGGGUAUGUGUGCUAUUAUUAUUAUACAAGGACUAUUUUUUUGUGCAGAAGGAUUUGUUGGUCUUUAUGUACAGAUUAAAGUGUUGUCAGGGUUUUAACUCAAAACCCCCAAGUAUUGUCCUUGCAAGGAUAAAAACAGCAACAUGUAAAUUCAUGAUUUGAUUGAAUGCGAGAGCUUCUUAGCUUGAACUUUGGAUUGUUGGUCCAUAACACUAAUACUGUAUAUAGUUAUCAGUCUUAUGCUUUUAAAGUAAAAGUUUGAAAUCAGUUCUAAGUUCCAAGCAGGAUACCAGGCAAAGAGAUUCUAAUAGGGAUCAAAGGCUUAUUCUAGAGUUAGGCCAAGCUAAACUUUAUAUAUCCUCUCAUACUCUGUUAUAAUAGUACCAUUCAUCAUACGAGCAAAUGCCACAGGAAUAAUUUUAAGUGAUUUUGCAAAACUAAGCUACUAGUAACAUAUCAAAACCAUCACUCUAUAAACAUGACAACUAAACGUCUUAUAAUGUACAAUAUAUCUUAUAAGAUAUAGAGUGAUAUGGUUUUGAUAUGUUUGGAGAAUCAUGAAAUUUUGUACAAGAAACAUUAUAAAAAAACUUUUAGUUGUCAAUCUUUUUAACAUGAUUAUCAAUGAGUUCAUUUUGCAGCACAUUACAAGAAUCCAUAUGCCAUUUGACCUGAUUCGUAAUUAUGUGUUCCAAGCAGGAUAAGAGAUAUACUUAUAGUAUGUACAGAUGGUCAAGUUAGGCCGAGCUAAACAUUUCUAUAGAUAUGUAUCCUCCCUUAAUCUAUAAUCUCCGCACGGUUUUAAAAUGGUCAUCACAUAAGCUAAACAAUUCAUAAAUGCAACAGGAAUGGUUCAGUUUCAGAGAAUUCUCUAUACAUAAGCCCUUGUGCUAUUUAACAUUUUCAUUAAUUUAUCAAAAAGAGAAAGACUAGAAUCUGUGAUCAUACUUGAUACUAUACAUAGAUACCGUUGAUGCCGAACAUAAGCUUAGCGACAAUGAUAGCAGAGAUAAAAACACACCAAAAGGAACGAUCUGAAUCAAGCCAAUCACCGAAACCAAAGCCCUCGAAAGCGGAGAGUAAACCAAAGCGAAAGGUGUAAAGGACGUGUUUAGUGUCCAUGGUAUACCCAAAGGCAAUCCAAAGCGAAAGCCCAAACUAAAUUGGGCUUAACGUAGAGUUGAGCUGGAAGAUGGCGAUCCCAAAGGCAAACACGGAGCAUAUGUAGAUCAAAGCAUCGAUGGUCGAGUAAUAGUAAGGGAAAUAAAACAUGGCUACCAUAAGAAUCACAGAGUAGCCCGCACGUGUAGCAGGAAGAGGAGGCUCGUUUGGAUGCGAAUAAUAUUGUGGGACACUUCGCGAUAUCUCCCUUGUCGUGGCAUUGGAUUUUAAAGAUUCUAUCUCAAAAAAACACAUUAUCGAAGGAAGAGAUAAUAGUGCUGAUUUGAGACGUCCAUAACCUAUACCUAGGCCAUUCCACCGGUUUUAAGAUUGCAUCAAGAGCAGCUGCACAAUCAGUCGCUAUCGUUAUAUCCAUCAAGUGAAGAUCCCUUAGGCUUUGCAAUGCUCAGAUAAUACCUCUUAGCUCUGCUGUUAUUCGGUUAUGAAAGCAGGUCAAGGCAUCUCUUGCGUGAAACAGAACAGUACCUGAUGAGUCUCUUGCAAGCCACGCAACACCACUAAGUAGAGAGGCACUUCUCCAAUUGGCAUUCACAUUACAUUUCACGGUACCUGGAGGAGCACUUCUCCAAUUGUUUAUGUACAGAUUAAAGUAUUGUUAGGGUUUUAACUCAAAACCCCCCAAGUAUUGCAUAGUUAAUUAGUUUUUCUUUUGCAAAUCAAAGGGCAUCAAACAUUUUCAAACCAAUAACACCAACCAAUCAAUUGUUUUCACUCAGCUUAAAGAAUGUCAAUAGUAACAAACAGCUUAUGAUCAUGUUUUUGAGUAGAAAACAUUCCACAGCUCCCAUAAUUCUGCAUGGAAGAGAGCAUAUAAGGUGAUUAAAAGUUUUGGUGUACACAGAGACAGAGAUGGCAGAAUCAAAAGGACACAAUAUGAGCAAAAUAAAUGUCAGUCGUACAAAUCUUUAGUGUUUCUUUUUCUUUUGGUUAUUUCUGUUUCAGCCAGCCAGAUACGAAAGUGGCAUUUGCCAUUUGUUAUGCAUACUACACGAUUAGUGAAUAACAAAAAAAUAAAUAAAAGUUUUAAGAAAGAAUUAAAUAUAUAGGACAAAUAAACCUAACUAUUGUUAAAUUUUGUCCCAUUAAUACUUCUACUAAUAAUUUAACCUUUUCUACCCUUCUAAUUCGAAUUUACCCAUAUAAUUAAAAUUUAUGAUAUAAAAUUUAUUCUAGAAAGAAAGAAAUAUAUUCGAAAAAGAAAGAAAUAUAUUCUCUAGAUCUGAUUAGGAAAAAAAUAAAAAAUUUAAGAAAAUAAUUAGGAAAUUAAAUAAUUGGAAAAGGAAAUAAAUAUAUUCUCUAGAUCUAAUCCUAGAUUCUCGGAGAUUCAGUUAACCAAAUUGUAGAAUAAGUAUUCUAUAAUUAUAGAACAAAGAGUUUCCGUAGAAAACAAUUCUACUAAGAUAUAGAACAAAGAGGUAAAUAUAGAAAGAUAAUUCUACUAAACUGUAGAACAAUGAAAAAGUUAUAGAAUACGGUUUCAUAACUUUGUAGAACAUAGAAGAACUGUAGAUAACUAAUUCUAUAUAUUUAGUAGAAAACUAAUGAAAUAGUAGAUAGUCUAUUCUAUAAAUUUAUAGAUUUAUAGAAUGCACUUUCUACUAAUUCAUAGAACAUUUGUAAAAAGUUGUUUAAAAUUUUUUUUUGGCAAAAAGAUGUUAUGAAAUGUUUUUGUCUUCCCUUUUCAGAAUGAUCCAAAAUUUUUUAGAUUAUAAAAUUUUUUUUUAAAAUUUUUGUAAUUGUAAAUUAAUGGUAUUUUUAUCCAAAAGUGGUCAAGUUUGAAAAAGUAUUAAGGGGACAAUACUACAGUUUUUUUGUCCUAUAAAUAUAAUUGAAACAUAAGAAGGUCUAGACCCCUAUAUGAAAAUGAUAAUCUAUAAUUAAGUGGCUCUAACUCAUAUGGUUACGGAAUUAUGAAAGACCAGUGGCGGAGGUAUAUACAAUGAGUUGGGGGCAGUUGCCCCCAAUAAAAAAAAAUAUUUAGUGUAAAUUUGUAACAAUAAUACUAGUUGCCCCCACACUAAAUAGCAUAUAUGUUCCCAUUAAAUACGUUUUGUCCCUAAUAGAAAAAUGUUCUGGCUCCGCCACUGUGAAAGACAUCAGUGUGACUUGAAGCAAUGCUUUGUUUACUUCAAAGUUUGAUAUUCUGUGUAUAAUUAAAAAGUUUAGUCAAAAUCAUGAAUUUUCACUCAUUAUCCAUAUAUAAUCUAUAGAGAGACAAUGGUCACGUACGUAACAUUGUCGUUAUUUGACAAAAAAAAACCGUUUGUAUAUCAGAAUAAAACGAGAGAGUAUCUGUUUGGUUUAUAAUCAUACGUUAUUAUACAUAAUUAGACAAAAAUAGAUCGUAAAUGCUUAGGAAACAAAAUAGAUCAUCAUAGAUAUAGGUAAUUAACGGGGAAAAAACAAGAAUUCAUAGCCAAAAAAGAAAGAAAGGAAGUUUUAUAUAUUGAAUGCAGCUAUAGAAAAUACGAAGAUCCAAAAUGAUUGAUUCCUAUUUCCCAUUACGUUUUGGGUUAUAAUUACAAGUUUCUGAAUCAUAUAUUUCCAAUCGAUCGAAUCCAAAAGAAGCAAAACGAAAAGAAAAAAGAAAGAUGUUGAUGUGGGACUACUAAACAAACUAAAUUGGGCUUGACCAUCUGCUAGUAGUAGUCCGGGCUAAUGUCGAUCCAGCCUAAUUUCUUUCAGCCAUCUGCAACGGGGGACUUGCCUGGGAAGCUCAGCGACGACAGCUUCAGCCGGCGGGGGAGGUGGAGUGUUCAGGACUGCCAAAAGAAGCGAGAAGCAUACGCUUAGGACUAGAAUGUAAUGCUUCUUUGGAUAUUCUGCGACUGAGACGGUGAAGGCAGCAAUGAGGACUCCCUGGGCGAUUCCAAUGUCAUCGGUGAUUUUGUUGAUGACCCAGAACGAUAGUAGAAAGAGAAAGUAAAAGAUAGCGGAGAUGGCUAUAUACACAUCUUUCUCUGCCACCAUUCUUUUCCCCAGCCAGAGGAACAAAAAGAAGAAUCUAAUCGUAGUGACUCCCUUGAAGAUAGUGAAUGCACAAUCCCCAAAUUUAACAAGGAUUUUUUGUCGUGCCUUCCGUUACAAAUUGUGGAAUCCAAAUCAAGCAAAAGGAAACCAAUAUCACAUCGGCGAAAUACAUUGCUUCAUCGCCAGAGUGAUUCUUGCAAUACACCGAUUUUUUUAAAAAAAAGUUGUAGAGAUGAGCAGAUAAGCAGCAGCUUGAUACUUGGGAUAAAUAGAACCCAAGAAAACCUGUGAUGCGAGCGGCUGGGUUCAGACUUGGAAAUCGGAUGGUGUACCUGGGAAAAGCUGGAUUUCCGGCCAUGAGUAUUUGGAAAGAAGAAAAUGUAUUGGAGGAAGACAAAGAAAAUGUAUUGGAGGGAAGAACCAGAGGAAUUUAUAAAUCGACGCUGAUAUAAAUGAUAUUAAUGGGCCGGGUCAGUUUGAUUAGAGGCCUUAGAGAUUCGAGUCCUUAAAUUCUUGUCCUCAAAAAAAAAACCUCGAUCUUCAAAUCCCUUUCAUGGUUUAGUCUUGGAAAUUCGAUGGGGAAAAGCUGGAUUUCCGACCAUGGAUGAAUAAAGAGAAAGGCUCUUGGAUAUUUGGAAAGAAGAAAGAAUUAGUGAAUUUGUCCGCGCCUUGCACGAGCUGAUAUUAUUUUUUAUUUGAUUGUUUAAAAAUGUAAUAUAGUUUAGAUUAAUUUUUUUAUUCUUUAUUAUUGUAUAUAUUUGUUUGUUAGAUUUCUUUGCAUUUUAAUGUUUAAAAACAUGAUGUUGACUAUAAAUACUAUCAUUGUCUUUUUUUGUCCAUUUGGCUGAUAUGUUUUUUGAACAAGACUACAAACUAUAUAUAUAUACAUAUUUAUAAUAAUCAUAGAACAUAAUGAUUUGAAGUAUCGUACAAAUUUAUUCGAAGAAUAAAAUAAGAAAUUAAACAAUUUAGAAGGAUGUGAGAGAAUUAGGGAGAAAUUGUGUACAUAUUUAUACUAAAACAUUUGAAGUCAAAAACCGUAAUAGAGACAUGACAAAUUCCGUUAUUCCAUUAGAUAUUCUAUUUAUUGAUUUUUACUUUUUCGUUUAUUUGACUGAAUAUCAAUUAACUAAAUUAGAAAACGGUUUGAUUGACAGUGGACUGAAACAUUAAACCACAAUAAUUUAGAGCGGUAUGUUUUAAGUUAUUGUAAUACAUUAUCAGAUAAAAAUUAAUAAAAAAUGACACUUAAUUGGAAAAUAGGGUUAAAAAGUCUUUUUGCGUCGAAAUUCAUUCUAGAGUUGACACAUAAGCAAAACUUUUUGAAACUUGAUGAGAAACCGAGACCUAAGCUUUUCACUAUACAAAUAGUAUAUAGAAUUGGAGGAAGACGAAUUAAGAAUUGGAGGAAGGAAUUUAUUAAAUCGAUGCCGAUAUGAAUCCUUGUGUUGAUGUUAAUGGGCCGGAUCAGUUUGAUUAGAGUCUCACGGGUCCUUUAAAAUCCCACAAAAUGCCUCUUUCCCGUUCUCCUCAAAAAAAAAACCUCGAUCUAUCUUAUGACCUUUCAUGAACUUAGUUUUCGCAUAGUUUCGAUGGAUUUUUCCCGAUAUAUUGGCAAACCUGAGACGAAUUUUACCGCGUUUUAGAACUUUUGGCGUAUCUGCUCGAUAUGGCGGGUGGGCAAGUGGAGAAGCGAGUCAGAUUGCAGCGCUUUUUCUAAGUAAAAGUUUGAAAUCAGAUUGCAGCGCAUUUUCUAAUUACAAGUGCCAUUAACCUUAUUCAUAUGCAUGAAUGAUUCUGAGUUUCAAGCAGGAUGAUACCAGGCAAAGAGAUAGAUGCCAUUGGGUUUACUUUCCCUACCAAUUAAUCCACAGCCCAUAGGCCUAACUUAGGCCUAACUUAGGCCCAACUUAAGCCCAAAAUGCUCUAUCUUCCGAUCGUAUCACUGUCGUUACCACUCGUCGCCGACAUAUCAAACACGGCACAACUCCCGUCGAUCUGAGAAUCCCCGUCGUAGCUGGUCAUAAAAGAAUAAAACUCACAAUAAUAUAUUAUAGAAGAAGAAGCUUCUGUUUCGAUCAUAUCGGUUACAAAAUCUAAAUUUGUUGUUGUUGUUGUUGUUGUUGUUGUUUUGUUAACAGGUUUACACACGAUCGUCAGUAAGGUAAUCUCAUCGUCCAUGGAUUUUGUUGCUUAUUUUCGAACUACUCUAAACCCUAGAUUCCAAUUUUUGCUACAUCGCCUAUAAUUUUGAUUGAUUUUGACCGAUUUAGGGAACAUAUCUGCUGGAUAUGGCGGGUGGUGGGCAAGUGGAGAAGCGAGUCAGAUACAAGAGCUCUGUCAAGGAUCCGGGAACUCCUGGAUUUCUCAGACUAGUAAGAUUAAUCCACGAACAACUGGUGAAUUCUCGAUGCAUUUUUUUUCUUCUGCUUUCAUAUGUUUCAAUUGAUAAAAUUUCGCAGACGGAAGCAAUGUUGCUAUUUGUCCCAAACGAUCCGAAAUCAGAUUCAAAGCUUAAAGUGCAGACUCUAAACAUCAAAAGUAUGUAUGCCAAUUUACACCAGGUCUUAUUUGGAUAAGAGAUAUAAUCUGUUUUCCUCUUGUGUUUCUCGUUUCUUCAGUUUCUCCAUUGUAAAAUUUCUCAGGUCAAAAAUAUACAAAAGAAGGAUCAAACAAACCUCCUUGGCUUAAUCUGACCAACAAGCAGGUCUUUUGUUGGCCUUUUUGCUGAAAGCUUAGAUGUGUGCAUUUUGAAAGCUUAUUCUGUGUGUUUUAUGAGGCUUCCUAAUCUUUUUGAUCACAGGGAAAGAGUCAUAUCUUUGAGUUUGAAAAUUAUUCGGAUAUGCAUGCUUGCCGUGAUUUCAUCAGUAAGCUCUUUGUGCCGAUGGUUUUCUUUUAUUUAGUGGAAACUACCUUCUAUUGGUUUCUUUCAGUGGUACUGAAACCAUUUUACUAUGAACAGCUAAGGCCCUUGCUAAAUGUGAAGAGGUGCCUAAGAAAUCAGCUGUCUCGACAUCAACUGAGCAGCUCAGUAUUGCAGAACUGGAGCUACGCUUCAAGGUUCUCCGAGAAAAUAGGUAUGCAAUCGGAACACUAGGUUACCUUUUGGGAUCCUUAGAGUUUCUAUUUUCAUAAGUUCAUCGAAUUCCUUAAAACAUAAGUAGUGCAUGCAUGAUAUGUAGUGAGCUGCAAAGAUUGCAUAAGCAAUUUGUGGAAAGUAAAGUUUUAACGGAAGAUGAAUUCUGGGCUACAAGGAAGGUUGGUUCUUUGUAGUUUCUUUGGUUCUCAAUUAUCUGUUUGUUUGAGUGUAAUCAUAGUUACCAGCUUUCUUCUGAUCGCAGAAAUUACUUGGUCAAGUUUCCACUGGAAAGUCAAAACAACAAGUCGGGCUCAAGAGCAUGAUGGUAUCUGGCAUCAAACCAUCUACUGAUGGGCGGGUAUGGUAUAUUUCACUCUACCCCUUCCUGAGAGUCAUCCUUUUCGGUUAAUAAGUUCAGUGCAUGCUUUUGUAUGAAAGAAACAAUGCACCUGUAUAAGUAAACUAUGUUGUGUUUGGUUGAAGUCCAGCCGCUUGCUGUUAUAUAUCGUACAAUUCAUCUGGUUUAUACUAACCACCUUCUUCAAUGUUUUUUUUUUCAGACUAAUAGGGUGACGUUCAACUUGACAUCAGAGAUCAUUUUUCAGGUCAGCUCUUUGGUUGACUAGGUUCUCCACUGAUUUAGGUGCUCUAUAGGGUCAGGAUAAGUUUUACGGUGAACGAGGUCCAUGUUUCAAUUGGUGAUAUUUUCUGUCAUAAAUUAUGUUAUGUGUGGUUCCAUCUGCAUCAUGUGUUUGAACUUACAAACUCCAAAGCGAAACUACAAGCGAGGGAUAGAGACAUUUAUAAUAGCCUUUCAGUUCACCUUCUAUUUUGCGCUGGCUUAGUCCUUAGAUCUGCUGUAAGAAUAGUUGAAUGUUGCUUCACUCAUGCUACUGUCCAUGUCUCACAUAUGAUUCUUUCAUUACGCUUUCAGAUUUUUGCUGAGAAACCAGCUGUUCGGCAGGCAUUCAUAAACUAUGUUCCGAGUAAGGUAACAAAGCCUUCAUGACUAUGACUAUCUUUGUUUAUAGGUUUAACCAUCAAAUCCGACAAAUCUUAAAUGGUUUUUGGUAGUUUUUUACUACGACAGAUGACAGAAAAGGACUUUUGGACAAAAUAUUUUAGAGCAGAAUAUCUUUACAGCACCAAAAAUACAGCAGUAGCUGCAGCAGAAGCUGCUGAGGACGAGGAACUCGCGGUUUUUCUGAAGCCUGAUGAGAUAUUGGCUCGGGAAACUCGUCAGAAGGUUAUUUUGCCUCUACAAUUAUUCAUUUCUCUGUAUUUUAUUUGAGAAGAAAACAUUUUUUUGCAUAUUUAUCUGAUCUGAAUGUCAUUUAUGUAGAUUAGACGAGUUGAUCCGACUCUUGACAUGGAGGCUGACCAGGGAGACGACUACUCUCAUCUAAUGGUAAGCCAACUACCACUGCAUUAGAUGUAUGUUGGACACUGCGUCAAGUGAUUUGUUUUCUAAAAUCCUCAGACCCUGUAUAAGCUGUUAAAUCAAGAAAUUUAGGUUCUUACAAAUGUAAAUUCUGGACUACGCAACUACGUUUGAAUUAUCUGAUCUACUUCUAUUUCUUUGUGCCUUACAAAUUAAAACUACUGCUUUUAUCUUAUACACUAGGACCAUACUUUAAUAUUAGCUUGUAUAGGAAUGUGUUUCAUGCUGAUAUCUAGAAAAUAGGGAUCUUGAAAUCCAAUUUGCGGAUCAUAUCUUCACAUCAUGUGCUUAAUGUAAAUUUACUUUCCAACAGGACCAUGGGAUUCAGCGUGAUGGCACCAAAGACGUUGUUGAAUCACAGAAUGACCAAUUUAGGAGGUCACUGUUGCAAGAUCUUAAUCGCCAUUCUGCUGUUGUAUUGGAAGGCAGAAGCAUUGGUAAAACACUUCUACUAGAGCACCUAUUCUGAUUUCUUCAUCUGAUAUUCUGUGUAACGUCAUGAGAAAUAACUGCAACUGACUCUUACAGCUAGUUCGUAAAGGUUAAAUAUAUAAUGAUGCGCACUUGUACUUUUUUAAUUGAAAAGCAGAUGUUGAGUCAGAAGAUACGAGGGUUGUUGCAGAGGCUCUGACACGGGCCAAACAAGGUUUGCUGUUUCAUUCUGCUAUGUCCUACUUUAAUAUUCUUGCAGAUUGAUGACCGAUGCCACACGUUAUUAUAUUCAUCUGACUUCAGUAUCCAUCUUUAUUACUUUUGUAGUUAGCAAAGCUGAUGGUGAAACCACCAAGGACGCUAAUCAGGAUAGAUUGGAGAGAAUGUCUCGGACAGCGGAAAUGGAGGAUCUUCAAGCACCACAAAAUUUCCCGUUAGCACCGCUAUCUAUCAAGGUUUGGCUUUCUGCCAUUAAAGGGUUUUCAGUGUUGAUGAUGGAUGCUUCAUAAAUCCUCUAACCCUUUCUUUUUUUUUUUUUGGAAUUUAGGACCCUCGUGAUUACUUUGAAUCUCAACAAGGAAACGUCCUCAAUGAACCUAGAGGAGCAGGGGCAUUAAAUAGAAAUGUCCAUGAAGCUUAUGGGUUGCUAAAAGAAUCCAUUUUGGAGAUUAGAACUAAAGGAUUAAGUUAUCCGUUGAUUAAAUCAGAAGUUUCCUUUGAGGUGCUACUCUAUCUCAUGAUAAAAUGUGUGCUUACUAAAAGAAACCAUGGCUUAUUGCUUUGGUGCCUGCGCUAAACAUUGCUAACCUAUUCAGGUUUUCAGUUCGUUAACCCAAACUAUCUCAACUGCCAAAAAUAUUAUCGGGAAGAACCCGCGAGAGAGCUUUCUGGACAGAUUACCAAAGUCCACCAAGGAUGAAGUUCUACAUGUAAGUCAUAAGUAACAAUAACACCUAUGGAUUCUGUUGUCCCCUCAAAAUGGAUCACAAGAGUACUUUUUCUUUUUUCUUUUUCUCUUUCAUCUACAGCACUGGACAUCAAUACAAGAAUUACUGAGACAUUUUUGGUCAUCUUACCCAAUAACAACCACAUAUCUUCACACGAAGGUAAAUUUGUUCCCAUUUCAUAAUUCUCCUAAUCCCAGAAUUUGCUAUAUACAAAUAUUCACAACUUAUUUUACUCCAAGAGCAAGAUCGUAUACUAGGAUAUUAUGUUUUACUAUGCAGGUUGGUAAACUGAAGGAUGCAAUGUCCAAUACUUAUUCACAACUCGAUGUAAGCUAUGAAAUUCUUCUUCAAGUCUUCCUGAUAUAAUAAGCUACUCGUAGUCUAUUAGAACAGUCGUUCCAAAUCUCUCCAUGCCAGUAAUUGCAUAUGGUCUAGUGUGUGCGUUCGUGUACGGGUUCCUUGAUAUUAAUCUGCAUGUAACUCAGGCAAUGAAACAGUCGGUGCAAUCUGAUCUCCGGCAUCAGGUUUCUUUACUGGUUCGGCCAAUGCAACAGGUUAGCCUCUUCCAAUACUUACAGAAGAAGUUUUAUGACAGCAUCUCUCGAUCGGUUAAGUCUCCACACGCAUUGUAUCGGAUCUAUCCGAUUUAACCAUCCAAUCCAGGCACUACAUUGUAAUCCGGGUAACACAGUGAAAUCUGAGUGAUCUUAACCCGUUUUGUCCAUCAGGCCCUUGAUGCUGCGUUCCAACACUACGAAACAGACUUGCAGAGAAGAACCGCUAAGAGCGUUGGAGGCAGCAGCAGCGAAAGACCAAACGGGGGCGUUUAGAAGACAACACGCAUCUUUGUUUUGUUUCACAAAGUGUAAUUGAUGUUUUUGAGAUUUUUCUUUGGUUGCUUUUUGUCCGAUCAUUGAGAAUACAAACAAAAGGCGGUUAUAUUGUCUAAUCGAGGCGCUUUGUACUUGAAAGAGCAAUUUUCUUCAACAUCAUUCUCGAACUAAAGUACCCACUGAAUAUAAUUUAGCUUUUGAAGUGUAGUAGAUAAGAUUCUCCAGAGGACCUUAAGAUUGUUGCUUGAGUUACAAGAAACCUCCCGAUGCCUAGUUACAAUGAACAAUAAUAAUAGGGAGAGGCUUCUGUUUACAUAAAUUUCAAUGGGAUAUGACAAUGAUCAAAUUACAAAACAAACAUUCCAGAUUGGAAAGAGAAAAAGAAAAAAAAAACUUCGAAGAUAAAGAAAGAUGCAAGACUAAGUCCAAUACAUAACCUAUAAGAAAUAAAUUUUUAAUCCAAGAUUCAAAUACAUCAUCAAAGUUUUUUGUAGUUUGAUGGUGGACUUCAUUAACCAUGCGAAUCACACACUUGCCGUGGAGAUGGGACAACAAGAGGUCCACUUCGAUUUAAGCUAAAAAUCUAUACUAUUAAAUCAGCAUAUUUAACUAAAUAUCAUAUCAGUAAUUCACAUAUAAUACAUAAGGGACAUUCGAAAUUAAUUCAAAAAAAAAAAAAAGGUAAAAUGGCCAAUCAAAAAAAAUUAUUUUGAGUCCGAAUAACUCUAAUUAUUAUUUUAUUUUUGGUCACAAAACGCGAAUAAUAACUCUAGUUAUAUAUAGUGUUUUUUUUUCUUCUAUAUACACUUGUAGUUGUAGUUAGUUAACAGGACAAAUUAAAAUGAUGUAAAAAACUAUAAAGAUAAAUGAAAAUAUGAGGAAUAAAUUUAUGAUCUCUUCGAUUUGCAUUCUUUUGAAAAAAGCUAAACUUGUCUUCUUCAACGGAUGAAAAUUUAGUAGCGAGAAGGAAACUUCCUAGCUCACGCUCUUCACUUCAAUCUGAGAUCUCAUCGCAACUAAAUCACACAGAGAUCACAAAUCUCGUGAAGUGAAACUUUUUAAUUGUAUUCCUUGAAAAUAACAAACCCAUCGAAUUUUUGUAGACUAAGCUUCUCCAUCCAUUCUUCCUCCUACAGCAGAUCCGAAGACGAAGAAGAAAUCAAACUAGUUCCGGGUUUUUUAUCUUGCUAGUUUGUUGAGUUAUGCUGGAUUUGGUUUUCAAUCUUUCUUCUCUGACCGUUCGUUGACUUGCUUAGGUAAAAAUAUCGGGAUCUCUUUGCAAGUUCCUUUCAUUCCUAUGAAAAUCACUCAACUAUGUGUUGUAUUGAUUCUUUGUUUGUGGUCUCGAGGUUUGGGUUAGCGUUUGAAAACGUUUUUGACUAAAGCUUUGAAAGACAAAUUCGAAUUGGAUUCGCGUUACUCUAUAUCAAUGAAUUUGUUCUUCAAGUAUCUACUGAUUCAUGCAAAUCUUAAGCUUAGACCUUAAAGUAACGCAUUUUCAGUUCAAGUUCGCCUUUUGUUGCGGUUUCUAUUCUGUGAAGAUCAAUGGGCUUUGAUAUUGAUGAUCUGAUUGGUCUCCCAAGUUUUCAGAUUUAAAUUGUGUUCGAUACCUAAUCUAAGGUUUGGGUUACAGGUACAAGUCUCUCCAUCUCCAGCUUCUAGAAGAAGACAACAUUUUAGUGUAUCCUCGUUGAGUCUAUGGGUUGUUGUAAGGUGCCGGCUCUUAUUCAGGCGCAGGUAGAAGUAAGUUAGUUCACGAGAUCAGUGUCUUGUCUCUUUUUUUUUUGGCUCCUCAUUGUCAGCUGAUUGGAAAAAGUUGUCAUUGUAAACAGAUGGGUUUGGUAAGUGAAGUUGAGCACAAAAGACUUUUCAGACGAGAAACAGAUUCACCACAAACAAAAGCUGCUUCUUUGAUGGAGCAAGGUGGAUCAUUUUCUGCAAAUUUUCAAGAGCGCACAGCUAAAGCACCUAAGCACAGCGUGCUCCAGAGCUUCAAGAUCGUCAUUUUAUCGAAUAAACUCAAUCUUUUGUUGCCUUUCGGUCCACUAGCAAUAUUACUCCACUAUUUGACAGAUAAUAAGGUGAGCAAUGUUAGUUUCGGGUACUAAAUUUUAGCACUUUCGUUCCUUCUUGUUAUGUCAUCAAGAAAUGAUUCUUAUGGCUCAGGGAUGGAUCUUCUUACUGAGCUUAGUAGGAAUCACACCAUUGGCUGAACGUCUCGGAUAUGCCACAGAGUAAGCCGUUGCUCGCACUUGCAACUCUUAACUUACAUUCUAUUAGCAAGACUUGUAUAAAAGUACCCGUUUGUUUAUUCUUUGUAACAGGCAAUUGGCUUGUUACACAGGUUCAACUGGUAUGACUUGGUUUCUUCUAAAUACACAAGUUCAUUUUCAGGAUUCCUUUCCCUCCUGAUUAGUUUUUGACGCGCUAGAAAAAUUUCACAGUUGGAGGCCUCUUAAACGCUACAUUUGGAAACGUGACAGAGCUGAUCAUAUCUAUUUUCGCUCUUAAAAAUGGAAUGAUACGCGUUGUACAGCUGACACUGCUCGGCUCCAUUCUUUCUAACAUGUUGCUUGUACUUGGCUGCGCCUUUUUCUGUGGGGGGCUUGUAUUUUCCCGUAAAGAGCAAGUCUUUGACAAAGUAGGCAUAUCAAUUCACUUGUUGUCUCUUUUUUUUCCUGUUUUGUUCUUGUUGUUCUGUAAUCUUUACCAUGUUUCUGAGCUUAUAUCUUCUGCAAUACAGGGGAAUGCGGUUGUGAAUUCAGGACUGCUUUUGAUGGCUGUUAUGGGGCUACUCUUCCCCGCUGUUCUUCAUUACACGCAUAGCGAGGUUCAUGCUGGUUCGUCAGAGCUGGCUCUUUCAAGGUUCAGUAGUUGCAUAAUGCUUGUGGCCUAUGCUGCUUACCUUUUUUUUCAGCUAAAGAGCCAGCCCAGUUCUUAUACCCCUCUUACCGAGGUGUGUCAUCUUCGACCUUUAGUUUUUUCUUACAGAUGCCUGGAAACGAUGGUGAAGACAACUUCAAAUAUUAAAUGGUUUCUUACAAGUUACAAACCAGUUUCAUCAUUUAUGGGCUCUGUUCAUUUUUCUUCUUGGUUGCUCUCUCUACUAGCUGGACUUCAAUCUGCUGUUUGGUGAAAAUUUGUAAACUUUAGGAUAUGAACCAGAGCGAAGAAACUUCGGACGAUGAUGAAGAUCCUGAGAUCUCCAAGUGGGAAGCAAUCAUCUGGCUUUCAAUCUUGACUGCUUGGGUCUCUCUUCUUUCAGGCUAUCUUGUCGAUGCCAUUGAGGUAAAUCACUACCCUUUUUUUUUUUCUUUCUAGAUCUUAUCUUUAUGAAGAUUUUACAGUAUUAACUUGACUUGUUUAUGCCAUAUGAUUAGUACGGCAUUAUAACGUGAGUAUACUAGCUGGCUUAUGGUAAAAACUCAACCGAUGCAAUACAUAAGUUGGAAUAUGUUUUAGAUACUUGUAAUAUUCCUAAUCACAUGCACGAGUCCAUCAAAAGCGCCAAUAUUUUCUGUAGAAGUGUCUUGUCAAAGAGUGACUAGAAACCAAUGAUCACUACAACAUAACAAUGCGAGUUUGGCUUACUGUUUUCUGUUGUUUGUGUUUUUCAAUAUAUAACAGGGUGCUUCGGUCUCAUGGAAGAUACCAAUCUCGUUUAUUAGUGUCAUCUUGCUUCCUAUAGUUGGAAAUGCGGCCGAGCAUGCAGGUGCUAUUAUGUUUGCCAUGAAAGACAAGCUGGUACGCAGACUAGUCUCUUGCAAUUCUGAUGUCUUUGGUUUAUCUUUUUUUAGGUGUAUAUUUAUUAUACUCUCCUCUACAGGAUCUGUCUUUGGGAGUGGCUAUUGGAUCGUCAAUCCAGAUUUCCAUGUUUGCGGUACGUAUAAGAAAUGUGAACCUGGGGUCUAUAUAGUACUGAACAUUCUCUUUACAGAUCUGGCCUGACUUUUGGCCCGAUUAUGGAUAUAGGUUCCAUUCUGUGUGGUGAUCGGAUGGAUGAUGGGUGAACAGAUGGAUCUGAAUUUCCAGCUAUUUGAGACUGCUACACUGUUCAUAACUGUGAUAGUUGUAGCAUUCUUCCUCCAGGUGGGUUCAUAAUCUUGAAGCAAUUAAUUACGAAAACCAAUCUUGACGUUAAAUUAUGUCUCUGUGUUUGUCGUUGUGCAGGAAGGGACAUCGAAUUACUUCAAAGGAUUGAUGCUCAUUCUCUGCUAUUUGAUAGUUGCUGCCAGUUUCUUUGUACACGAAGAUCCUCAUCAAGGUUAGGUGUUGAAUUUGUUAUCUUCUUCCCAUAUAUUACGUAAAUGGUAACAUUAACCAGAAAACCUGGUUCGUGUGUCUGCGGAAACGACUUUGAAUUGGUUUUUUGUGUUCUUCGUUACUUGACAGAUGAUAUAUAGCCAUCCCAAAAAACACGUGAAUCUGGUACGUGUCCUAAAACUAAACCCUGGUGAUCUUACUUACAUGUACAUUUUUUUUUUAAGAUUCUGGAGUUAAUGUUUGUAUCAGACCAAACUGAAAGUUGUCCCAGUUUACGUUUGAGGCCCCUUCCUUGGGGGCUGGUUUAGGGUUGCAAUUUUGUGAAAUUACUUUGAUUAUCUUUAUAUAUAUUAUAUAAUCUAUUGGGAACUUGUAAUCGGAAUUUCUAUAGAUUAGGCAUCUAUCCAAGCGUUGCGCUCACCUAAAACAAUUUAACAUUUCUAUACAUAUUAAUAAUAUAUAUCACAUUAACCAUAUAUAUAAAUCAGAUUAUUCAUUCGAUAGUAAUUUUGUUUUAAAUUCAUGGUGUCCUGCUACCAAGAUGCAAGACCGGCUAAGAAACCUUUUAAAGAUUAUGCGUUAUGUUCAAGAUUUUUGUAAUACAAAAAAAAAACUCUAUUUGAUGAAUUGUGUCAUGGAUCCUAUGUGAAUUAGUGAAUACACAAAUGCGAGAAUCUCUUACAAGAACAGCCAUGUCCGCUUUAUAUUAAAAGAAAAAAAAAAUAUCAGGUUUGUUGAGUGUACAUUGUAAAAAAAAAAAAAAAAAGGAGAAAUGCAAAACGACGACACAGUUACACUCGUCGUUUGCAAAAACAAGAGGGAGGGCAUGAGGCCAUGUUGUGGAGAUCACCUCCAAACAAAAAAAUAAUAUACGAUGUGGGGCCCAUAUCGUAGGCCAUAGGCAGAAAGAACUAAAACCAUACGUCGUUUUUGAGGCUUCCCACUCCAGUAAUAAUUGGUUCAACAGUCAAAAAUGUAAAACCUACAGUAGUAAGUAAGAACCGUUCAGUUACCGUUGGUUAAAACAGUAAACUUAUUCACUUUGUGGGGCCAGUUCGUUUGAGCAGCCCAUUAGCCUAUCUAAUCAACAGGGCCCAUCUCUUGUCUGAAGGAUGCAUACGCCUUUUUUUUAACAGCUACCCACCCACAUUACCAACUCUAAUCUACCCAUCUACUGUACGGAUUGAUUUAACAUACUGUAUUUGAUUCUUCAAUACCCUAUUUUGACUUCCUGUUGACUAUGUGUUUAAAAUGAUUUUCAUUCAAGGCCUUAAAUCGUAAGCGAACAACAAUUUUUGCGUACGUGUACGCUGGUAAUUGGUGUACUGUGCGUUAAAAUACUUUAUUAAUAAAAUGUUCAUCGAUUGUAGCAAAUCACCUUCACGGGAAGAAGAACAGAACAGUUCAAAACUUGAAAAGGUAAAGAAGGCAAAGAGUUGACUCCAUGGAUUCAAGAGACCGUGUCAGGCUUCUUCUCUAAGCGAUCCUAAACCCCAUUACAGAUGUUACGUUGUUAAUUUACAAAUUAAUAAAAUCAAAUUAUUUUCUCUUCUUUUCUUUUUGGUAACCAUAUAAAAUCCAUUUUCUUUAUAAUACUAUUUGGUCAUAUUAAACUUUAAUUUUUUUGGAAACUACCACAGCUUCCGUUUUUUCUAACGUUAAUACAUAUAUAAAUCUUCUUAAUCAAAAAAAAAUUAAUACAUAAAUUGUUUAAUUAAGGGUUUUGAAGAGCUUUAAUUAGAUUCUUCAUUACAAUUUAUUUACUCAGAAUCUCUUAUGAAAAGUUUAAGAAAAAAAACUUUAAACCUUUUUCGUAUUUUAUAAAAAAGAUUAUGGUGUUUUUGAAAGGAAAAAACAAAUUUCAUGCUUUAUUAGAAAAAUUUCCUUAUAAUAAGUACGGUGUUGUAAGUUAACAAUAUAUUUUCAUCUAGACACAAUCUUCGUUCUUCUGUACGCUCCAUCUUUUUUUUUUUUUUUUCUCUGUCGCUAAUAAUAGACUAGGUGAAGACCCGCGUAUACGCGGAUUUAUUAUAUUAUUUAUAUUUUUUAAUUUGUGUUUAAUAAAAUAAAAAUUUUUCUAUCAGUGUAUAAGAGUUAACUUUUUAUUUUUAAGAAAAUUAUCCUAACAAAUACAACAUAAUUUGUGAUAGAAGACAUUUGAAGAAUUUGUUUAAUGUUCUCUAAACUAACUUAAACAAAAAAAAAAAGUGGUUUGUAAUUUUGUGAUGAGACCAUAUGUAUUUAUUAAUAAAUCUGUCAUACUUUCAUGUUCUUGUAAGCUCUUUGCCUUCUUUUCUAAAGUUGGCAUCCAUCUCCCACAAGCCUCAAAGUCAUUCACCAUGUGUUACCAACAUUUUCUGAUGGGAUCGUUGAUUUGACAAGAUUAAUAAGAAGACCGAACAAACCAAUGAUAACUGAAAUAUAGAUUGAUUUUUGCCCAAUAUAUAUCCAAAAUUAUCCCCCACAAAGAGUAAAACCUUUAUCUUCUCGAUUAAACAGAUAAUGAUCAUGACUUUAUCCUUCUACUACUCAGGAGCCUAUAAUAUGAUGAUAAUAAAGUUUUUUCAAAAGAGAUACAAUCUCAACCAAGUUUUUAUGAAAUCAAAACUCUUGGCCUGAAUAAAUUGGUAUGUAUAGAUAACAUGUGAGCUAACUUAAAUAAUUCUAAUUUGUCAAAAUACAAGCAAGCUCUGUUUACAAUAUUAUGUGAUUAUAUUAACUUGCUAUCUCAGAAGUGUUUUUUUUUUUUUUUCAGAAUUGUCUAUUUUAUUUAAAAAAUAUAUUCAUGCCACGACAACCAUACAAAAUCUUGUGACCAAUAAAAGGUAGUAUCUAGAUGCAACUUGGAUAAUAUAAAGCAUCUCUGUAUUGUUAUUCACUUUUUCAGUUAACUGAAAGAAUUGCGUUAUAAAUCUAUAGAUAUAUCAACCAAAAAAUAUGGGUAGAUGAUAAGGAAGUACCUUAAGGUGAUAUGUGCAUUCUGGUGAUGUACCAUGUGCAUUGACUAAAUUCCAUUUUCACAAUAUUAUGAGCAAGCGGCUAAUAUCAUAGCAUAGACUUCUAAAAUAUAUCUAUAAUAAGUAAUUGACUAUAAGCCGUAAGUAAGAUAAUGUCAACCAUAAAGAACAUUAGAUAACUUUUAAAUUAUAUCAGGAAACUAAGAGAGAAAAUAUCAAACAACAAAAUUGCUAGUGCGCAUCUUAUUGAGAAAAUAUAUGCUUUUACCGAGGAUUUUUAGCGAUGAAACGUUUUUUUAAAGGAAAAGGAAGACGAAGAAUUUAGAAAUCGAUUAUAAUACAUAAAUUAGAGAUGACAAGUAGCUGAUUUUAAUUUGAUUUUUUAAGCUGAUAUGUUUUAAGAAGAAAAGCUUAUGUGUCAAGCUUGUGAGACUUAAUUGAAUCUUUAUAUAAUAGAUUAUUAAAAAAAUGAAAAAAUUGUCAAUAAAAAGCUAAUCUUUUGCAUAUACAUUAUAUAUUUCGAGAAAAUGCUGUCUGAACUUCGUUUAUUAAUAACUACAAGCUUUCUGAAUAAUCUCAUGCAAAUAUAUAUAUUAAAAAUGAUCGUGUAAGAGUUAAAACAAAAAAUCCUAAGUUUAUCGGAGCCAUUGAUACAUCAAUUUACGAAGAAAGAGUCAGAGGGAGAGACAUUGCACUUUCUCUUUUUGUUAAACAAAGAAGACGGGCGCAUUUGACCUCAAUGUAAUAAGGUUUGGAACUCGAGGAAAAUAUGGAAAGGAAAAAAAUUGAAAGAUUGCUUGUGAAUCAGGAAAAGCAAAUCUCACAAGCCUUUGAAAAUGCAAUUUCUUCUCAGUUUAAAAUAUUUAUUAUUUCUGACAAACUGGUAUAUAUGAUUAAAAAGUUAUUUGUAAUUGUAUGUUUCUUCGUUAAGUCUUAACCACUAGUUAUCGUACCAAAGGGAGCAAAACAAAAAAUGUUUCUCAGUACGCUCCAUCUUCCUAUCUUGAAUUUUUAAAAAUCAAUAUAAACUAAUGACUUUACAAAUUAAUUAUUAAUUAAAUAGAGUUUUUAUCCUAUAUUUCUUAUUUGAAAAUGAAUACCAAACUCUCAGAUGUUAAAAUCUGUAGUUUUUGAAAAAAUAUGUAUGAAAUGUAGUAAGUACAAAGUGGAAGGGUAACGAAAACGAUCAAUAACUGCAGAAUAUUUUGGGCUUUGGAAUGGUAUAUAUUAUUAUUAUGGCUGUCACUCUGCGGAGAAAGUGACAUUUCCUUGUUUUUUUAUUUAUUAUAAAUGGCUUUGUAAUCUUAUAUAUAAAACUUGGCCAACUUUCUCCAGCUCCUUGCCACAUCAACACUGGAGAAAGCGCCACCUGUCCAUUUAAAAUCUUAAUGAAAUAAACAAUUAAUCACAUUUAAAGAAAAAGCAUUAAAGAACAUUAAUAAAUAUUAAUAUGUAUAACAAAUGUAUUUAAAUAAAUAAAUUCAAAUUUAUUUUAAAUAUAUCAAAACUUAUAAAUAUUAUAUAAUAUAAAACUUUUUGAAAUACAUCAUUCCAUUUCUUCUUUUCAAGUGAUUUAAACUACAUUUUCAAACUAAAAGUAUAAUUAAAUUUUUAUGAAAGUGAAAAAAAAUUAUCAGACUGAAUAAGUUAAGAAAUUUUAAAUAAUCUUAUAUAAAACUCUAACUAAUAAAAUUAUAACACACAAAAUAUUCAAUAAAUGAUUAAAGAGUUAAAAACAUUACUAAAAAAUAAUAGUAAAAAAAAAGUGGAUACAUAAAAAUGUCAUACAAAGUUUUUUAGUAAUUUUUAAAAAGAUGUAAUCAAUAAAAUAUAUAUAACCAAAAAAAAUCAAAAUGGUAAAUUUUUCUAUGAGCUAUUACGUUUUUAUAUAAAAAUUAAAAUAGUAGAUCUUUAGUCUCUCAUUACCGUAUGAAAAAAAUUGGAUUAUUUGGUACAACCGGUGUGAAAGAGAUUACAAAUAAUUUAUCAUCUAGAAGAAAUCGGAAAAUAUAAAUAUUUUAAACGAAAAAACAUUGAUGGUAAAAAUAAAAUUCAAUACAAAUCUUAUAUAUAAAAGACAAUCAACUCUCUCCAAAUGAGUGACACAUCAGCAAUGGAGAGAGUGACCUGUGGCACAUCCAAAAAUUGAUAAAAUAAAUAAUUAAUUAAAUUUAAAGCAAAACACAUUAAAAACAUAAAUAAAGAUUAAUAUAUAUAUAUUUAUAUAUACAUACAUUAGAAUACAAUUCAAAUUUAAUUUAAAUAUAGAAAAACUUAUAAAUUAUAUAAUACAAGAUUUUUUAGAUGCACUAUUCUAUUUUCUUCUUUCAAGUGAUUUAAUUUUUUUUUCAAACUAAAAAUAUACUAAAUUUUAAUGCAAAUAAAAAAAAUUAAGACUGAAUAAAUUACGAAGUUUCAAGUAUUCUUAUAUAAAACUUCAACUAAUAAAUUAAAAAACACAAAAAAUAUUUAAUAAAUGAUUAAAGAGAUAACAAUUAUUAAAAAAAAAUAGUAUAAAGAAAGAUGUGCACGUAAAAAUAUCAUACAUAAAUUUAAAUUAAAAAAAUGGAAUCAAUAAAAUAUAUAUAACUAAAAAAUUCAAAAUGGUAAAUUGAAAAAGUUAACAAGUAUUAUAUUAGUAAGAUUUACAAGAAUAAAAAGAAUAUGAAGAUCGAAGAACAAAUAAAUAUUCUUUUCUGAUAUUAAACGUAUAUUUAUAAGCGAAUUAUUACGUUUUCAUAUAAAAUUUAAAAUAGUAUAUUUUUAAUCUCUUAUUAUUUUGGAAGAAAAAUCAGACGAUUUGACACAACCGGUGUAGAAGAGAUUACAAAUAAUUAUCAUUAAAAAAAAAUCAAGGAAAAUAUAAAUAUUUUAAACGUAAAAACAUUGAUAAUAAAUAUAAAAUUCAAUACAAAUUUUAAAAAUAUAGUAUUUAAAUAUAUAUUAAAACAAGAUCCGUGUAUACCACGGGUUCUCUCCUAAUUUAUUUAAAAGGACUUUGUUCUGCACUGCACUGCAAAACGGAGAUUUCGCCAUCUUCUUUGUCACAAUGUCAAGUUGCUCUCAAUUCUUGGAUUCUCUCCAUCACAUCCAAAUCUUUCUUUUAUAUCUUUCCUCUUGUAUUUCCCAUUUUUUUCUUUUGUUUUUUUUUUUCCGUUUUUUGUUUGAUUUGUUGUUUGACCCUCUUUUUAGCUUAGCUACCCAUGUUCGUAUUAUUCACUUAUUAAUGUUUCUUAAAUAUGAUGCUAACGUUACUAUCAUGUCUGAAAUUCACAAGGGCGAAUUUUAGGAAUAUACUAUAUUAUAUAUGUAUCUUCAAAAACUCAGAGUGCAUACACACUUUUCGAUGUUUUUUUUGGCUCAGCGCUAGAUAUUGUAGUCGGCUGAUCGGCUCACAUUUGGUUUUAAUUACUGAAAAAGUGGUCAAUUCGGGUUUCAAAUCAUACUUUUUCUCUGGUUAGACUAGACUACUUAAUUUUGUCUAUAUAUAUUAUACAUCACUCUCUACAUAUCUAUGAAAACAUCAAAGGGAAUAUAUGUUUUAACUAUGUUUUUUUUCAGUCAUUUUAGAUUAUUUACAUAUCGGAUGUAUUGCCUGUUGUAUUAUAAACUUGUAAUGGUCCCUUAUGGACACUGUAUACGCAUUGUUUACUUAUAUAUAUAUAUAUCACGUGUAUACAUCUACAUAUACAUCAUGCAUAGAUGUAAAAAUGUUAUUCUGGACCACCGACCUCCUAAAGAAAAAAUGAUACCAAUAAUUAUGUAAUUAGUACUGUGGUUAUUUGCUGGUGGGAGUUCCCGAACAUUAAAUGCUUUUAACUGGAAUUUAUUUGUCUGCACGCAAUUGAAUAGCAAAGUGGAAAUUUAAUGGCGCGAAUGAUGGUUUGAUGAUGCGUUUUGGAGUCACAUAGGAAGACACGACAGUGUCUUGUGUCGUUUAUUAGACAUAGGGGGUAAAAAGUAAAAAAAAAAUAUAUGAUUCAAAUAAAAUCAUUCGACAAUGAUGUAAUAUUUUCCCUCCGAACUGAACUAUGUUCUAUGCUGUUUUUUUUUAACGUACCGUUAUGUCUGAUGGGACCAUUCUCAUUUAUUGCUGGACCCGUUUAUUUUUAACCAAAAUAAAUUGGAAUCGUGAAAAGAAUUUAACAAAAAAUAUCGUGAAAGCAAAAAUAAGGUACAGUUUUUAUUUUGCUGUUUAAAUGGUACAAAAUUGGUGGUAAGAGUCCAUGAGUGAUGCAAUGGACCGUUUGUUCAAUAAUCAGCUUGAAAACAAUCGAUGUAUGAUACUGGUAAGAAUAAAUACAUAUAGAUAUUGAGUUGGUACUAUUGUGUAGUAAUUAUUAGAACACAAUAAUUAAUCUAUCAGAAUGUCAUUUAUUUAAUGCUUUAGAAAUCCACAAUCCUAGUAUGAAUCUAAAAUGAUGGGGAAGCAUGCAUUAAAUACAGCAGGCUGGAAAGUCUUGACACGUGUCCAUAUCCAUAUGUGGUUGUAUGAAAAGUCAACUUACUGCAAUUCAUUACCACCAUCCUUUUGCUCUAAUCAAACAAAACAUUUUUAUUUCUUCUUUUCUUUUUGAGAAAACGCUUUUAGCUCUACUAAAAUAUCUCAUGGAACUUUACUGAUUUACAUAACUAAUCAACCUUUUUCUUUUUUUACAUCUUACUAAAUGUCAUUCAAGCUAUUAGUUUAUUGACUAAUAUUUUAUCUAUAAAUCAUGCAGAUUUAGUAAUUGGUUUUAUACCCAAUUAAAUAUAUUUUUGAAUUAUUAAAAAAGGAUUGAAACGAUAAUAAUUUUGAAUACUUCUUUCCCAAUAUAAUCUGAUCAGAAAAAGUUCACCAAUAAAUCGAUUUGAAUAAAAUGAUACAUGAUAUACUGUAAAAAAUGCAAAGAAGUAAAUAACAGAAAUUAUGCGUUGUGACUUAUCUUAUAUAUAUAAAAGUUGCUUAACUUUCUUCAUAUGAUUGACAUAUCAGCAAGGAAUAGGUUGACACAUGUCCUUAAAUUUUAAUUAAUAAUUUUUAAUAUUAAAUUUUAAAACACUUAAAGAAUAUGAAAAGUUUAUUUUAUUAAUUGACUCUUAAUUCAAAUUUAUAUUAAUGUUAAACAAAAGUUUAUGUUAUAACUAAUUAAAAAUAUUGAUAGAUAUGUAUUUAAUUUUUAUAUAAUUGUAUAUUAGUUAAUAAUAUUUAGAUUACUUAAUAAUAUUGAAGAUAUAUUUUAAAUUAAUUUUUUAAAAUUAUUUAUAAUAAAAUACUAACAAGUAACAAAUGAAAUGAUGAUUAUAUUAAUUUUAUUUUUUAAUUAAUUGACUAUCAAUUAAUAUUUCUGUAAAUGUUAAACAAAAUUUUAUGUUAUAACUAAUUAAAAAUAUUAAAUGAUAUUUAUUAAUCUUGAUAUAACUUUAAAUUAUUAAAUAAUAUUCAAUAUGUAUUAAUAUUUUAUAAUUUUUAGAAUAAAUAUUAACAAAUAAGUAAGUAAUAAGUAAUGAUUAUAUUAAUUUUUAUAAAAAUAUAAAAUAAAGUUUGAAAAUUUUGAAAAGAAAAAUUGGCACGUAACGUGCGGAUAUUCAAAUAAUAAUAAAAAAGACUAUUUUGUGGUCAAAAAACUAAAAAUUCUAAACUCGAAGAAAACAAUCUCUUUCUCCUUUUUGAUCUCUAUAUGUGUAAGACUUAAAGGUCUGAUUUUAUUCAACAUUUUUGUUUAAUUUUACUAAGUUUGUAUGUAUGUAUACAUUAAAUGUAAUAAUUGUUCAAUAUCUACAUUUUUCGUUGUAAUUAAACAACAUAAUAGAUAUCGUAAAAUUUAAAUUAACAAUAAUUAUUUAUAUAAGACAAGACAUUAUGUUAUGUACUUAUGUUUAAAGGAUGCUUACCUUUUUUUGUCGGCAAAGGGUACUUACUUACAACAUCUAUUGAACAGUCGAGAAAAUAAUUUUAUCAAAAUAGUUGAAAAUCGUGAUGCUUUUUUUUUUUUUCUUACAUUUGAAUGAAUAAUUUAAUAGUCACUUAUAGAGGGAAGGGGAAGGAAGAAAAGGACACGCAUGCAAAAUGAAGGCAGACCAAAGAAAGGGUAAGAAAAAGCAAACUGACGAAGCUUAAUAAAACUUUCACCUUCCCCAUUGUUUGUUCACAGAAAAAGGGACCAACAGAUAAAUUAAUAAUACCAAACCAAGAGAAUUUUUAUUUAUUCAUUCCUUUUUUUUAUAUUAAUGCAAAAGAGAAUAUUAUUAAGUAGCGAAAUUCAAGACUUAAAAGAAGCAGAAGAAGAAGAACAACAACAACACGCGAGAAAAUCCAGAUCUUUCCCUCUCUCUCUCUCUUUCCGCAUCUCACUUUUUCCAUCCUCGAAGAACCCUUUUCUUGCCCUCUACUUUCUGUGGAAAUUUCGUAUUCUCGCUUCUUCGUUUGUUAAUUUAACGUGGAUUCCGAUCGUUUGGAGUUACUGGAAUCGGAGAGAUCGUAUUUCGUCAAGGUAAAUUUCAGAGUUUAAAAGUCCUUUCUUUAUUAUACUGUUCGUCGGUGGGUAUGUUCACUGUUUCCCGAGAUUCGAGUGUGAGAUCCGUUUUGUUUUCUAUCGGCAUUGCUGCGAUUUCAAGCGGUUUUAAAGUGUCGGUGAAUCAUUGAGAGAAAGAGGAGGAGCUUCGUGGUUUUCGUUCUCGAUGCUCCUCUCCUCUGACUACUGUUUCAUUUUUAACGGUUUCGUCUCUUUUAAAGUUUCGAGAUUGCAUUUAUGGCGAGCUAAAGUAAUGCGUUUUUUUUUCUUUUGUUUGUUUUAGGACAAGACAAGUGUAGAUAAGACUUAAAUGCAGAGAAAUCGAGUGAAUGUAUUCAUAAGCCCCACUUUAAGAGCAGAUCUGGAGCUUUCACUAGGAUUCUGCUAAUUUCGUAUACUAAGCUGGUAGAAAUUAUCAAGAAGCACAAAAAGGUUAGGUUUUUUCGUUCUAUGUUUUUUUUCUUUUUGGUGGUAAUGGCUGAGGCAAAUAUCUUGUGGGGGAUACUUUACUUCUUAUGUUCACGGGGAAUCUCCGCUUUGGAGUUUAUGGCCGUGUAACAUGACCUUUAAUGCCAUCACAGGAAGAUUCAGUGGCAAACAUUUAAUUGGAAAAACUCAAAAAAGAAAAGAUGAUUCUUGAUUUGAUAUCUCCUACUUUGUAUAACCGUUGCCUUCUCUUUCUCCAGGUUUGUUUUGUCUCAUAAGUGAUGGUGCAAUAAGUCACAUGCAUGUCCUCUGAAUCCGCGUAGCAUCAAGAAACUUUCCCUUUGAAUUGAUGAUGUCAGGUAAAUUUUGUUGUUUGUUCUCCAUUUAUGUCUGAUUGAUAGAUAUUGAGACUUUGCAGAUACUUACUUUGAUUUGUCUAUUUGAAGGAGUUGAAGAAAACGGAACCCUUGAGGAAAUUAGGGAGAGAAGAUCAGACUUUGAAAUCUCGGAAGAUGAGAGGCGGCGCUCCAAAAUCGGGAAUUUGAAGAAGAAAGCGAUUAAUGCUUCCACCAAGUUCACUCAUUCUUUGAAGAAAAGAGGGAAAAGGAAAAUUGACUAUCGGAUUCCUUCAGUCUCCAUCGAAGAUGUACGGGAUGAAAAAGAGGAAAGCGUUGUGCUUGAAUUCCGCCGCAACCUUCUCGAGAGAAACUUGCUGCCUCCUAGACAUGAUGAGUACCAUACUCUUCUGAGGUUAGUUUGUCCUUAUUUAGCAGCUACAUAAACACUCUGGUCGCUUGAAAUAAAAAUGUGAGUAGUUGUAUAUAAAGUGGAGCUAACUAACCAUUCAUUUUGAAAAUCUAGAUUCUUGAAAGCGAGGGAUCUUAACAUUGAAAAAACUAUCCAGAUGUGGGAAGAAAUGCUUAGAUGGAGAAAAGAGUAUGGGACAGAUACCAUACUAGAGGUAAGCAGUCAUAGAUUUAAGUUUGACUCCAGCUUCUUUGUUGUUCCAUAUAAAAGAGAGAAGUAAUUUUCGUGUUAGUCAAUGGAUUCAACAUCAAGCUCUUAUGUUCUGAUAAUUCUAUGCAUUCGGAUGCUAGGAUUUUGAUUUCAAAGAGCUGGAAGAAGUUCUGCAAUAUUAUCCUCAAGGGUAUCAUGGAGUUGACAAGGAAGGAAGACCUGUCUACAUUGAAAGACUUGGAAAAGCUCAUCCCGCUAAGCUUAUGCGUAUCACCACCAUAGAUAGAUAUCUCAAAUACCAUGUGCAAGAGUUUGAGAGAGCUCUCCUUCAGAAAUUCCCUGCAUGCUCGAUUGCAGCCAGGCGUCGAAUUUGUUCCACGACUACAAUACUAGAUGUGCAAGGACUGGUACUUAUUCAAGCUAUUCCCAAGUUUUGGAAUUUUUCUUGCACUGUAUUAUGCUCUGAAGCAAAAUUUACUUUUUUAGCGCUUCCAUAUUCUUAGCUGUGCAGUGUCAUGUUUAAUCACAGGGCAUGAAGAAUUUUACACCAACAGCUGCAAAUCUUGUGGCUGCCAUGUCGAAGAUUGACAACAACUACUAUCCUGAGGUACUUGAGUUUCUCAAUUCAUAUGUCAAUUAUUCUUUGCAUACAUACCGGGUUGUUGCAAGUCAUCAUAUCAUUUUGCAGACGUUGCACAGAAUGUACAUUGUAAAUGCUGGGACAGGUUUCAAAAAGAUGCUUUGGCCUGCUGCUCAGAAGUUUCUUGAUGCAAAGACCAUCGCAAAGAUACAUGUACAGCUUUCAGCCUAGUUUUUCUCUUUGGUCAACUUUUGCCAUGUGUACGUUAUCUUAUUUCUGUUGCUGCAGGUGCUAGAACCUAAAUCUUUGUCCAGAUUACACGAAGUUAUUGAUUCAAGGUAGUUUGCUUUUCCAUUCAAACCGCACCUGACAAAUUUCAAAUAUCAUUUGUAGCUAUUACUUACCAGCUCCAUCGCUCUGUGCUUUUAGUCAAUUGCCAGACUUCCUCGGAGGCUCAUGCUCUUGCUUUGGCGAUGGAGGGUGUCUUCGCUCGAAUAAAGGACCCUGGAAUGAUCCUGAAAUAAUGAAGGUAAAAAUCUACAUCCUAUUAAAUUUUGCUUUUAAAUUUUUGGGCACGCUGUUCUUUCCUUACGAACUUUUAAGUAGGAGUCAGCUUAUAGUCCGGGCUUGUUCAUGAAGAUCAUUUUAAAUCUGUGCCUUUAUUAGCUCAUCUAUCAUGGAGAGUCAUCACUCUUUAGACAAAUCACCAGGAAGCUGAGUGACCCACAGAAUUCUUCAUCCUACAUAAGUAUACAUCCAUCGAAGGUAAAUGGCUAUAUCAAGCCAAUAUCUGUUUGUUUUGGAAUUUUUGUUUUUUUUUUUGUUUUUUCCAGGUAUAUAUGACAAAUUCAAAUUUGAAUAUCAGGCUAUGCAAGCUGAGACUUCUGCAGCAGAAUGUGUAUCUUGUUCUGAUGUUCCUACUUCUCUAACUGGAAGGGUGUGCGCAGCCUCUGCUCAUGUGAAUCCAGCUUAUGAGGAAGUGAGUUCUUGUGUUGGUACAUUUUGUGUCACAGACCACACUAGUUAUCUUAUCACUGACCGGAAAAAUAUGAUCUAUGCAGGCAAGGGCAUCAGAUGUUAAUGGCUAUUAUAGUUGCGAUGACAAGUUUGCCAUACCUAACAAAGCUACUAACCGAAAAGGCCAAGAAAGGCAAUCCCACUACCAAAUGCUGGAACUCAAUCAAACAACACUCGGUUUAAAACAUGAAACAUCUCCACCAGGUUAUACUGCUAACUCAUGCUUUGCUGCUAAAAACAUAUUCCUUUGUAAUUUUCUCACCUUUUGAAUUUCAUCUUCCCUCUGGUACCUUCCAGGUGCUCCCAUCAUACGAUGGCUUCAUGAUUUAAGGGGAACAAUUGACAGCAUAAAAUCUGAGAACCUAGCCAAAAGGGUACUCUCGUUUAUGCUGAAACUAGCAGCAGUUUUCCGUUAUAUCCCGUUUGAGCUUUCGAGAAGACAAAACACCGUUACUCCUUCAAACCCAACAGAAGAUAAUAAUAGGAGAAGCCUCAUUCCAACUUCUACAGAGCUCACAAUGAAAGACCGGAUUCUUCCGUGUUUGGAGCGUAUUCAGAAGCUGGAGAAAAAGUAUGAGGAAAUCCGGAACAAACCCGUUGAAAUUCCCGUAGAGAAGGAGAGAAUGCUGUUGGAUUCUCUUGACAGAAUAAAAUCGGUUGAGUUUGAUCUUGUUAAAACAAAGAGGGUAUUAUGAUUUUCCUUUGUUUUUCUUCACAAACUUACUUAGAAUUACAGUAUGGACUUGACAUGUUCGAUGGUUGCAGGUUUUGCACGCCACAGUGAUGAAGCAGAUGGAAAUAACCGAAAUGCUGGAAAGUUUAAGAGAGUCCCAACUUCACGUAAGUCCUCGAGAUUAUGACGCUAUAGUGAACAAGAUUUGCGAUGAGCUAACACCUGCAGAUUGUUGUUUGUGCAGAGAAGAAGAUUGUUCUGUUAGAAACCAUUAGAGAACAUCUGAGUUUUGCAUAAAAUACAGCUCCAAACUUCUGCACAUACAGAGAGAGAAAAAAAAUCCAAUAAACAAACGGUGUUAGUUUCUUAAUCUCCUUCCUCCUCUAACUUCUGUUAUCUUUCUUUCCUCAUAGGUCCAUCUGCUUCCACUUUUAAAUUAAAAAAGAAGAAGAUAGGGACAGUGAAAAUCUUUGAUGUUCGAUCUUGUCGUUGAUAAUGUAGAUUGAGAUCAGAGUUGAAGUAUCAAGCUGAUUUCCAAACCCUUUUGUUGUAAUCGGUGUAGAGAAGAAACUACACUAGAAGAAAAAAAAAGAAUCGUAUGAGAUUUUGUAAAUCUUUUUUAAGGUAAUAUGAUGAGGAAAACACUACCGAGUCUCUAAUGUCUUUACUCUAUGAAGAGAAUCCAUUUGUUUAACAUGAACGCAACAAGAAACAAAAUUGUGAAUGGUUAUACUAUAAUCAUGUAGUACGAUUAUUUAGGAAUCUGGUGCAUCUUGUAGUUGUUAUAGGUAGAUUGUGUAAAAUAUUUACAUAAUUCCAAAUAUCCGAAUGCAAAUGAUAUAAAAGUCAAAUCAGCCCUCGUAAACUUGAUUGAAUACGAGAGACACCCGAAUUAUGGAAGGGUAAGAUUGUAAACAAAGGAUGAUGAAAGUGUAAGGAAUUUUAAAAUCGGGGAAAAAUCGGGACCGUCCUUUUCCACUGAUGUAAGCCUGUGAACGAAGAAGAUAAAUUUCCCUGUCUUCUCUCUCUCUCUCUCCUUCUCCGUUCUUGUUUUCUGAAUUCGCUCGAAAUCGAUCUCAACGCCAAUCCAAUGAUGUUUUAUAUUCGACCCCAAACUUAAAUUUAGAAACCACAAUUUCUCGAAGUCAAUCCGUUUUCAUUUUCACGAAUUGCAUCGCCAGGUGAAUUUGUUGAUCCUAUGUUUUGUACGCCUUUGAUUGCCAUGUUGCUGAGUUUUUGGAAUCGUGCUCCGCUUUUGUUCUUAAUUCGAUAUCACGAUUGCUUACGCAUGUGCGGGUUUUCAUUUGGUUUCGCUUUUCCCUCCGCGGCUUUGUGAAUUUGAACUUUUAGUGCGUCGUAGCCGAAUCAGGGGCUGUUUUCUUCGUUUCGUGUGGGAUGAGGCUACGAUUUUAAUAUUGAACUUGGGAAUACACUUUAAUCUUUGUCCAGAGGGCUCCUAGUACCUAAGCGCUUUGCUUGUUGGAUAUUGUUACUCUCUGGCAUAUUGUCUUGACUAUGAAUUCGCUAGAUCUUGUUUUAGAUGUUGCAGCUCAAGCAAUAUGUACAGAUAGUUAUGGUCUUUUGAAGUCUUACCUAAGAUAGUGUCUUUAUAUGUUAUUGUUCACUUUAGGUCCCUAUUUUGAGCCUCAUCCUUGUGAGUAGGAAUAUUAAGCUUCCUACUAUUGUAGCUUCUGUGGUCCCUUGCUUUGAGAGUUCAGUAAUAGAGGUACUUUUCUACAUGUUAAGGCCCUGUUUAUCAACUAAAAAAAAUGUCCAAUUACCACCAAGAGGAGGAUGCUGAUUACAUGGACGAUGUGGAUGAUGAAAUGGAUGAUGUGGUUGACGAUGAUAUAGAUGACGAGUUUCGCGGGGAUGAUAUGGUUGCAUCGGAUUCCGAUGUCGACGAGUUUGACUACUCAGUAAGUGUGCCUGUACCUGUAAGAAGUCUAUUAAUGUAAAUUUAUUUGUGCCAUUCUUGAAUGCUUUAUGUGAAUUGUAUAGCUAAUAAUAAUAUCGGUUCAUAAUUAGGAAUUCAGUUUUUUUCGAUGUUGUUGCAAUCGCUUACUCUACUGUGUGGACUCUUUGGUUUCAGAAUAAUAAAAUAGCUGACACUUCAGCUGAUCAAGCCCGGAAAGGGAAAGACAUUCAGGGGAUUCCUUGGGACAGGCUUAGUAUUACACGUGAGAAAUACAGACAAACUAGACUAGAACAGUACAAAAACUACGAAAAUGUUCCCAAUUCUGGGGAAUCCUCGGGGAAAGUAAGUCUUUCAUUCUCUGACCCUUAAGCCUUUGUCGACUUGUUUUACUAGUAUUAGUUUACAUAUCAUUCAUUCAUUUGUUUAAUGACCUCAGGAUUGCAUGGUCACGCAGAAAGGGGCCAUUUUUUAUGAUUUCUGGCGGAAUUCAAGAUCUAUCAAAUCAAGUAUUCUUCAUUUCCAGGUUACCAUCGAAGCAUAGCUAUUUUUGUUAUUCAAAGUUCUUUUUGGUAGCUCAGUCGGUAUGCCAUGUGUUUGGUUUAUAGGAUGUACAAAUUGCUACAACUGUCCACAAAAGUUGAAAGAAAUUGAUUCGUAGAACGUUUGCUGUGCUAAAAAGCAUGUACGUGGACUUCUAAUAAAAAGUCGUUUUCUUUGGUUUGUAGUUGAGGAAUUUGGUUUGGGCAACUUCUAAGCACGAUGUCUACCUUAUGUCACAAUUUUUGGUGAGCCACUAUUCUACUUUGACAUCUGGAAAGCAUGAAGUUCUCAAUGUUCAAGGUCAUGUUUCCCCAUCCGAGGUUAGUUUCUUCUGGAAUCGUGAAAGAUUCUUGUAAAUCUACAUCAGUUAAUGAUGAUUUUUUCUUUCUUUUCUUGUGUGGGUGCAGAAACACCCUGGAAGCUUGUUGGAGGGAUUUACGAAGACUCAAGUGAGUACACUUGCAGUGAGAGAUAAAUUUCUAGUUGCUGGCGGAUUUCAAGGAGAACUUAUCUGCAAGGUAAGCUCUAGAGUUUUACGAAUCAUGCAUUUCACAUACAUGCAAUCUGAUCAAGGAACUUCAUCUGUUUCCCCAUUGAUUUGAUUCAGCACCUUGAUAGACCUGGUGUGAGCUUUUGUUCACGUACAACUUAUGAUGAUAAUGCUAUCACCAAUGCAAUUGAGAUUUAUAACAAACCCAGGUAUUUACUUGUCUUUUGGUCGAUGUAGUUUUUGCCAACUUGGGCAAUUUACAGCUUCUAACUUGCCUUUUGGCGUCUGCCUGGCUUCAGUGGAGCGCUUCAUUUUACCGCAUCAAAUAAUGAUUGUGGAGUCAGAGAUUUUGAUAUGGAGAGAUAUCAGCUUGUACACUAUUUUCGCUUUCCUUGGCCAGUGAAUGUAAGUUCCUUACUUGUUUCUUGAUUCAUUGUUUCUGCUUUGUCAUAAGUCGAUCAGUCACACUUGGGACAGUAAGUUUAAGUCAUAACUACGGUAUGGAAUCUGACAUCUUUUACAUCAUGAAUCAUUUAACUAAAAAAUGGAUCAUUUUUUAUUCUUGUCAGCACACAUCUCUGAGUCCUGAUGGUAAAUUAUUGACGAUUGUGGGAGACAACCCGGAGGGCCUUCUCGUAGACCCCAACACGGGAAAGGUGCAGAUACUAUCAUCUCUAUGUUCAAUUACUAUGAAAUAAAUACGCUCUUUCUUUCUAACUCAAUUGGAUCAUUUCCGACAGACACUGGGAACGCUAGCAGGACACUUGGACUUUUCCUUUGCAUCGGCAUGGCACCCAGAUGGGGUCACAUUCUCCACAGGUAACCAAGACAAGACAUGCCGGGUUUGGGACAUACGUAACCUGUCUAAAUCUGUUGCUGUCUUGAGGGGUAACCUCGGGGCAAUCAGAUCCAUCCGCUACACAUCUGAUGGGAGAUACAUGGCCAUGGCUGAGCCGGCAGACUUUGUGCAUGUCUAUGACGUCUCAAAAGAGUAUGAAACAGAGCAAGAGAUCGAUUUCUUUGGGGAGAUCUCGGGAAUAUCCUUUAGCCCUGACACAGAAGCGCUCUUCAUCGGUGUUUGGGACCGCACUUACGGUAGUCUCCUUGAGUAUGGUCGGCGCCGUAACUACUCCUACCUUGAUUCAUUUCUUUAAUCAUUCACUCACAAUAAUAAAAGAGCGUUCCUCACUCUCCCGUGGCUGGCUUUGUUCAACCGAGAAACCCGACCAAGAGAAAACGUUAAAAAGUGUAUAACUGAAUCUCUCUAAUGGUGUAAAUGAUGUGUUGUGCAAUUACUAGUUAAGGGCCAUGGCUAUGGGUAUAGAAAAGAAACAUUUGCCUGAGCCCAUUUUUUAAUAAAAUUUUGAAGACUCCAUUUGAUUAAUUGCUAAUUUUUAAAAUUUUCAAUUGAGUUUUGUUUACAUUAGCAACUAAUUAAAAAGAUUAAUUUAAGUGGAGUGAAUAGAAAUUAGGCGCAUUUGUUUUUGCAAAUCUUGUCCCAUGGCAAGUCUGAGCGUUUGCAUCUAUAUCAAUUAGAUAUGGAUUAAAACUAACAAAAGAGAAAGUAAGGCGUUGAAAGAAAAACCGUGUAAACUACGAGGGCUUCAACAAAAACUAUAUGACUGAAAAAUCUCAUAAUCCAGAAAGAACCAACGAGAUAAUGCCACAUCAUCAACCCGAAAUCGUAUCCUCACAAACAAAAUCCUGUUUCGUCUCCUGAUGACCCAGAGAAGCCAAAACCGAUCCCUAAGAUCAUAAAUCCAAAACCACUCAUUUCUAAUUUGCACUCCAAAAGAAGAAGAAGAAGAAGAAGAAGAAACAAUGGCGACAAGUGCAUCUGCUUUGCUCUCUCCUUCAACAUUCUCCACUGCAAUCUCCCAGAAAAACCCAAACUCCAUCUCAUUCCAUGGCCUCCGUCCUCUCCGCCUCGGUGGCUCCUCCUCCGCCUUACCCAAGCUCUCCACCACCACCGCCGGAAGAAAAUCCUCCUCCGCCGUCGUGAGAGCCGAGCUAAGCCCAUCCGUCGUUAUAAGCCUCAGCACGGGUCUCUCCCUCUUCCUCGGCCGAUUCGUUUUCUUCAACUUCCAGAGAGAGAAUGUGGCCAAACAGGGCUUGCCGGAGCAGAACGGUAAAACCCACUUCGAAGCCGGCGAUGAUCGUGCCAAGGAAUACGUCAGCCUCUUGAAAUCCAACGACCCGAUUGGAUUCAACAUCGUCGAUGUUCUUGCUUGGGGCUCUAUUGGCCACAUCGUUGCUUACUACAUCUUGGCCACUUCUAGCAAUGGCUACGAUCCCAGCUUCUUUGGCUGAUAUUCAUUAUUCUCCAAUCUCUGUCUCCUAUAUGAAUGUAUAUCUUUGACUUGUAUCGCAAGCUAUCUAAUAUAUUCUCUAUCUUUGUUUCUU